AAAAAACAGUAAUUAUCCCGAUCGUUCAUGACAUAGCUCAUCUCCCCGGUCAACUGCGCCGCCCCAUUUUUCUCCCGUGCGCUGCCUCCAGCUCCAAGGUCGCCGUCGAUUGACUGAUUGUGAUUGUGUAUUGUAUGUAGGCGCUUACCCCAGUUUUCGCCCUGAUAGCGCCUCGGUACCAGUUCACGGGUUCCAGCAAGAACGGGCCGGCGGUGUCGCGCGACCCGGAGGCGCUGAGGGUCAAGUACUCGGACCCGCUGGUUUUCACGGGGUCCAUCCGGGUGCGCACCGGCUACGAGAUCCUCCGGCUCACGGCCUACCUGCAGCAGCACCUGCGCAGGGUCACGGUGCCGCUGCUGGUGCUGCACGGCGCCGACGACAUGGUGACCGACCCGGAGGGCUCGCGCCGGCUGCACCGGGAGGCCUCCACCCCGGACAAGGCCAUCCGGCUCUACGACGGCCUGCUGCACGACCUCCUCAUCGAGCCCGAGAAGGAGGUGGUGCUGGGCGACAUCGUCGACUGGCUCAGCCCCAGGAUCUGACACAUCACGCUGGUCGCCGCGCCGGCCGGCCGGUCCGUGGGCUGAGGCAGGAGGGUCGGAUCAUGUCCGCCGAGCGUGUCGGGGACAAAAGUCCGUCCCCGGCGGUGAUGACGCGGUUGGUCCGAUCGCCUGCGCCCCAGAGCGAGGACGGCGAGGAUGGUGAUGAUCUUCUUCAUCCUCCCAUCCCGGCGGAGGAGGCAGUUUUGCGAGCGCGGGAAGCUGCAUUAGUAACUACCACUACUACUAGUACGUUGUGGUGCGGUACGGGGUGACGACUGGUGGUGGCCGAGAUUGCUCUGCUCCCGGUGUGUGUGUCCCGAGCUAUGUUUUUGACCCAUAUUUUUGUCCGGUAGGGUAAACAAACGUUCGUUCCUUGGAGUCGCCCGGUGUGGUGCUCAAUAAUGUAGACGCCUACCUUCCCUCUCGCAGGGGAUGUUUUUCUGUGUCUCGAAAGAUUCUCAAUCAGAAUCUGCGGCAGAAUUGAUUUGAUUUCCUUGGGCUUGUCCUUUGUCACAAUGUAUUAUUGUGUUGCUCGCUGCUGCAGUGUUGUUGGGCUCGUGGAGCUUUCGGCUUUGACGAUCUUGACGCCAGUGGCUGGCCGCGUCCCUGUGUCUCGCUCGGCGCACAGCGUUCUCAGGAUUUCGCUGGCUGAACUCGCGGUUCUGUCCAGAGAUGUCGCGCUCGACUUUUUCACGACGGCGAGAGCUGAGAGGGCAAAAAUCGGCCCGGAAAUGGGGGUGCGGCCGAGAGUGGUGAUUCCCCGAUCUGAUCUACGAGUGGAUGGCCCGCUGCCGCUUUCUAUCGCGAUGUGUGAGGUCAGCUUAGCUAUCGGCAUCGGCUAACUCUGUCAUGACGUGCGAGGUCGGCUAUCAGACAUUGAAUGAUCAUCUCAGCUUCUCCAUGCCGCAACCGCAGCCGUGUGCCGUCCGUCCUUGUCGCAAUGCUUCACCGGCACCACAAAUUAUUAUUACACGUUUGAUUGAGUCUCAACACACGCAGCACCCAUGUUCAGAUCAAAGUUUCUUCUUUCUGAAGAAGGGUUUCCUCCGAUUUGUGUCACCAUAAACCAUAGAGUGUUUUAGAGUUCAAGAACACCGGUACCAAAAGAGUAAAAGGGAAACACAAAAGGAAACAACAUCCAUCAGCAAUCUAACCAGCUGACCAUAUCAAGUUAGUGAGGACAUCAACAAAGCCAGGGUCGCUCGCGAUGUCCAUAUCAAGGCUCUGCUCCUCUUGGGACAUCCGCAACGGUUGUGAGCUUGUCUAGACUAUAGAGAAAAUACUCCCUCCGUUUUUAUUUACUCCACAUAUUAGAGUCGACUGAAGUUAAACUUUGUAAAGUUUGACCAAAUAUAUUGAAAAGAAUAUAUAUACGGGGAGUGCUUCGGUACACCCCCCUAAAACGUAUAAGGAUAGUAUGGUCAUUUCACAUUAGGUAUAGGAAUACCCACCUCGACGCCGUACGCCCGCGCGCGACGUCGUACGCCCGCCCGCGUAUGCCGCACCCGUCGCUGUACGUACGCCUGCCCGCGUACCCGCACCCGUCGCUGUACGUCGCCGCCGUACGCCCGCACGUCUCCACGUUGGCGUCGAUAGUUAUUGGAAAAAAAACGACACGGUAGCCGCCGACGCCCGCCGUCAAAACCCUAAACCCUAAACGCUUCCACGCCGUCUCCACGACGACCCCCAUCUGCACGAAGUCGCCGUCGCCCGGGUCGCCGCCCAAACAGGCCGCUGCGCGUGCCCCGGCACCGUUGCCGCUGCCACCGCGUCCCAUUCCCGUCGCCCAGAUGGCCGCCCACCCGUGAUCUUCGUCGCCGCCUCCCUCCGCGCACUCCGCCUGCUACGACCAGCCAUUGUCCUCACGCCGUCGACACCUGCCUCCGCCGGCUAGCAACGUCACGCCGUCAUCGCGUUCGUUAUCGGACAAAAUGGAUCCGGCUGAAAUCCUCGCCGCCGUGCCAGAGGUUGGUUUGAGACGUCGUUGUGCUUGAUGAACAAAUUGUUUUAGGGAUGAUGUUACACGGUGUUUGAUUGAUCUUAGAAUUUUUUUUAAACAUGUAUAGUUAGAGGAGGAGGGCGAUUAUGAUGGCGAUGAUUACAGCGAGGACAACGAAACCUCGUCACGGAAUAUGGAUGAACCUGCUGAGGAGAACCACAUGAGUUUGGAUGAAUCUUAUAGUGUCAAUGUAAGUGUGAUCAAUGUUGACAAAAACAAUAAAUAUGAUAAACCGCACAGACAAUUACAUGUUUUUUUUGCAUCAUGCAGCGACAUGGCGAUGAUGAUGAUGACAUGGAUAUAGAUGAUUCAUUUGCUGAAAGUGCACUCCGGGUAUGUUUUUAAAAAAAUCAGAGAAGAAAUGACAUAAUAACCAUAUGAGCGCUUACAUGUAUUUUUUUGAAAUGUGCGCAUAUGGACGAGGACGGGGACUUUGUGAGGAAUAUUGUGGACGAUGAAAGUGACAAAUCACACGUUGAUGCAUCUCAUGAUGACGGCUCCAGCAAAGUAAGUUUUGAAACUUACAUGCAUUAGAUAUUAAAAUAAUAUCUGACUGACAUAAAUGGUUUCAUGCAUUAAUUUACAGGGAGAUGUAGAUGGUACAAGCGGGAAGGAUGAGCAUGUUGGUGAUGAUUUGUUUAACUUUGACAUCGGAUUUGAUGAAUAUCAGCAAGAAUCAUUGAACAUGCAUUGAAAGGUCAUGAGGAAGACGUUCAAGUCACUAGGAGAGGCUUACAAUUUCUAUAACCAGUAUGCUUACGAGCGUGGUUUCAGCGUAAGAAAGGACUCACCGAAAUAUUCGAAAGGUCCUGAGGGAACUAAGUGAGGGAGUCCUGGAUUAGGAGGUCCUCGGACGGCCGGACUAUGUACUUGUGCCAGACUGUUGGACUAUGAAGAUACAAGAUUGAAGACUUCGUCCCGUGUCCGGAUGGGACUCUCCUUGCGUGGAAGGCAGGCUUGGCAAUUCGGAUAUGUAGAUCUCCUUCUCUGUAACCGACUCUGUGUAACCCUAGCCCCCUCCAGUGUCUAUAUAAACCGGAGGGUUUAGUCCAUAGGACAAUAACAAUCAUAAUCGUAGGCUAGCUUAGAGGGUUUAGCCUCUACGAUCUCGUGGUAGAUCAACUCUUGUAAUACUCAUAUCAUCAAGAUCAAUCAAGUAGGGUAUUACCUUCAUCGAGAGGGCCCGAACCUGGGUAAACAUUGUGUCCCCCGCCUCCUGUUAUCAUUAGCCUUAGACGCACAGUUCGGGACCCCCUACCCGAGAUCUGCCGGUUUUGACACCGACAUUGGUGCUUUCAUUGAGAGUUCCACUGUGCCGUCACGGUAAGGCUUGGUGGCUCGCCUUGUUAUCAAGGACAACAUCACCACUGGGGGAGCCCUGGCUGUAGGCCAAACUCUCCGACUAGGCGGCUUCGUCAUGACCGCCCAUUCGGCCACCGCGCCGACGAUGACUUCUGCGGUCAUCAAAAACAGCCUCCACGUCAGCUCGGAAUUCACCGAGCAGAUGGAUCCAAUGGAGCUCUCCUCCCUGAACAAGCUCUUGGAUCGCAUCACCGCCUUGGGAGUCGCUACGGACUAUGAUCGGAUCGGGCUUAAACCCGACCAAAGAGAGAUUAACUCUCCGCCGGUCACCCAUCAGAUAGCGAUGGUGGAGGAGCAAUGCAGCGAUUUUUCCUCUAUUUUGAGGACGAACUAUGUCCGGAUUCCUGAGCUCUCCGAGCCGGAUACCCGUCUACGGGAGGACAUGACCCAAGCUCCAAACCUAGAAUCGGACAGCGGGCCAGAGAAAUUGGGCAACAUCCCGGAGCCCGAACUGCCAAAAUCGGAAGCUCCUUCGCCCCUGGGUCUCAGAUCGAGUCAGGGUUUGGAUUUAACUCUACCCACCCACCCAGAUACAAGCGAUCUUGCCCACAUUAGAAAGGAUCCCCAAGAGACAAUACAUCACUUCUGGGCCAGAUUCCUCCUUGUAAUGAGCAAGGUCAAGGACUAUCACGAGGAAGACGCAAUCUCAUUCUUUUGCAAAAAUUGCACGGACAAGGGAAUCCUCAACGCAAUAAGUCGCCGUGACAUAGCACACUUUGCUGACUUGGCGGCCAUAGUACAGAAGUACUGUGCGAUGAAAAGAGCCUGGAAAACCCAAACAAAAUUCUGGGAUCAUCCGGCUCUCACUAAACCCCUCGUCCGACCUAAAAGGGUGCACUCUCGCAAGUCACCUGAUCCAAUUACAAAGAAACCAAAGCCCACUACAGGGCGUGGAACCGUAUUGGAGGGAUGGCUCAAUAGGCCAUGCAAAAUUCACAACACACAGGAUACCAUACCAACACACAACCUUAGAACAUGUUGGAUACUCCGGCAGGUGGCCAAUAGCGGCGAGGAUCUCCUCAUUAACGAUACCGCAGAGCAUCAUCCCGCAGAAAAUAACAAUAUAGUAUUGACAGUCUUCGAGACUUUCACCUCAAAUAACAGGCGCAAAUUGUUGGAAAUAUGCCCUAGAGGCAAUAAUAAAAGUGUUAUUAUUAUAUUUCCUUGUUCAUGAUAAUUGUCUUUUAUUCAUGCUAUAACUGUAUUAUCCGGAAAUUGUAAUACACGUGUGAAUACAUAGACCACAAUAUGUCCCUAGUGAGCCUCUAGUUGACUAGCUCGUUGAUCAACAGAUGGUUAUGGUUUCCUGACCAUGGACAUUGGAUGUCGUUGAUAACGGGAUCACAUCAUUAGGAGAAUCAUGUGAUGGACAAGACCCAAUCCUAAGACUAGCACAAAGAUCGUGUAGUUCGUUUUGCUAGAGCUUUGCCAAUGUUAAGUAUCUCUUCCUUCGACCAUGAGAGCGUGUAACUCCUGGAUACCGUAGGAGUGCUUUGGGUGUAUCAAACGUCACAACGUAACUGGGUGACUAUAAAGGUGCACUACAGGUAUCUCCGAAAGUAUCUAUUGUUUUAUGCGGAUCGAGACUGGGAUUUGUCACUCCGUGUAAACGGAGAGGUAUCUCUGGGCCCACUCGGUAGGACAUCAUCAUAUGCGCAAUGUGACCAAGGAGUUGAUCACGGGAUGAUGUGUUACGGAACGAGUAAAGUGACUUGCCGGUAACGAGAUUGAACAAGGUAUUGGAUGCCGACGAUCGAGUCUCGGGCAAGUAACAUACCGAUAGACAAAGGGAAUUGAAUACGGGAUUGAAUAAGUCCUUGACAUCGUGGUUCAUCCGAUGAGAUCAUCGUGGAACAUGUGGGAGCCAUCAUGGGUAUCCAGAUCCCGCUGUUGGUUAUUGACCGGAGAACGUCUCGGUCAUGUCUGCAUGUCUCCCGAACCCGUAGGGUCUACACACUUAAGGUUCGAUGACGCUAGGGUUAUAAAGGAAGCUUGUAUGUGGUUACCGAAUGUUGUUCGGAGUCCCGGAUGAGAUCCUGGACGUCACGAGGAGUUCCGGAAUGGUCCGGAGGUAAAGAUUUAUAUAUAGGAAGUCCUAUUUCGGCCAUCGGGACAAGUUUCAGGGUCAUCGGUAUUGUACCGGGACCACCGGAAGGGUCCCGGGGGCCCACCGGGUGGGGCCACCUGCCCCGGGGGGGCCACAUGGGCUGUAGGGGGUGCGCCUUGGCCUACAUGGGCCAAGGGCACCAGCCCCAAGAGGCCCAUGCGCCUAGGGAACCCUAGAGGGAAGAGUCCUCAAGGGGGAAGGCACCUCCGAGGUGCCUUGGGGAGGAUGGACUCCUCCCCCCCCUCUUGGCCGCACCCCUUUCUUGGAGUAAGGGGCAAGGCUGCGCCUCCCCCCUCUCCCUUGCCCCUAUAUAUAGUGGAGGGGAGGGAGGGCAUCCAUACCUGAGCCCUUGGCGCCUCCCUCCCUCCCGUGACACCUCCUCCUCUCCCGUAGGUGCUUGGCGAAGCCCUGCAGGAUUGCCACGCUCCUCCAUCACCACCACGCCGUUGUGCUGCUGCUGGAUGGAGUCUUCCUCAACCUCUCCCUCUCUCCUUGCUGGAUCAAGGCGUGGGAGACAUCGUCGAGCUGUACGUGUGUUGAACGCGGAGGUGCCGUGCGUUCGGCACUUGAUCAUCGGUGAUUUGAAUCACGACGAGUACGACUCCAUCAACCCCGUUCACUUGAACGCUUCCGCUUAGCGAUCUACAAGGGUAUGUAGAUGCACUCUCUUUCUACUCGUUGCUGGUCUCUCCAUAGAUAGAUCUUGGUGACACGUAGGAAAAUUUUGAAUUUCUGCUACGUUCCCCAACAGUGGCAUCAUGAGCUAGGUCUAUUGCGUAGAUUCUUUGCACGAGUAGAACACAAAGUAGUUGUGGGCGUUGAUGUUGUUCAAUAUGCUUACCGUUACUAGUCCAAUCUUGUUUCGACGGUAUUGUGGGAUGAAGCGGCCCGGACCGACCUUACACGUACUCUUACGUGAGACAGGUUCCACCGAUUGACAUGCACUUGGUGCAUAAGGUGGCUAGCGGGUGCCAGUCUCUCCCACUUUAGUCGGAACGGAUUCGAUGAAAAGGGUCCUUAUGAAGGGUAAAUAGCAAUUGGCAUAUCACGUUGUGGUUUUGCGUAGGUAAGAAACGUUCUUGCUAGAAACCCAUAGCAGCCACGGAAAACAUGCAAACAACAAUUAGAGGACGUCUAACUUGUUUUUGCAGGGUAUGCUAUGUGAUGUGAUAUGGCCAAGAAGAAUGUGAUGAAUGAUAUGUGAUGUAUGAGAUUGAUCAUGUUCUUGUAAUAGGAAUCACGACUUGCAUGUCGAUGAGUAUGACAACCGGCAGGAGCCAUAGGAGUUGUCUUUAUUUAUUGUAUGACCUGCGUGUCAUUGAAGAACGCCAUGUAAAUUACUUUACUUUAUUGCUAAACGCGUUCGCCAUAGAAGUAGAAGUAGUCGUUGGCGUGACAACUUCAUGAAGACACGAUGAUGGAGAUCAUGAUGAUGGAGAUCAUGGUGUCAUGCCGGUGACGAUGAUGAUCAUGGAGCCCCGAAGAUGAAGAUCAAAAGGAGCAAAAUGAUAUUGGCCAUAUCAUGUCACUAUAUAAUUGCAUGUGAUGUUUAUUAUGUUUAUGCAUCUUGUUUGCUUAGAACGACGGUAGUAAAUAAGAUGAUCCCUUACAAAAUUUCAAGAAGUGUUCUCCCCUAAUUGUGCACCGUUGCUACAGUUCGUCGCUUCUAAGCACCACGUGAUGAUCGGGUGUGAUGGAUUCUUACGUUCACAUACAACGGGUGUAAGACAGUUUUACACAGCGAAAACACUUAGGGUUAACUUGACGAGCCUAGCAUGUACAGACAUGGCCUCGAAACACGGAGACCGAAAGGUCGAGCAUGAGUCGUAUGGUAGAUACGAUCAACAUGAAGAUGUUCACCGACGUUAACUAGUCCGUCUCACGUGAUGAUCGGACACGGCCUAGUUGACUCGGAUCAUGUAAUCACUUAGAUGACCAGAGGGAUGUCUAUCUGAGUGGGAGUUCAUAAGAUGAACUUAAUUAUCCUGAACAUAGUCAAAAGACUUUUUGCAAAUUAUGUCGUAGUUCACGCUAUAGUUCUAUUGUUUUAGAUAUGUUCCUAGAGAAAAUAUAGUUGAAAGUUGAAAGUAGCGAUUAUGCAGACAGUAGAUAGCUUAUGUCCUUAAUGCACCGCUUAGUGUGCUAAACCCCAAACGUCGUUUGUGGAUGUUGUGAACAUCGGACAUACACGUUUUGAUAACUACGUGAUAGUUCAGUUAAACGGUUUAGAGUUGAGGCACCAAAGACGUUUUUCGAAACGUCGCGGAACAUAUGAGAUGUUUCGAGGGCUGAAAUUGGGAUUUCAGGCUCGUGCCCAUGUCAAGAGGUAUGAGACCUCCGACGAUUUUCUUAGCCUGCAAACUAAGGGAGAAAAGCUCAAUCGUUGAGCUUGUGCUCAGAUUGUCUGAGUGCAACAAUCACUUGAAUCGAGUGGGAGUUGAUCUUCCAGAUAAGAUGGUGAUGUUUCUCCAAAGUCAUUGCCACCAAGCUGCUAGAGCUUCGUGAUGAACUAUAACAUAUCAGGGAUAGAUAUGAUGAUCCUUGAAAUAAUCGUGAUGUUUGACACCGCGAAAGUAGAAAUCAAGAAGGAGCAUCAAUUGUUGAUGGUUGGUGAAACCACUAGUUUCAAGAAGGGCAAGGGAACAAAGGGAUACUUCAUGAAACGGCAAUUCAGCUGCUGCUCUAUUGAAGAAACCCAAGGUUGAACCCAAACCCAAGACUAAGUGCUUCUGUAAUAAGGGGAACAACCACUGGAGCAGCAUUACCCUAGAUACUUGGUAGAUGAGAAGGCUGGCAAGGUCGAUAGAAGUAUAUUGGAUAUACAUUAUGUUAAUGUGUACUUUACUAGUACUCCUAGUAGCACCAAGGGUAUUGGAUACCGGUUCGGUUGCUAAGUGUUAGUAACUCGAAAUAAAAGCUACGGAAUAAACGGAGACUAGCUAAAGGUGAGCUGACGAUAUAUGUUGGAAGUGUUUCCAAGGUUGAUAUGAUCAAGCAUCGCACGCUCCCUCUACCACCGAGAUUGGUGUUUGCGUUGAGCAUAGACAUGAUUGGAUUAUGUCUAUCGCAAUACGGUUAUUCAUUUAAGGAGAAUAAUGGUUACUCUAUUUUGAAUAAUACCUUCAAUGGUCAUGCACCUAAAGGAAUGGUUUAUUGAAUCUCGAUCCUAGUGAUACACAUUUUCAUGCCAAAAGAUAUAAGAUAGUAAUGAUAGUACCACUUACUUGUGGCACUGCCAUGUAAGUCAUAAUGGUAUAAAACGCAUGAAGAAGCUCCAUGUUGAUGGAUCUUUGGACUCACUCAUUUUUGAAAAGUUUGAGACAUGCGAACCAUGUCUAUUGGUAUAUAUGCAUGAAGAAACUCCAUGCAAAUGGACCGUUUGAACUCACUUGAUUUUGAAUCACUUGAGAUAUGCAAAUCAUACCACAUGGGCAAGAUGACUGAAAAGCCUCGGUUUCAGUAAGAUGGAACAAGAUAGCAACUUGUUGGAAGUAACACAUUUUGAUGUGUGCAGUCCAAUGAGUGCUGAGGCAUGCAGUGAAUAUCGUUAUGUUCUUACUUCACAGAUGAUUCGAGUAGAUGUUGAGAAUAUUUACUUGAUGAAACACAAGUCUGAAUUAUUGAAUGGUUCAAGUAAUUUCAGAGUGAAGUAGAAGAUCAUUGUGACAAGAGGAUAAAAUGUCUAUGGUAUGAUCAUAGAGAUGAAUAUCUGAGUUACGAGUUUUGGCACACAAUUAAGACAUUGUGGAAAUUGUUUCGCAAUUAAUACCGCCUGGAACACCAUAGUGUGAUGGUGUGUCCGAACAUCAUAACUGCACCCUAUUGGAUAUGAUGCAUACCAUGAUGUCUCUUAUCGAAUUACCACUAUCGUUCAUGGGUUAGGCAUUAGAGACAACCACAUUCACUUUAAAUAGGGCACCACGUAAUUCCGUUGAGAUGACACCGUAUGAAUUAUGGUUUAGAGAAACCUAAGUUGUCGUUUCUUAAAAGUUUGGGGCUACGACGCUUAUGUGAAAAAGUUUCAGGCUGAUAAGCUAGAACCCAAAGCGGAUAAAUGCAUCUUCAUAGGACACCCAAAACAGUUGGGUAUACCUCCUGUCUCAGAUCCAAAAGCAAUAAAGGAUUGUUUCUUGAAUCAGGUCCUUUCUCGAGGAAAGGUUUCUCUCGAAAGAAUUGAGUGGGAGGAUGGUGGAGACUUGAUGAGGUUAUUGAACCAUCACUUCAACCAGUGUGUAGCAGGGCACAGGAAGUUGUUCCCGUGGCACCUACACCAAUUGAAGUGGAAGCUUAUGAUAGUGAUCAUGAAACUUCAGAUCAAGUCACUCCCAAACCUCGUAGGAUGACAAGGAUGCAUACUACUUGAGAGUGGUACGUAAUCCUGUCUUGGAAGUCAUGUUGCUAGACAACAAUGAGCCUACGAGCUAUGGAGAAGCGAUGGUGGGCCCGGAUUCCGAUAAAUGGCUUGAGGCCAUAAAAUCCGAGAGAGGAUCCAUGUAUGAAAACAAAGUGAAGACUUUGGCAGAACGGCUCGAUGGUCGUAAGGCAAAUGAGUACGGAUGGAUUUUAAAAGGAAGACAGACAAUGAUGGUAAGAAUUACCAUUAAGAAAGCUCGACUUGUCGUUAAGAUGUUUUCCGACAAGUUCAAGGAGUUGACUACGAUGAGAUUUUCUCACUCGUAGCGAUGCUAAGAGUCUGUUGGAAUUAUAUUAGCGAUUACUGCAUUAUUUAUGAAAUCUUGCAGAUAGGAUGUCAAAACAUUGUUUCCUCGACGAUUUUCUUGAGGAAAGGUUGUAUGUGAUACAACCAGAAGGUUUUGUCAAUCCCGAAAGAUGCUAAUAAGUAUGCAAAGCUCCAGCAAUCCUUCUAAGGACUAGAGUGAGCAUCUCGGAGUUAGAAUGUAUGCUUUGAUGAUGAUCAAAGAUUUUGGGUUUGUACAAAGUUUAUGAGAAACUUGUAUUUCCAAAGAAGUGAGUGGGAGCACUAUAGAAUUUCUGAUGAGUAUAUGUUGUUGACAUAUUGUUGAUCAGAAAUGACGUAGAAUUUCUGGAAAGCAUAUAGGGUUAUUUUGAAAGUGUUUUUCAAUGGAAAGCCUGGAUUAAGCUACUUGAACAUUGAGCAUCAAGAUCUAUAAGGACAGAUCAAAAUGCUUAAUAAUACUUUCAAAUGAGCACAUACCUUGACAUGAUCUUGAAGGUGUUCAAGAUGGACCAGUCAAAGAAGGAGUUCUUGCCUGAGUUGUAAGGUAUGAAGUUAAGACUUAAAGCUCGACCUCGGCAGAAUAGAGAGAAAGGACGAAGGUUGUCCCCUAUGCUUAAGACAUAGGCUCUACAGUAUGCCAUGCUGAGUACCGCACCUGAAGUGUGCCUUGCCAUGAGUCAGUCAAGGGGUACAAGAGUGAUCCAUGAAUGGAUCACAGACAGCGGUCAAAGUUAUCCUUGGUAACUAGUGGACUAAGGAAUUUUCUCGAUUAUGGAGGUGGUAAAAGAGUUCGUCGUAAAGGUUACGUCGAUGCAAGCUUAACACCUAUCAGGAUAGCUCUAAGAAGAGAUACCGGAUACGUAUUAUGGGGCAACAAUUUAGAAUAGCUCCAAGUAGAACAGUUAUUUGGAAUAGCUCCAAAUAGAGCGUGGUAGCUACAUCUAGGAGAUGACAUAGAGAUUUGUAAAGCACACACGGAUCUGAAAGGUUCGGACCCGUUGACUAAAACCUCUCUCACAAGCAACAUGAUCAAACCUAAAACUCUUGGGUAUUAGUCACAUGGCGAUGUGACCUGUGAGUGUUAAUCACAUGGCGAUGUGAACUAGAUUAUUGACUCUAGUGCAAGUGGGAGACUGUUGGAAAUAUGCCCUAGAGGCAAUAAUAAAAGUGUUAUUAUUAUAUUUCCUUGUUCAUGAUAAUUGUAUUUUAUUCAUGCUAUAACUGUAUUAUCCGGAAAUCACAAUACACGUGUGAAUACAUAGACCACAAUAUGUCCCUAGUGAGCCUCUAGUUGACUAGCUCGUUGAUCAACAGAUGGUUACGGUUUCCUGACCAUGGACAUUGGAUGUCGUUGAUAACGGGAUCACAUCAUUAGGAGAAUCAUGUGAUGGACAAGACCCAAUCCUAAGACUAGCACAAAGAUCGUGUAGUUCGUUUUGCUAGAGCUUUGCCAAUGUCAAGUAUCUCUUCCUUCGACCAUGAGAGCGUGUAACUCCUGGAUACCGUAGGAGUGCUUUGGGUGUAUCAAACGUCACAACGUAACUGGGUGACUAUAAAGGUGCACUACAGGUAUCUCCGAAAGUAUCUAUUGUUUUAUGCGGAUCGAGACUGGGAUUUGUCACUCCGUGUAAACGGAGAGGUAUCUCUGGGCCCACUCGGUAGGACAUCAUCAUAUGCGCAAUGUGACCAAGGAGUUGAUCACGGGAUGAUGUGUUACGGAACGAGUAAAGUGACUUGCCGGUAACGAGAUUGAACAAGGUAUUGGAUGCCGACGAUCGAGUCUCGGGCAAGUAACAUACCGAUAGACAAAGGGAAUUGAAUACGGGAUUGAAUAAGUCCUUGACAUCGUGGUUCAUCCGAUGAGAUCAUCGUGGAACAUGUGGGAGCCAUCAUGGGUAUCCAGAUCCCGCUGUUGGUUAUUGACCGGAGAANNNNNNNNNNAUGUCUGCAUGUCUCCCGAACCCGUAGGGUCUACACACUUAAGGUUCGAUGACGCUAGGGUUAUAAAGGAAGCUUGUAUGUGGUUACCGAAUGUUGUUCGGAGUCCCGGAUGAGAUCCCGGACGUCACGAGGAGUUCCGGAAUGGUCCGGAGGUAAAGAUUUAUAUAUAGGAAGUCCUGUUUCGGCCAUCGGGACAAGUUUCGGGGUCAUCGGUAUUGUACCGGGACCACCGGAAGGGUCCCGGGGGCCCACCGGGUGGGGCCACCUGCCCCGGGGGGGCCACAUGGGCUGUAGGGGGUGCGCCUUGGCCUACAUGGGCCAAGGGCACCAGCCCCAAGAGGCCCAUGCGCCUAGGGAACCCUAGAGGGAAGAGUCCUCAAGGGGGAAGGCACCUCCGAGGUGCCUUGGGGAGGAUGGACUCCUCCCCCCCCUCUUGGCCGCACCCCUUUCUUGGAGUAAGGGGCAAGGCUGCGCCUCCCCCUCUCCCUUGCCCCUAUAUAUAGUGGAGGGGAGGGAGGGCAUCCAUACCUGAGCCCUUGGCGCCUCCCUCCCUCCCGUGACACCUCCUCCUCUCCCGUAGGUGCUUGGCGAAGCCCUGCAGGAUUGCCACGCUCCUCCAUCACCACCACGCCGUUGUGCUGCUGCUGGAUGGAGUCUUCCUCAACCUCUCCCUCUCUCCUUGCUGGAUCAAGGCGUGGGAGACAUCGUCGAGCUGUACGUGUGUUGAACGCGGAGGUGCCGUGCGUUCGGCACUUGAUCAUCGGUGAUUUGAAUCACGACGAGUAUGACUCCAUCAACCCCGUUCACUUGAACGCUUCCGCUUAGCGAUCUACAAGGGUAUGUAGAUGCACUCUCUUUCUACUCGUUGCUGGUCUCUCCAUAGAUAGAUCUUGGUGACACGUAGGAAAAUUUUGAAUUUCUGCUACGUUCCCCAACAGCGAGCACUCCGCAGCCUCGCCGAAGUCUGCCACAUUGCAGCAAUAAAUCCAUGGAACGACAUGGCCAUAACCUUCAAUGCCAGUGACAAACCUCAAUUCCGACAGUCCGAGCACCAGACGCUUUGGUCCUUAGUCCAAUUGUGCACGACUUCCGUCUUACUAAAGUACUCAUGGACGGCCGCAGCGGAUUAAACCUCAUCUAUGAAGAAACUCUCAACAAAAUGGAAAUAGAUAAGAGCCGCAUUGAGCAAAGCAGCACGACCUUUAGAGGAAUCAUCCCUAGUCGGGAGGCACGAUGUGCGGGAAAAAUCACACUAGAUGUGGUAUUCGGCACGCCGGAGAAUUAUAGGUCCGAAGAAAUCACAUUCCAAGUGGCCCCGUUCAGUAGCGGAUACCACGCCCUUUUAGGGCGGGAUGCAUUCACGAGCUUCCAAGCUAUACCCCAUUAUGGGUACAUGAAGCUCAAGAUGCCUGGGCCCAAUGGAAUCAUCACUCUAGCUAGUGAUCCAGACGUAGCACUCUGAGCCGAAAAUAAAACCGCCGCACUGGGCCUGGAGGCAUUAUCCGAAGCCCUCGCAUCUGAAGAACUAACUGCCUUGCGCUCCACAGUGGAUAGGAACGACGUGAUACUCGACAAACGACCCAAGUCCACCUCUUUCAAACCAGCGGACGAAAUAGUUAAAUUCCAGGUCCACCCAACGGACUCUACAAAAACAGCAUCCAUCGGGGCACAGCUGAACCCUACAAUAGACGCCAAACUGCGAGAGUUCUUGCGCGAGAAUUGGGACAUCUUCGCCUGGCAUCCUUCAGACAUGCCAGGUAUCCCACGCAGGCUGGUCGAGCAUAGCCUAAACAUACUGAAGGGAUACAAGCCGGUCAAGCAGACUCUUCGGCGUUUUUCAGAACCUAAGCGACAAGCCAUGGGAGAGGAGCUAGGCAAGUUACUCGAGGCCGGAUUCAUCAGAGAAAUAAAACAUCCGGACUGGCUAGCAAACCUGGUGAUGGUACCAAAGAAGGACAAAUCCUGGCGCCUAUGUGUCGAUUUCAAGGACCUCAAUAAGGCUUGCCCCAAGGAUCCCUUCUCCCUCCCCCGCAUCGAUCAAAUCAUCAACGCUACCGCAUGACACGACUCAUUGUGCUUCCUCAACGCAUACUCUGGAUACCAUCAAAUCAAGAUGGCGGAGUUCGAACAAGCCGCAACAGCAUUCAUCACUCCAUACGGCCCCUUCUGUUUUAACACCAUGCCUUUUGGGCUCAAAAACGCUGGUGCAACCUAUCAACGCAUGAUUCAGACAUGCCUGGAAACACAAAUUGGCAAAACAGUUGAGGCAUACGUAGACGAUAUGGUCAUCAAAACCAGACACGUCGAGUCUUUAGUAGACGACCUGAGGCUUACGUUCGACAAUCUUCAAACAUAUGACAUCAAGCUCAACCCGGAAAAAUGCGUUUUCGGCGUCCCUGCCGGAAAGCUGCUAGGCUUCAUCGUUUCCAAUAGAGGAAUUGAAGCAAAUCCAGCUAAAAUCUGAGCUCUGUCACAGUUGGAUACCCCAAUAGACGUCAAGCAAAUCCAGAAGUUAACUGGAUCGUGGCUGCCUUAAGCUGCUUUAUCUCCCGAUUGGGAGAAAAGGCACUACCUCUCUAUCGCCUUCUUCGACGCACCAAACACUUCGAGUGGACGGAUGCGGCCACGGCCGGACUGGAAGAAAUAAAGGCCCUCUUGGCUAGCAAUCCAAUCCUGGCCGCACCAAACAUCGGCGAACCCAUGCUGUUAUAUAUAGCUGCAACGCACCAAGUUGUAAGCGUAGUGCUAGUCGUCGAACAAGAGGAGGACGAACAUAAGUUUCCGCUUCAAAAGCCGAUAUACUACGUAUCCAUUGUCCUCACACCAUGCAAGUCACGGUACCCACAUUAUCAAAAGAUAGCAUACGCGGUCUUCAUGGCAUCCCAGAAACUGCGACACUACUUUCAAGAGUGUUCAAUCACGGUGGCCUCAGAAGUACCACUCAACGAUAUAAUAAAUAACCGCGAUGCCACGGGCCGGAUUGCUAAGUGGGCCAUCGGGCUCCUCCCGUUCGACAUCAUAUAUAAACCACGACGAGCCAUUAAGUCGCAAGUACUGGCUGACUUUGUCGCCGAAUGGACAGAAGCCGAACUCCCUAAAGAGUACGGCGCAUACUCCAAUUGGAUCAUGCACUUUGACGGCUCUAAGAUGCUGGCUGGUCUGGGAGCGGGUGUUGUCCUGACAUCCCCCACUGGAGAUACAGUCCAAUACACAUUACAAAUACUAUACACAGACUCCAACAAUGUAGCCAAAUACGAGGCUCUGUUGCACGGUCUUCCGAUGGCGGUCUCCAUUGGCAUUUAACGCCUAGAGGCGCGGGGGGAUUCGUACCUCGCAAUAUCUCAAAUAAAUGGAGACUUUGAUGCCAAGGACCCAAAAAUGGCGGCUUACCGCAAUGUCAUCCUCAAAAUGUCAGCUCGGUUCAAGGGGCUCGAAUUCCACCAUGUGGUCCGAGAAAACAAUCAAGCGGCGGAUAUCCUCGCCCGCAUCGGUGCUAAGAGCAACCCCGUCCCACCUAAUAUCUUCUCGGAAAGGCUGUUCAAGCCAUCCGUGGUGUGGGAAGGGGAGACCGGCAAUACUAGUCCGGAUCCGACCACAACCCCAGAUCCCGAACACUCUGACAUAAUCGGAGGCUCCGCCACAGAAAUAACACCUUUGGCCCACGUUAUCAUGGCUGUUAUCGCCCCGUGGAUAGAACCCUUCUUAGCCUACCUAAAUAGGCAAGAACUCCCUGAGGACCAAAAUGAGGCACGUUGCAUUGUGCGGCGCUCUAAAGCCUACAAAGUUCACGAGGGAGAUCUUUAUAAGAAAAGCGCUACCGGAGUACUCCAAAGGUGCAUCUCCGAAGAGGAAGGGCGGCAGCUUUUGGCUGAAAUUCAUGCUGGACUCGGCGGCCACCACGACGCUGCUCGGGCCCUUGUAUACAAGGCCUUCCGUACAGGUUUCUACUGGCCGACAGCCCGAGCAGAUGCACAGGACCUCGUCCAACAUUGCGUCGGUUGCCAGCUGUUUGCAAAUUAAAGUAAUAUGCCACUCACCGCCCUCCAAACAAUCCCCAUAACUUGGCCCUUUGCGGUCUGGGGGCUCAAUAUGGUUGGACCCCUUAAAGAAGGAAGCCAUAAUAAAAAAAUACUUGUUGGUCAUGGUGGAUAAAUUCACCAAAUGGAUAGAAGCCAAACCAGUUAAAACGGCCGAAUCCGGACCACUAAUAGACUUCAUAUCAGGGGUCGUAUGAUACAUCUCCAACGUAUCUAUAAUUUUUGAUUGUUCCAUGCUAUUAUAUUAUCCCUUUUGGAUGUUUAUGGGCUUUAUUUGACACAUUUAUAUCAUUUUUGGGACUAACCUACUAAUCGGAGGCCCAGCCCGUAUUGCUGUUUUUUUGGCCUAUUUCAGUAUUUCGAAGAAAAAGAAUAUCAAACGGAGUCCAAACGGAAUGAAACCUUUGGGACCGUGAUUUUUGGAACAAACGUGAUCGAGAGGACUUGGAGUGCAAGUCAAGAAGCAGCCGAGGCUUCCACGAGAUAGGAGGGCGCCCCCCUAUAGGGCGCGCCCCUGUCUCGUGGGCCCCUCGGGCGGCCACCGACGUACUUCUUCCUCCUAUAUAAGCCUACGUACCCCAAAAACAUCCAGGGAGCCAACGAAACACAAUUUCCACCGCCGUAACCUUCUGUUUCCGCGAGAUCUCAUCUUGGAGCCUUCGCCGGCACUCUGCCGGAGGGGGAAUCGACCAUGUAGGGCUUCUACAUCAACAUCCUUUCCCCUCUGAUGAGUUGUGAGUAGUUUACCACAAACCUACGGGUCCAUAGUUAUUAGCUACAUGGCUUCUUCUCUCUUUUUGGAUCUCAAUACAAUGUUCUCCCCUCUCUUGUGGAGAUUUAUUCGAUGUAAACUCUUUUUGCAGUGUGUUUGUCGAGAUCCAAUGAAUUGUGGGUUUAUGAUCAAGUUUAUCUAUGAAUAAUAUUUGAAUCUUCUCUGAAUUCUUUUAUGUAUGAUUGAGUUAUCUUUGCAAGUCUCUUCGAAUUAUCAGUUUGGUUUGGCCUACUAGAUUGAUCUUUCUUGCCAUGGGAGAAGUGCUUAGCGUUGGGUUCAAUCUUGCGGUGUCCUUACCCAGUGACAGCAGGGGUUGCAAGGCACAUAUUGUAUUGUUGCCAUCGAGGAUAAAAAGAUGGGGUUUAUAUCAUAUUGCUUGAGUUUAUCCCUCUACAUCAUGUCAUCUUGCUUAAGGUAUUACUCUGUUCUUAUGAACUUAAUACUCUAGAUGCAGGCAGGAGUCGGUCGAUGUGUGGAGUAAUAGUAGUAGAUGUAGGCAUGAGUCGGUCUACUUGUUGCGGACGUGAUGCCUAUAUACAUGAUCAUGCCUAGAUAAUCUCAUAAUUAUUUGCUUUUCUAUCAAUUGCUCGACAGUAAUUUGUUCACCCACCGUAAUACUUAUGCUAUCUUGAGAGAAGCCACUAGUGAAACCUAUGGCCCCCGGGUCUAUCUCUUAUCAUAUUUUCUUCCAAUCUAUUUUUAUUUGCAUCUUUACUUUUUGCAUCUAUAUUAUAAAAUACCAAAAAUAUAUUUAUCUUAUCAUACUAUCUCUAUCAGAUCUCACUUUCGCAAGUGGCCAUGAAGGGAUUGACAACCCCUUUAUUGCGUUGGUUGCGAGUUCUUUGUUUGUUUGUGUAGGUGCGUGGGACUUGUGAGGAGUCUCCUACUGGAUUGAUACCUUGGUUCUCAAAAACUGAGGGAAAUACUUACGCUACUAUCGCUGCAUCACCAUUUCCUCUUCAAGGAAAACCAACGCAAGCUCAAGAUGUAGCAUCGUACACCGUUACGGUGUCCCCCACAGCAUCAUCACCGAUAAUGGCUCCAACUUCACAGCCAACGAGGUGAAAACUUGGUGCGGCAACAUGGGCAUUAAGCUCGAGUACGCCUUCGUCUAUCACGUCCAAACAAACGGUCAAGUCGAACAAGCAAAUGAUCUUAUUAUGAGCGGCAGCAAACCCAGACUAGUGCGAUCUUUGAAGGAAUCAGAUAAGCACUGGGUCGAGGAGCUCGACUCCGUACUAUGGGGGCUGCGGACCACGCUGAAUCGCACUAUCGGAUACAGACCAUUUUUAUGGUGUACGGCGCAAAGGCGGUAUUGCCCUGCGAUAUCAUUCAUGACUCACCUCGAGUGCACAUGUACGAAGAGAGAGAAGCCGAGUUUGAUCGGCAGGACAGUUUAGAUGCCCAGGAGGAUGAGCUUGACGUUGCAAAAGCCCGUUCCGCAUUCUAUCAGCAACAGGCUCGAAGGUAUCAAAGCAGAGAAGUACGGGCCAAAACUUAUAACGUUGGCGAACUCGUUCUAUGCUUACCAGAGAAGAAAAAAGACAAGCUCAAGCCCAAAUGGGAGGGUCCCUUCACCAUUGAUAAAGUUCCCACUGGAGGAGCGUACCGUCUGCGUGAUGCAUCUGAUAAUCGACUUGAGCCAAAUCCAUGGAACGCGGCCAGACUCCGAAGAUUCUACGCCUAGUGCCGAACUCUGUGUCCGUCUCCUUACCUCCGCCUUUCUUUUUUAAGUUAUAUCCUCUUUCUCUCUUCUUUCCUUUUUUUCCUUUUUAUGGCCUUAAAGGCUUCAAGUGUGUUCUUUACUACAUAAUCUUGACGCGCCAUGCCUUCUCACUAUACCUGGGGGCUUCUUAUACAGAAGCUUAAUAUAAUUAUCUCCCGGACUUUAUGCCCACUACAUACGUGCCACUUUUCCAUAUGUACCUUUUUAUGCCAUUAUAUGCAUCAAUAUGACUUAAGUUUUGGCCAAGCUGGGUUGCCUGGCUCCUGUGUUUAUGCCCUAUGUUCCCGUUAGUUCGGCUAGGGCAUAAGGGGAGCACCUCUGCGAUUGUUACUGCCGGGUCAGCCGGACGUGUACCUUAGACUGGGUGAAGCCAAAAGCUACGUUCUUAAGAGAAUAUUCGGUCGGUGAACAAAAGAUGAAUUUUACCUAUUUACAAUACAAACCCCUAGAUGUUUCAUAUUCUGUGUCUCUGUUCGCAGUUCGGACAUGCACAUUAAUGCAUGUGUACCCAGGGAAAGGAACCCUUAACGGAACUAUUCUCCUGGAAGAUGUUUCUUACUAUCCAUGUAAUAUAACAUAACUAGUUGGGUACUUGUCUGUUCAAGCACUUAUGACCCCUACGCCUGGUUUCCACGUGUACCCCGGUUUACAUACUGAGCGGGUAUUCAGAUACACUCCGGACUGUCGGGUCCAGAGGUUGAAGCGAAAAGGUCCGCCAUGACAAAUGAUUUACAAUCCGGCUAGGGACAAAAUAUGUCAUUUGAAGUACACGGUCACUUAGGCUGACUAAAUUCUUCUUCUAUACCAUCCAACAGGCUGGCUAGCCUACAAUCAUGUUGGGAAUACUUUGCGGCUAAUCCUACCUGGUCAUAUACCAUACUAACGGGGAUCUCUUUCCCAUCUGAACCUACAGGUCUGACCUCGGCCAUAUGAUUCGGGUCAACCUUGGUGUACCGCGUCUUCACCAUGGCCCAGGCUUCCCUCGCACCUUGUCAGCAGGCCGAUAUCUUCCAUAAUAGUAAGUGCCGCCACGCUCCCUUGAGCAUCUCUACAAGCUCCCCCAUGCCUCCUGGCAGGGAGGCGGAUGGCCACAAGGCCUGGGUAAUACCCUGCAUCACCUGCCGAACUUGUUCGUGCAGUUGUGAGAGCUCUUGCAGAAGAUCGCAUGUGGAUCCAGGCAUCUCCUCUUCGAGACGACUUGUCAGCAUACCUACAAACAUAACUCUGUUAGAACGUCUCUUCGCCGAACUGUAUAAAGGUUCAUUCGAGCACUUACUAAAAAUGUCGCGUCGAAGCCUCUUAUUCUCCUUCACGGAGUCAGCAAGCUGGGCUCGAACAUCUUUUAAUUCAACGCCCAGCCAGGUAUUGGCGUCUUGGAGAUCGUUUUUCUCCCGCCUAACCCGUGUAAGCACAUGCUCGCCAGCCUCUAGUUGUUGUUUAGCUGGGUGCUCAUCCUCUUGUACGAUCUCUGGAUUCACUUCGGGAUUGUCUGCAGAAUCUAUUGUUAGAUUUGCAAACAUGCCGAAUACUAACUCGUACGUAUAAAUCUGUUCUUUUCGAUCAAGACAAGUAUUACCAGAUGAGGCCUUCUUGGAUUCCUCCAUUCCGGCAAUUGCGGCCCUUAGCAGGGCUUUGCACUCCUCCAGCUCUUGAGACAAAUUGGUGUUCUUCUCUGUAAGAACCUAUUCAUACAAUGAUCCUUAAAUCAAUUCUGCCAACUGUUUCAAGUCUCAGGGGCUACUGAUAUACAUAAUUAUGAGAUUUUCUUACCCGUAUAUCCUUUAAAUACUGGUCCAUGGCUCUAGCAAGACCACCUUGAGCAGCUCGGAUGUACGUGUCUCCUGAGUUGAAGGCAUUGAACGCCUCUUCGGAGAAAUUAGGGCCGCGUAGUACGACCCGACGACGCCUGUGAUUCAUGGCGCUCUCCACUUCGGAGUUUGUAGCGGAUAUUCUAUCUGCAUUUGUAGGAGGACCGUCCGACGUUGUCCCCGCGUUGGCCUCCGCCCCUAAGUUCGGCUCCGGAGUCCGGCUGGUGGAGGUGUGGCCGGCAUGCUCUCCGGACACAGUCCGGCGAGCGCUUUUUCUGCCUGGGAACCAUGGACAUUGUUAUAUUUUAAAAGACGAUAAUCACGUAGCGGGUUUUUAAUCAUACCUCUGCAAUGGCGUCUCGCCUGACCGCCUUCCUUUUAAGCCUACCCGGCUUCGGUGCCCCUUGUUGACGAGUCACCGCGGGUCCGGCACGGCACCCCGAUGGCCUUCCCUAUAAAAUGCAAUAGAUGUGCGGUGGGUAAGGCACAAAGAAGGGAUCCUUCUCGAAGUUUAGGACUCCGGUUUUACUUACAUGUGAUGCAGGGAGUAGGCCGGGAUAAUCAGCUAUGAUGGCCACUAAGGCACCGCCACAGCUUAACUGGUAAAACAUCCUGUCGACAAGCUCCACAAAUAUGUCCGGAUCUUCUUCGAGUCCGGGGUCGAGGGCCCGGUCAGGGUCCUCUGGCUGUGGAGAUAGGCUGUGGACCUCCCUCACAGCUUUUCGCAGUUCCUGCUAUGAAUUAGCAAGGUAAAUAUUUGUGAUGAAGAAUGCAGGAAUGAAUGGAGUUGAGUAAAAGAUAGCAGCUCACCUAGCAUGGGGGGUUGUACAUGGAAAAUCCAUCCCGUGGCUUAAUGCGGAUAAACUCCUCUUCUUCUCCUUUAUACAAAUCGGACAAUAUUUUCGCCAGAGCGGUGGUGGAGUCCAGACCUUUAUGACCACAGCGGGUGGCAUCAUCUUCUCCUUUGAAGUGCCACAUGGGUUUCCCCCGAUACUGGAGUGGCUGCACCCCCCGCAUUAUGCAUAUUGACAUAACCUCGAUUAUUGUCAAUCCUAAUUUGGCCAGCAUUUUUAUCCUGCCCAUCAGAUAAAGGAGUUCUCUGUUAUUUUCCUCCUGGGGGCUCCGGGGAUGCCAGCUGCGGCGUUUCUUCAGUGGGGCAUUGGCAAACUCAGGAAGGCCCAUCCGGAUAGGGUCCGGAAGGGGAUGUCGUCUAUAUAAAACCAUUCCGAAGGCUAGUCUUCAGAUGUCUUCUUCGGAGUGCCAGACAGGUAUCAGGUCCCGACGAUGUGCCAUAUUUCGGCUCCACCCACUUGAUAUAUUGAUCCCUCCUGAUUACGAGGGACGAGGCAGAAUAGCCUCUUCCAUAGCUCGAAAUGAGCUUCGCAGCCUAGAAAUAGCUCGCAAAGGGCGACAUAACCUGCGAUGUGCAGUAUGGAAGCAGGAGUGAAGUUAUGCAGCUGGAGGCCGUAGUACUCCAAGAUUCUGCGGAGGAACGGAUGGAUUGGAAAUCCGAGGCCCCUCAGCAAGUAAGGGACAAGGCAUACUCGCUCUCCCCUGGAUGGGUUGGGGAAACUCUCUGCUUGCUCCCCACCAUCAUAAGUGGCUAGUCUGGCUCUGACGGGGACCAGAUAGGUAGGUAGGAGAAACCCCUAGGUCUGCAACUCCACUAAACGGCCAUGGGGUACAUAACACUUCUCCCAAUCACCUGUCUUAGCGCUACGGGAGCGAGAGGAGGAGCUGCGGCGGCCGGCCAUGGUGGGAUGGCUUUUUUCGGGCGCGCUCUGAUGGAUCCUUGCUGGGGGAAGAUGGUGUGAUUUGGAUCUGAGGAUCCUCAUCCCUUUAAUAGACAAUUUAUUUACAUGGUCAGGGUGGCAGAUGUAAAAAUUCCCCGACUUCUCGCAUUCGCUCGACACGUGGAGACUGCCAUUAUUAAGGUACAGAAGCCGAGGACUGCAACAUUAAUGGGAGGCCGGACACUGCUUGUUACAACAGGUACUCCGGGAUUUUGCAGAAGAACCCGCCUUGCAAUGCCGAAGGAAAUCUGCGCGCCAGACUCAUCGUCAUUGAAGCCUAGUUCAGGGGCUACUGAGGGAGUCCUGGAUUAGGGGGUCCUCGGACGGCCAGACUAUGUACUUGUGCCGGAAUGUUGGACUAUGAAGAUACAAGAUUGAAGACUUCGUCCCGUGUCCGGGUGGGACUCUCCUUUGCAUGGAAGGCAAGCUUGGCAAUUCGGAUAUGUAGAUCUCCUUCUCUGUAACCGAUUCUGUGUAACCCUAGCCCCCAGAGGGUUUAGUCCGUAGGACAACAACAAUCAUAAUCAUAGGCUAGCGUCUAGGGUUUAGCCUCUACAAUCUCGUGGUAGAUCAACUCUUGUAAUACUCAUAUCAUCAAGAUCAAUCAAGCAGGAAGUAGGGUAUUACCUCCAUCGAGAGGGCCCGAACCUAGGUAAACAUUGUGUCCCCCGCCUCCUGUUACCAUUAGCCUUAGACACACAGUUUGGGACCCCCUACCCGAGAUCCGCCGGUUUUGACACCGACACUAAGCGCUUGAGAAAGUAUCUGUGUGUGAGAGCUGGGAAACGACAGGCAAAACUUUGUACAAUGGAAGGCAGGACCCGCAGGCUGAGAGGGGAGACUUGUUGCUUCUGCGAUGCGCAUAUAACUUUGAAACUUGAUAAAGAGCGUGACGUUUGGUAUGUCAGCAGUUUCAGUGAUGAUCACAGUCACGUUCUAGCUAGACCAGAUGAAGUCACGUUUCUUCAGUCUCAUAAUCAGAUAAAAGAAUAUCAGAAAGCUGAGAUCUUAACUAUGGCAGGUGCUGGAAUCAGGAAACAUAUGAUUUAUGAUAAUCUUGUCACUAGGUACAGGUCAUAUGCAAAGGCUGGUUUUGGGAGGAAGAAGCUUUAUAACAUGUGUUAUAGUGAAAAAAUGAUGUUGCUUGCACAAGGUGAUGCAGACACUGCCAUUGGGAUCAUGAUGACCAGAAGAGAGAGGGAUCCAGAUUUCUUCUUUGAGCACACCGUCGAUGAUGAAGGAAGGCUGAAAAACAUAUUCUGGUGUGAUUCUGAAUCACGUUGAGACUAUGUUGACUACGGUGAUGUGACCGUCUUCGAUAGCACAUACAGGAUGAAUAGGUAUGGCAUGCCAUUUAUACCUUUUGUCGGUCUGAACAACCACCGUUGCACCACGGUAUUCGGUUGUGCUCUUGUGUCUGACGAGACGGAAGAUACAUAUGUUUGUCUGCUUCAGACGUUUUUGAGGGCUCACUGUCAGAAGAGGCCCAGGUUAGUAAUUACUGAUGGAGAUGCAGCGAUGAUUAAGGCCAUCAGAAAGGUACUUUCGGAGAUUUGGCAUCGUCUUUGCUCGUGGCAUAUUGAGAAGAACAUGCAGAAACACCUUCAUCAUAAGUCUCUAAAGGAGUUCAAGUCUCUACUUUAUUAUGCCACUUCAAAAAAAGUAUUUGAGGAGGGAUGGGCAACGUUUACCGCCAAAUGGUAGUCGGAGAAAACAAAGACAUGGUUACGUAGGAUGUACAAGAAGAAAAGGCUUUGGGCUGCAUCAUAUCUGUCUGGUGGGUUUUUCCUAGGUAUGCGAAGUAACCAGCGAAGUGAGAGUCUGAAUUCAUGCCUUCACUUGCAUCUAGACUCCGGUAUGACUAUUGUUGAUAUGAUUGUGCACUAUGAGAACUGCAUAGUUCGUCUCCGUGAGAACGAGGCGCAUGACGAUUACACAAACUCAUAGACAGUCCCAGUACCAGUAUUGGACGAGUGUAAAGAUAUUGAUAUAUCAGCUACCUGUGAGUUCACUACGGCAAACUUUUAUAUCUUACAGGAAGAUAUGAAGAAGGCACGGGAGCUUGAGGUCCUUGAGAGACCGAGAGAAGCAGACACUCACAGAUUCAUACUGACGUGGAAGGAAAAUAGGGAUAUCAGAUUCACUGUGGACUACACCCCAGGUAACUCUGAAGAAACCGUGAAGUGCAGUUGCAGAAGUAUGUAUCGCAAAGGACUUCCUUGCAAACAUAUUCUUCAUGUUCUGAUUCAGCUACGCUUACGUGAGAUACCUAAGUGUUUAGUACUGCGGAGGUUGAGCCAAGUUGCAAGGGGUGGACUUCCCGUGAAGCGCACUAGCGAUCUGUUUGCGUGGGGAUUGGCAGGUGCAGGGGACAGAGCUAGGUACAACGAGUUGACUAUCUUAUCUGCCGAAGCAACUCAUAAAGCAUGCCAUAAACCAUUUUUAUUCGACAAGUUGAAGGCGACUCUGAGGGACAUAAUAGAUAAUCAUUACACUGAGGAGGAUGAGCCUGGUGCGGAGGAAAAGUUUGUGAACGACGAUGCAUUUGAGCCUAAUCAAGAUCAUGGUCUUGUUCGUGAUCCCGCAAAAGUUAACACCAAAGGCGCACCAAAACAGAAUGUUAAAGGCCCCGGUAGGGAUGGUCCUGAUGUCACUAAAAAUGGGCGACCUAAAGCUUUUGAUGAGAAAAGCAAACGUUAAUGUGGACAGUGCGGUCCUACGGGUCAUUAUAAGUCCACGUGCCCUCAAAAUCCUAAGUAUGAUUUUCGUAUGUUCUUGUAAAUCUUAUUGUUCAAACCAAAUUUGUUUGUUUAUUGUGAAUUAACACAUAUCUUACUGUCUUGGUAUGUAGGAACUUUGCUUGAAUUCUGGAGUAUGGAAGAUUGCUUCACCCUUUGAUUGAAGACAAUUUUUUGAUGGAUUGCUUCUAUUUAUGAGAUCUUUUUUAAUUGUUAAAUUAUGUUAUAUCAGACUUAUUUUACUUUGUUGAUGUCAAACUUUGUUCAUGUCAGACUAUUUGCUAAGAUACCCACAUAAGUAUUUGUUCGAUGACAGACUAUGUAAUGUAAGAAGUAUUUUUACUUUGUUUAUUUUGAUGUGCUCAUUAUGCAUUGUAGUGCCGUCGCUGUUUACUGUUGGUUUUCUGCACUGUCGCCGUCGCUGUUUACUAUUGGUUUUCUGCACUGUCGCUGUCGCUUACAACCCCGUCGUUUUUAGAUUUUUUUUUAAAAAGCCCGACAAGUGCGCCGGUGGCACUGUCCCACAAGACAGCGUCGGACGACAGCACUGUCCCACAGGGCAGCGUCGGACGGCGGCAACAUAGCAAGUUAAUUAGAGGAGUUUGACUGCCUAUGUGCCGCCGGGUAUAUAAGCUGGUCGUCACGCGCUCCGUCGGGCGAGGUGGGACUAAACAUUUCCUGUCGCUCCGCGUGGUACUUGGGUCGUCGUCGCGCGCUCCGUCAGGCUGUAAAGUGUUAUUGGGCCGGCACACGCGAUCAGGCGCGUCGCUGCCGACACGGAGGCGGCGAUGGGAAAUGUUUAGUCCCACCUCGCCCGACGGAACGCGCGAUGACCUGCUUAUAUACCCGGCGGCACAUAUGCAGUCAAACUCCUCUGAUUAAAUCGCUAUGUGAUGUCUACUACACAACCUUCUUUUUGUAGACGUUGUUGGGCCUACAAGUGCACAGGUUUGUAGGACAGUAGCAAAUUUCCCUCAAGUGGAUGACCUAAAGUUUAUCAAUCCGUGGGAGGCGUAGGAUGAAGAUGGUAUCUCUCAAACAACCCUGCAACCAAAUAACAAAGAGUCUCUUGUGUCCCCAACACACAUAAUACAAUGGUAAAUUGUAUAGUUGCACUAGUUCGGCGAAGAGAUGGUGAUACAAGUGCAAUAUGGAUGGUAGAUAUAGGUAUUUGUAAUCUGAAAAUAUAUAAACAGUAAGGUAAGUAAUGAAAAAAGUGAGCGUAAACGGUAUUGCAAUGGUAGGAAACAAGGCAUAGGGUUCAUACUUUCACUAGUGCCAGUUCUCUAAACAAUAAUAACAUAGAUAGAUCAUAUAACAAUCGCUCAACAUGCAACAAAGAGUCACUCCAAAGCCACUAAUAGCGGAGAACAAACGAAGAGAUUAUGGUAGGGUACGAAACCACCUCAAAGUUAUUCUUUCGGAUCAAUCUAUUAAGAGUUCGUACUAGAAUAACACCUUAAGACACAAAUCAACCAAAAUCCUAAUGUCACCUAGAUACUCCAUUGUCACCUCAAGUAUCCGUGGGCAUGAUUAUACGAUAUGCAUCACACAAUCUCAGAUUCAUCUAUUCAACCAACACAAAGUACUUCAAAGAGUGCCCCAAAGUUUCUACCGAAAAGUCAAGACGAAAACAUGUGCCAACCCCUAUGCAUAGGUUCAUGGACGGAACCCGCAAGUUGAUCACCAAAACAUACAUCAAGUGGCACGUGAUAUCCCAUUGUCACCAUAGAUAAGCACGGCAAGACAUACAUCAAGUGUUCUCAAAUCCUUAAAGACUCAAUCCGACAAGACAACUUCAAAGGGAAAACUCAAUUCAUCACAGGAGAGUAGAGGUGGAGAAACAUCAUAAGAUCCAACUAUAAUAGCAAAGCUCGCGAUACAUCAAGAUCGUGCCAUAUAGAGAACACGAGAGAAAGAGAGAGAUCAAACACAUAGCUACUGGUACAUACCCUCAGCCCCUAGGGUGAACUACUCCCUCCUCAUCAUGGAGAGCGUCGGGAUGAUGAAGAUGGCCACCGGUGAUGGGUUCCCCAUCCGGCAGUGUGCCGGAAUGGGCUCCCGAGAGGUUUUUGGUGGCUACAGAGGCUUGCGGCGGCGGAACUCUCGAUCUAUCUUCUGUAUCGAUGUUUUUAGGGUACGUAGAUUUAUAUAGGCGAAAGAAGUCGGUCGAGGGAGGCUCGAGGGGCCCAUGAGAGGGUAGGGCAUGCCCAGGGGGUGGGCGCGCCCCCCUAUCUCGUUGCUUCCUCGAUGCUCCCCUAGCUUGCACUCCAAGUUUCCUGAGUCACGUUCGUUUCAAAAAUAAGUUCUCCGAAGGUUUCAUUCCGUUUGAUAUUCCUUUUCUUCGAAAUACUGAAACAGGCAAUAAAACAGCAAUAUGGGCUGGGCCUCCGGUUAGCAGGUUAGUCCCAAAAAUGAUAUAAAUGUGUAAAAUAAAGCACAUAAACAUCCAAAAGGGGUAAUAUAAUAGCAUGGAACAAUCAAAAAUUAUAGAUACGUUGGAGACGUAUCACUAUGCUACCGUCGUCCGACGCUGCCCUGUGGGACAGUGCUGUCGGUCCAGUCUGACGUCAGACUGGCCAGCGCACUUGUCGGGCUAUUUUUUUUUAAAAAAAGCUAAGAACGACGGUGUUAUAAACGACGGUGUUAUAAGCAACGGUGAAAAUGCAAAAAAACAACAGUAAACAAUGACGGCACUACAGUGCAUAAUGAAUACAUGGGCAUUUUUUAAAAAUAUUUACAAGUAUAGGAAAACAUGGACUGUUAUAUUCAAACAAGUUGACGACGACAGAAGUAUGAAUAUGAAUAAUUCAAAUUUAAAGACGACGACAUGAAGACAAAAUAAUAACCCAAAUGUCAUUCUCGACUUAAAUAUUCAAAAUAGUAGUGCCUUCCUCGUCACAAGAUAUCAAAGUCGAAAUAAAUGUAAACAUCAUUUGAGCCUACAAAAUUUUCUAGUACAUAAAUUUUGCCACAUUUAUUUCUUCUUUGCAAGCCGGGUAACUUUGUCCUUCACAUCGUUGAGCGUAUUUCUCUCCGAAAAAAUAAGCUUCGCAAUCAUUAAGUCCCUCGAUUUAUCAAUUCACCCCUGUUAGAACUUUAUAUUAGUACAAUCCAAAUAGUAUUACACAAUGAAUUCAAUUGAAUAUAAGCAUUUGAAAUAAAACCAGACCUGCGAAAAACGGCUUGUCCAUUUUUCACCGUUCCAAUAUUGAAAGCAUCGAAGAACAAAUAUUCCACAUGAAUUGUUGGUCCAUACAAACAACGGUUCAUAAGUUUGCAUUUUAGGUAAGAUAUUAAAAUAAUAUGAAAGUAUUUACUCACAUGUCUUCUUGUUGUGGCAUGUAAUACGUUUUGAUAGGCCAGGUAGACACAUCCGGAUAAUUCACAGCACCGCUCGCAUUCGCAUCGCGUAUGUCAUAUCCAAGUUGUUUUCUCUGUUCAUAUAAAUGAUAGCACGAAAAGGAUUUAACAUAGUUCAGUUACUAAAUGAUAGUUUCAAUAUGCUCAUGUAAAUUUAUGCCGUACCAGUUCCUCAACUUUGUCUCUAAUUUCACUGUCAAGUUCGGGUCCCAUCAAAGAAUCAAGAACCUGGAACUCUUCCUUCGGGCGAUGCAUGACGACCGAAACCCAGUGGGUAUUUCCCUUAUUAAGAGGAAUAUAAGUCUGCAUCACAACGAAAAUAUGAUGUAAUCAACAUAUACUGUCUUAUUAUUUAUAUCCCAUAUAUGCAUACAUUAAGCCAGUCGAACUUACCUUAUCUUUUUUUAAAAUAUUCAUCGGUGCAUUUAUUCACGGGUCCAUUCUUCUUCGCCAUAACUUCGUUGUCAUUUUUUCCUGGCUCAGUGUCCGGUCUAAAUUCAAGUAACCAAUUGACCAGUCAGGUCGGCAUUAUAUGACAAUCAUCACCAAAAACUCCCAACAGAUACGACGAAUAAGCAUUGAUAACUUGAAAAUAAUUUAAAUGAUCUAUAACAAUUCCAAUUUGCGUUGAACGCUAAUAGAAAACACAACAAUAACUUACAACACCGGUUAGCCAUUGAUGGUCAAGAGUCUUACAAGCCCUCUCUGGACUGAGACAUUUCCGCAUGCCAUCAUUGAAUAUUUCAUUCUUUUCUAUGUUUUGCUGACUGCUCAUAAGCACGGACAAACUUAACACUAGCUUUAAUCAUAUCGUAAUCAUCUUGAAAGACUUCUUUCUCGAAUAGUUCUGCAAUACAUAACGAUAAUAUGUUAAUAAAUCAAUGAUAAGUAGUAAGUUCAGCUCGAAAACAAUAUGAUAAAACUCACUUGCUUUUGCUGAACGUUGUGCACGCUUUGUCGGUAUAGCUUGCACAUAAGGAGACUUUAUAAGGUUUGAUACCUUCCGCUUCCGUUUCCCUACAACCUCCUCUGGUACCUCAUCUUCUCCAAUAGAAUCUACGGAUCCACGUGAUGCAAUUUCAUCUGUUCCUAAAGAUGUAACGGAUUUCUCAUUAGAUACCUCAGGAACUUCGAUAGGAUCUUCUUUAUCACCCUUUAAACUAUCCCAAUAAUCAGGUGUGCAAUAAUAAGGUCUCUUCUCUUCAGAAUCAUUAAGAUCAUCUUCAUCAUCCUCUUGCACAUUCUUUUUUCCUGAUGUUUUGAAAUUGUCCAUAUCAGGAUUAUAUACAAAUUCUUUACGAGGUUUUCCGCCAUAGUUUCUAGUUUCACUAUUUUCACCAUACUCAUUCUCUUCUUCUUUUUCAAUAUCACUGUCUUUGUAGAAUACAACGCUUUUGUUUAAUUUCUCUAUGACCCUCUGUGAUUAAAAAUUAGUUGUAGUUACUUAUGUGACACAUCAAAAAACAAAGUGAACGGCAAAAUAAGAAAACUUGUACCUGUGUGCAUAGCUCCGGCAUACGAAGCAUGUCCUUACGAAUGUGCUUCAGCUCAGUCAAAAUCCGAUCCAUAAUAGGGUUCUGGAUAGCGGAAGCCUCAGAUGUACUCACGCCUGUUCCCCUUCCUGUAAUGUUAGACUUUCUCGUACUGGAUUUCUUGUUUUCUUCAGCCUAUUCCACUCUAAUUUUGUUUAAUCGGUACUCUUCAGUAAUGGUGUCAUCGAUCUACAACAUAAAGAAGCAUACAUUCAUAUUUAAUUAAUAAUUAAUUGCAGACUUUAAAUGAAAAAAAAAUUAACGUAUUACCAUCCCAACACCAUGACCAUAUUGAAAGUCAUACUUGUCUCUUUUCUCGGCUGCCUCUUCUUUCCAAUUCCCCAUCAAGGGGCUCAACGGCGCUAAAGGAUCAUACUGCGGACCGGUGCUUGGUUGCACCUUCUCCCAAUAUAGAUACUGCAAAACAAAAAAACAACCAUUUAGCAUGUGUUACACUAUUAUUACAUAAUACAAAUAUUCAAUUUAAUAAAUAAAUCAUACCUGCAGAAGUGCGAGGUUGCCACGUGGCCAUACCCUAACACGGCCGGGCUGCAAGACCAUACCAAUCUCCAACAAACAAAAUUGCAAAGUGAAUGCGUUCCAGUUGAACUUUUUUAUGAACCUGACAUCUUGCACUAGUGCAUAAUAAUUCUUCGGAAUAUAGUCAUUAGACACUGGUGCAAUUAUAGUCCCUAAUAGGACGAGAAACGCCAUCCGAACAAAUUCAUCAUCCAUGUUUUUAUUUCUCACAAUCUUCUCAAUAAGAUCAUCCUUCAAUAUUUUACCAUUCUUCUUGUUAACAAAACUAGUUGGAAUUUUUUUAUUGCUUUGCCUUGGUCCAUACUCAAAAAACUAGAAACAUCCACUCCUUCAUUCUUCAAACCAAAUAUAGCAAACACAUCAUCAGGCCUCAGUGGAAUCAACCCUUUUUUCCGGCUGCCUCUUGGACCAUAAAUUUUUUACUACUAGGAUUUUAACCUCGAAUCAUAUGCGCAAGCAAAUUAUCACGCAUCUUGACCGAAUGUAUUCGUAGCAUGCCCUCCAUCUCCGUUUCGUAAAAUGUAAAUCGCUGACUUGGUGUUAACUUCUUAACAAGACUAACCCACUUUUCAACGGAACAUGCAAUCACAGCAUCGAUGUCCAUACUGCAUAUAAUAAUAUCUAUGUGACGUUGCAUGCAGCUAAGAUGUUAUAUUAUGAUGAAAAUAUUGAAAGAAAUACCUACCCGACGGCGACUAGUGUGGGCGACGGCGACCACUGCGGCUGACGGCGGGCGCUAACGGCCGGCGCUAACGUCGACUAAUGUGGGGUGACGACGGGCGUUGACGGCGGGGCGAUGCUGUCGGGCGGGGAACGACAGUGUGGGCGACGGCGGCCAACACGGAUCAGAUCGGGCGCGUCGUCGGCACGUACGAGGCAAAAGUGCAUGCGACGUGAUUGGGCACCGACGUGCGCGAUUGUUGGGAAUAUUCCCUCAGAUAGUGACGGCUCAUGGAGAUAUUUCUGGCGUCGGGCCCGCGACGAUUAGUUUCCUAUCAGUACACGCGACGUGAUAUAACCGCCGGUCCUGAUUUCGUCCAACAUCGGUGUGGGCGACGGCUAGUUUAGUCCCACCUCCGCCGCCGAACGACGCUCGACCAGCUUAAAUAGCCGCGUCGGUUAACCCAAGCAUGGUCAUAUUUAAUAUUGUGAUAUGACUCUACAUAACUGCCCGGCAGUACACUGUCUGGGUACCGCCCGGACAGUUGUACUGCCCGGGCAGUUAUGUAGAGUCACAUCACACUAUUAAAUAUGUUUUUAUUUUUUCAUACAAUUUUGUCAUUGUGUGUAUUUUUUUAACUUUACACGAAAAACAAACAUGUUUCUAGUAAUUUUUUUUACUCCGUCAAACGUCACGAAACUUUUUCCACACGUUGACAUCACCAUCCACAGCACCCAUGCCAAUUUACAUAUUUUUCCGACGGUCGAUGCAUUUUCUAUGAUUUUCCGGGUCGAAAAACCCCAAAAACACUGCCCGGACGUGACGCAACAUGCAUUCGCUGUCAGAUUUUGUUCAUCUCUGGCGUGCGGUACCCGGGCGGGGCCCCACACGCGCUUGCAAAAGUUGGGUGCAUUCUGGGAAACUGCCCAGGCACUUGGUGUGGAAGGCGGUGGUUUCGGUAUGGGUGGAGCGGACCCUCGGUCGUACGUCUCUCCGUCGCAUCCGCCAAACUCGCUUAUUUUUUACCACCGGCCACAGUGACCAUGCAGGACACGCAUGCCAAAAUUUAUUUCGAAUCUCUACGGAUUUUCUAUGAUUAUCCGGGCCAAAAACCCCCAAAACACUGCCCGGACGUGAUGCAACGUGCGUUCGUUGUCGGAUUUCGUUCAUCUCUGGCGUGCGGUACCCGAACAGGGCCCCACACGCGCUCGCAAAAGUUGGGUGCAUUCCAUGAAACCGCCAAGGCACUUGGUGUGGAAGGCGGUGGUUUCGGUGUGGAAAGGUGUGUCCGGCACACCAUUUUUUUCUAUAACCUUCAAAAUGCCCAAAUUUUUUGUAUCGCAUUGUAUCUACAUGAGAAUCAUGCGUGCCAAAUUUCUGUGCAUUUUGGGUCUGUUUGCAUUUUCUACGGUUUUUGGCGUCGACAGUCCGAAAACACUGUUAUUAAUCAAAAUUAUUUCAUACUAACUUUUUCAAAAAAUUGUGAAUUCCCUGUUCUAAUUUCAUUUUUUCCUUUUCCUUUCUUGCUCUCUUCUUCUUUUCUUUUAUAUAAUUUUUAUUAUUCUUUCAAUUUUCCUGGUAAACUAUUAAAUUUUAGUUUCUUUCGCCUGACUUUUAUUUUAUAAAAUGAUUCAAUUUUUUUUCACAACAUUUCAUAAUAAUUUUUCAUUCCAACAUAACGAUAGUUCAUUAAACCUUACGACGGUUAAUUUUACAUUAGAACAUAAAAAACUUAAUUAAACAGGACCUAACCGAAAUUAAUUAAACAUAAGGACCUAAUCUAAACCUAAUCUACUCGUCGUCGGAGGCGGCGAGGUCGACGAUCUCGCCCGCACCGACGUCACCGUCGUCGUCGUCGUUGCUACUCUUGCCGCUGUCAUCCCAUUCGCCGACGUCGUCCUCCACCGGAGCUGCCUGCGGCUGCACCGCUCCGAUGGCCGCCGCCGCAUCUAGUGCGGCCUGCAGCUCGGCGGCCUCUGCUGCCACCGCCAUAGUCGCCGCGACGUCGAGUGCGGCCUGCAGCUCGGCAGCCUCUCUCGCCUCGGCGGCCGCCACUUCUGCCUGCGAUGCCCGCAGUGUGAUGAGGUAGCCGGGGCAGUCGUCGGGGUCGCCGUCCUCGCGCAGUGCGAACUGCUCCGGCAGGAUCUCGACGACAGGAGGGGAGGCGGUCCCGGCGAGGGUGGGUACCAGACGGCGGGACGAGCUUGGAGAUGGCGCGGCUGCCGGAGGGGGACGGCGGGGCCUGUGCGGGGCAGAGGACGAGCCGCCCGGGGCAGAGGACGAGCCGCCUGGGGCAGACGACGAGCCGCCCGUCCGCGACUCCCGACGAGCCUGCGCGACGACUCUCCAGUAGUCCUUUCCCUUCCAAAAUCUAGUGCGGCCGACGAUGUUCCACCAGCCGCCCUCAUGCCGGCGGAGCUCAUCCGGCGACGCGUCGGGCCCCUCGUCGGGUACCCGUCGGCGGUCAUGCGGAAGGCGUGCGGCAUACGGUAGCCCGGCGGCACCAUCUGCCCGAGCCGGAUGAGCUCGUCGGUCUCCGGCGUGCUCAGGCUCGUCGGCCACGAGCCGCCGCUGCCGUCAGACGCCAUGGAGGACACCGGGAAGGGAGCGCGUCGGUGGUGGAGUGCGUCGGCGGGUGGGGUGAGUGGGGUGAGGCGCGCCGAGUGGAGUGGGGGAGGCAGACGGGAGAUGAGUGGCGCUUUUAAAGACGGGCGUCGGGUGGGGGGAGGCAGUCGGGUAGGUGACCGAUGCCCCGGCUUAACGUCGGCAUUAAUGUCGCAUCGGGGGCGGCGGCCGCCUCAGGAACCGCCCUUGACCGACGCCUAGACGGCACGCAACCGUCCGUCCACACGUCGCGUCGUGCUUUUUUGUUUUUUUUUUCUCUAGCCGGCGCCACGUCUCCACGGAAACGUCGCUCGACAGGUCGCGUCGUCUUUUUUUUUCUUUGGUCGUCGUCGUACGUACGUGGACGGCCGCGUGUACGGGGAGUCGACGUACAGCCCCGUCGCGCGGGUACAGCCCCGUCGUACAGGCGGGUACAGCCCCGUCGUGCGGGCGACAGCUUUUUAAGUGCUGGGACGAUCUUAUCCUUUUUAAUGGAGGGCUACGGAGCGAUCUCAGCCAUUGUUGUAUUUAGGGGGUUGUACCGAAGAAGAAGUGUAUAAAUAUUUACCAUAAAAACUUUAUAUGAUGUGAAAGUACAUUCAACAAUGAAUCUAAUGGUAUUAAUUUGUUAUUGUAUAUGUUAAUAUUUUUGUCUAUAAACUUUGUCAAAGUUUGCAAAGUUUGACUUUGACCAAAGCUAAUAUGCAGAGUAAAUAAAAACGGAGGGAGUAUAAAAUAAACACAUUUGGCGUCUAGACUUAAGAAUUAUGUUUGAAACUAAGUUGCCAUUGUUUCAUGUAAGAUGAUGCAAAAACAUGAAAAGAAAAACUGAAAUAAUAAAUAAAUUUGCCAUGGGAUGUUCAAAAUAAAUUUGCCAUGGUGUAAAAAUGGGUACCAUGAUUUGUUCAACCAAUGUGUACAAAAGAGGAAUUUACCAUGGGCUGUUCAACAAAUUCGCCAUGUUCCAAAAAAUUAUCGACCAUGGUCAACAAAUAAAUUAUUGACUUUUUCUUUUUACGAAAAAGAGCGGAACUACUCAUUUAGUGAAAAGAAAAGAAGAAGAAAAAAACAGUGCUCAUUUUGUUAUGAGCCUCGAGCAUUUUCUGUCAACGGUCUAAAUUAAAGGGCAGAGAUAUCUGAAACAUGCUGGGUGCCUCUGAUCAUGAUGAAAAGCGAUUAGUAUACUGUAUUAAUCAGAUACACACAAAUAUCCCCGCUGUGAUCUGGCAGGCUAUGCACUUGUAGUUUUAGUCCGGAGCGGAUAAAACCCACCGAGCUGCCUGUGCCUAGCGCCGCCGCGGCGAAAAUCAGGGAGCUCCGUUGGACGGCGGCGGCGGGCUCGGGAGCUCGCUCGGAUCAACGCAUCAGGCUUUGUUGGAUCAAGCGACAAGAUGGCCGGUCUUCCGUUGGACCAGACCAUCGACCGGCCUCACACGUUGCAGUCAGACACAACAAUUUCUCACUCCAACAGUAGCAAGUAACCAGGGGAUUGACUUGAGCCAGAGAAACACCUUGUUAACAGAAAAUAGGCAAAGUAAAAUGAUAAUCAAACUACAUGAUUCUUGAUACUUGGUCCGAUGCUUCCAUAUUGCCCCUCCCUGCCAAACAAACCACUUACUGUAGAUGAACUAGACGUAUUGUUGAUUAUCUUAAUAAAUAAGAUAAGAUAGGUGAAGCAUGAACAAUUUGGGAGCAGCAAAUAGUAAAAUCAUCUAACUAACAUGACAUGGUUUCAGAAGUUGGCAAGUUCCUCUUUUGCUUGAAGUCCAAGCAAGCUUGCCCUCAGCAUUACCGGACAUAGCAAGAAGACAGCCAAUGCUGGCAUCCGUAAGAGAGAUAGGCGUGCAGUUAAAAGUCUUGCUGCUCAUAUCAGCACGGACCCAAAAGCUCGGCGUGGAUGGAAAGCAGAACUCUGGGUCCUGGUACAUGAACUCACCCAGUGCAAAGUAGAUGACAUGGUCUUCCUGCAUGCUGAGGAAGGGGUACAUGGGUGCCAUGGAGGUCGGCAGGUGUUGGUUCCCUUUGAAAGAACCCUCUUCACGCAGACUCCCUAGCUUGAGCUCGUAGUCUAAAUCCCAACUCAUAUCUUCCUCGAGUCGCCAGACCCUCACCAUGCGGUCAUCCACAAGAUCCACACGCUCAAGGAAGCCGGUGAUGGAGACAAACUUGAUGGAGUCCCCAACACAGCCUAUGGCUCGAAAGGCCCUCGCCUCUGGUAUGUCGUCUCUGUUGCCGAGGUACCUCUCGCACCCCACAGGAAGGUCUACGGAGCGGACGUUCACGGAAUGCUCGUCGGAGAGCAGAUCAGCGCAGUCACAGUACAUGCCACCGAGCAAGAGAUCCAUCCAGUAACCACGGACGGUGCGAGAACACCUCUUUGGCAACGAAGUCGCUUUUCUCCGCGAGCAGGUGGUCGGGGAACUCGGCACGCUUGGCUAUCUCCCACUGCAAGUCGGACGAGGACGGCGACACGAAGAGAACAGACUCCCGUCUAGAGCCUACGCCGCGGAUGGACCCCGGGAAGGCCAGGGCGUAGCAUGCGUCGCCGUCCCGGCGGCGCGCAACGAGGAGACGGGCUGUAAGGACGGUGGCGCGAGGGGGCGAGCUGGGCGGAGACGGGAUCAUGUGGAGCGAUCUGUCGAUCGCGUUGUAGAUGAGAUAGAUGUUGCGGGGGUAAACUUUGGGAAAGGACGUUAUCAUAAGAAUCAGGUUCUUGUCGACGGCAUGGAUGCAGGUGGACAACGGGGGGACGCCUCGGAGCGUCAGGCGGCACAGAUCCGGCACGCCGGCGAGGUAUGCCUCUAGCGCCAGGCCCCGCAUGAGCGCGUCGCAGUCGAGGUCCGCAGGGAACCCGAACGCCUCCUUGGCUGACAGCAGAUUCUUCUGGUUGCCGGCUGUUUCGUCGCCGGGGCGGGACGUGCUUACGAAGGGAUGCAAUAGCAACAGGGAGGGCGAGGGCGGAGUCAUGACUGUGCUUUCGUCGGCUGAUUUCCUAUGGCAUUGGUGCGUGUGUCGAGGCGGCGGCGGGGCGGACGAUGAAGACAUUGAGGAGCCAGAGGGUAGACGGGGGCAAGGGCAAAGGAUGUUGGAUUUGGAGUGCUAGAACAAAUCCACCAGGAGGCCGAUGUACGUACAAACAAAACUAUUAAAAGCAAGCAAGCUAGCAGCUUGAUUUGAUCAACAGCGCACGCUCAUCCAGCCGGAACCGCACGUAGGUACGCGACCUGUAGAAGGUAAGCUCGUAACUGGCCGGAUCAACUUCGGCUCUCUCGGCGGAACCGGAGAACAGAACGAAUGCGAGGGCACUGGGUCUGGAUGGAUGAUGGCAAAAGGGCAGAUGCUCGACACGUUCCUGUUGAUUUUCUUUCUAUUGAUCUCGCGUCACGGUACAAUGUUUACAAGGGGUACUACGUAGCUAUAUAUAACAGUUUAGGAGGCACCAUGAGCCCUAGGAGGUACUAGUCCUACUCCGACACACACAUGCACGUGUAAUUACAAGUACACCCAGGAGUACAAAGCCGUGCAACUAAAGAAAAGGAAUACUAAGCCGUGUUUAACUCUAACAAGGGACGACAGGCUAUAUUAAACUAGGUUUGGAAUAGACACGAAGGUCCCACGAGUCCUGACCCGAUUCCUUAGAAAGACACCAUCUAGACUAGACAAGGAACAAUCUCACCGGGGCGUACGUGCCUUCGUCCACGGUGCCACCGCGAGGCUCGUCGGUGUCUACCGUGAUCCAUGGCCCGAUGUCUUCACCGUCAUCCCCGAUCAACAGGAAGACGCCUUAUGGCCACUCCUGUGCAUCCGGUCGGAGUUCCCCGUCUGACCAUAGAUAACCCUGGCGCAUUCUGCUUCUUGAUGACACAAAGGAUGUUAGGCCAAUUUCAACGCGGUCACCCAUUUCGUUUGUGUGGUCCGUUUGAAUCCGUGAGGCCGAAAACCAUGGCCCAACGCGCUGAUCCAACCGCAAAUACUGUCCACACGAUUUUAGUUUGGACACAUUCUUGUCUUAAAUUUGUGUGUGUUUUGCAUUCACACGAACACGUCACCGAGAUGAUGCUAAAAACACGGCGUGACGAAAGCGGGGCGAAGCGAAUCUUAUUACAUAUUAACCUUGUGGGUAGAGAAAAAACACCUUAUGUCACAGAAUUUUAAAAGCAUUGUACAAAUUAAGACGAACAUAGUUGAUUUCCUUUCAAACCUAACGCACUGCAAUACUAUUCGAUACAACACCUAAUAAUAGAACUAUUUUAACAAAUUAUUGCAGCCAUACAGCAUGGCCUAGUUGUGGCCCGACCACUAAACAAAUACAUGGAAAAGGUACAUGACAUAAGAUGAUGAUACUUGCUAAUAAAUACCCCUUCGUCCCAUAAAAUAAGAGUGAUUUUUAUACUGCUGUAGUAUAAAAAGGCUCUUAUAUUAUUGGACGGAGGGAGUACUAGAGUACUUUGCAAACAAAAUCAAAACUAUAUCCAUAAUAAUACAAGCAUGAGAUUAAGGAUCUCAACAGCAAUCUCAUGGGACAAGUUGCAGUCAAACACAACAAUUUCUCACUCCAACAGUAGCAAAUAAACAGGGGAUUGACUUGAGCCAGAGAAACGCCUUGUUAACAGAAAUAGGCAAAUUAAAAAGAUAAUCAAAAUUCAUGAUUCCUGAUACUUGGUCCGACCCUUCCAUACUGCCCCUCCCUACCAAACCAAACCAAACCAAUUUAAAACUUAGGUGAACUGGAUGUAUUGUUGGUUAUCUUAAUAAAUAAGAUAAGAUAAGAUAGGUGAAACAUGAACAAUUUGAAAGUAUCAAGUAGUAAAUCACCUAACUAGUAACAUAACAUGGCUUCAGAAGUUGGCUUGGGUGGAAGUCCAAGCAAGCUUGGCCUCAGUAUUAACGGACAUAGAAAGAAGACAUCCAAUGUUGGCGUCCGUGAGAGAUAGAGGUGUGCAGCUAAAAGUCUUGCUGCUCAUAUCAACACGGACCCAAAAGCUUGGCGUGGAUGGAAAGCAUAACUCCGGGUACUGGUAGAUGUACUCAACCAGUGCAAAGUAUACGACACGGUCUUCCUGCAUGCUGAGAAAGGGGUACAUGGGUGCCAUGGAGGUCGGCAGGUGGUUCCCUUUGAAAGCCUCUUCACGCAGGCUCCCAAACUUGAGCUCGUAGUCUAACUCCCAACUCAUAUCUUCCUCGAGUCUCCAAACCCUCACCAUGCGGUCAUCCGCAAGAUCCACACGCUCAAGAAAGCCUGUGAUGGAUACAAACUUGAUGAAGUCCCCAACACAGCCCACGGCUCGAAAGGCCCUCGGCUGUGGUAUGCGUCUCUGUCGCCGAGGUACCUCUCGCACCCCACAGGCAGGUCUAGGGAGUGGACGUCCACGGAACGCUCGUCGGAGAGCAGAUCGGCGCAGUGACAGUACAUGCCACCGAGCAAGAGAUCCACCCAGUAACCACGGCCACGGUGCGAGAACACCUCUUUGGCGACGAAGUCGCUGUUCUCCGUGAGCAGGUGGUCGGGGAAAUUAGCGUGCUUAGCUAUCUCCCAUUGCGAGUCAGACGAGGAUGGCGACACGAAGAGAACAGGCUCCCGUCUAGGGCCUACGCGACGGACGGACCCCGGAAAGGCCAGGGCGUAGUACAUGCCGUCGUCCCGGCGGCGCGCGACGAGGAGACGGGCCGUAAGGAUGGUAGCGCGAGGGGGUGAGCUAGGCGAAGACGGGAUUAUGUGUAGUGAUCUGUAGGUCGCGUUGUAGAUGAGAUAGAUGUCCCGGGGGUAAACUUCGGGAAAGGACGUUAUCAUGAGAAUCAGGUUCCUGUCGACGGCAUGGAUGCAUGUGGACAGCGGGGGGACGCAUCGGAGGGUCAAGCGGCACAGAUCUGGCGCACCGGCGAGGUCUGCCUCUAGCGACAUGCCCCGCAUGAGCGCGUCGCAGUUGAGGUCCGCAGGGAACCCGAAGGCCUCCUUGGCUGACAGCAAAUUCUUGUGGUUAUCGGCUGUUUCGUCGCCGGGGCGGUACGAGCGUACCAAGGGAUGCAAUAGCAACAGGGAAGGCGAGGUCGGAGUCAUCAUGACUGACGUUUCGUCUGGUGAUCUCGUGUGUCGUGGGGGUGGCGGAGGCGGUGGGGAGGAUGACGAGGACAUUGAGGUGCCAGAGGCUAAGACGGGCGCAAGGACAAGGAGUAAUACGUAAGUAAAUCUAACGAAGGGGUAUCCACCGUUGGCUGUCUAUUUUAGGAUUCGUGAACGUUUUAUAUGGAAACUCUUCUCCGAUCUGACGUCUGAUAUAUUUCAAUCGUGAGACCGAUCCAAAAACGUCGAUUCUUCUUUCAUCGCAUGGCGCUGAGCUUCCACCAAAUCCCUGUUAGAACCGCCCUAAUACUACAACCUGUUAGCUGUUGCACAAUGCCCGUCCGACAAAAAAAAAGUCCCCCAAUCGUUCAUGGCAUAGCUCAUCUCUCCGGUCAACUGCGCCGCCCCAUUUUUCUCCCUUGUGCUCCCUCCAGCUCCAGCGCUCGCACGCCGCACGCGACGCAGCCCUGUUCCACACAACCGAUGUAUUGCCUCGGUUGGAGGCCGUGGUGGCCAGGGUGUACGGGACGGGUAUGCUCACCUGGUGGGGGAGAGGGUGGCGGUUUGGAGUACCAACAACGGCUGAAGUCUUCUAUGUCGAUUGUGUCUUAGCCGGCCAUUUUGUUUCAGCCACGUCAGAUCACAAGGGUGACUGUACGAAUCAGCGGCAAGUAUUUGCCCUAGGUUCACAUUCAUCUCUUUCCUUGUCUAUCUCGAAGUUCAAAUCUGUGCAAUGCAUCAAUAUUUCCCAUCCAUUAUAUCUUAUUUUAACAGACACUCGCUUGCUUUAGUUUUUCUAAAUUACUGAUCAAAUGUUUGUACACCUCGGAUUUAUGCACCCACAAGCAUUGUUAAUAUCUGAUUUAUAAUUUAUAUCCUUCUACAUGGUGCAUCCAAAUAGGACCAUGCUUCUUAGGGCAUCUCCAACGGCGACCUUUAAACCACCCGCAUACGUUUAGACCACGGAAGUUAUCUAACGUGAGCCUGUCUUGAUUCGUAGAGCGGUGUGUUUUCUCCCGCAAAUGCCGCACCGCAUUCAUGCCGGCCAGAGCAUACAGCGGCCGGCAUUGAUGCCCAUGAUUCAUAAACAUCAUGUUGAUAUGAGGGAAUGAUGCAGUUGGACUGAUUUACUUGACAUAGAGAGGUGAUUUGGGGAGGGGACCAGACAAGUGAUUCUUCCGUAGUGAAACUAAUUAGAUUGUGGUCGUUUCAAUAAAUGUAUUUGUUGCAUUCCAGAAUAGUGUUUGCUUUUAUUGUAGUCUUUGUUUCGUUUUUGUAUUUGGGCCUCAUGAUGUUGUUAUAAGGGAGAGACUUGAUUUUCCUGUCCUGGUUCUAAGCGGGUUGAAACCCACUUCAAUAACUGUAUUUGUUGCAUUCCAGAAUAGUGUUUGCUUUUAUUGUAGUCUUUGUUUCGUUUUUGUACUUGGGCCUCAUGAUGUUGUUAUAAGGGAGAGACUUGAUUUUCCUGUCCUGGUUCUAAGCGGGUUGAAAUCCAUGUCAAUGUAAACCCUUUUUUGGCACGGCCGUUAAGCUGGUGCGGACAACAUACAUACAUUCAGGCAAGAGACAUACAUUUGGGCAAACAUACAUUCAGGAGAGGGACAUAUAGUGGACAGGGACACUUGUCAAGUUGUAGUUGGUUGAAAAAAUGAUUGAAACCCAAUUGGUUUUCAUCCGACUGUGAAAUAGACAGUCCCUUCUUUUAAGUACCCUGCUGAUCUUGCGUGCAAAAUGAUUAAUUUUUUUAAGCUAAUGAGGCCUUUGGGGAGUCUGCAGGACCAACCGCAACAUGAUCUACUCAUCCAUAACCUGCAGAGCAAGUGCGGGCAGUUUCGCGUGAGGCCACGAGACUUGGGUCCGGAGGAUAAGGCAAUCUUCAACGUUACCACAAGCCUUUUGGUGUAUGAUCGAGUAGAGUACAAUGCUGCCUCGCUAAGCAAGUCUUUUGGUCAUUCGUGACCCUAUAUCACUCUUUUUCCUCUUCUUCCUGCUUCUCUUAGCUUCCGAACUGUAAUAGUUGCACUUGUAUUUGCUUUUGAAUCUUCCUAAGGGCCUCAUUUCAAGGCCGGGCAAAUAAACAUGGGAUUGACUUGAGCCAGAGAAACAUCUUGUUAAUAGAGAUAGGCAAAAUAAAAAGAUAAUCAAACUACAUGAUUCUUGAUAUUUGGUAUGAUGCUUCCAUAUUGCUCCUCCCUGCCAAACAAACCAAGUUAAAACUUACUGUAGAUGAACUGGAUGUAUUGUUGAUUAUCUUAAUAAAUAAGAUAAGAUAGGUAAAACAUGAAAAUUUUGGGAGCACCAACUAGUAAAAUCACCUAAGACAUGGCUUCAAAAGUUGUCAACUUCCUCUUGGUUGGAAGUCCAAGCAAGAUUGCCCUCAGCAUUGCCGGAGAUAGCAAGAAGACAACCAAUGCUGGCGUCCGUGAGAUAGAAAAGUGUGCAGUCAAAAGUCUUGGUGCUCAUAUCAACACGGACCCAAAAGCUUGGCGUGGAUGGAAAACAGAAAACCGGGUCCUGGUAGAUGUACUCACCCAGUGCGAAGUAGAUGAUACGGUCUUCCUGCAUGCUGAGGAAGGGGUACAUGGGUGCCAUGAGGGUCGGCAGGUGUUGGUUCCCUUUGAAAGAACCCUCUUCACGCAGACUCCCUAGCUUGAGCUCGUAGUCUAACUCCUAACCCAUAUCUUCCUUGAAUCUCCAAACCCUCACCAUGCGGUCAUCCGCAAGAUCCACACGCUCAAGAAAGCCGGUGAUGGAUACAAACUUGAUGGAGUACCCAACAAAGCCCAUGGCUCGAAAGGCUCUCGGCUGUGGUAUGUCGUCUCUGUCGCCGAGGUACCUCUUGCACCCCACAGGGAGGUCUAAGGAGAGUACUUCCACGGAACGCUCGCCGGAGACCAGAUCACCGCAGUCACAAUACAUGCCACCGAGCAAGAGAUCCACCCAUUAACCCACGGUGCGACACUACUAUGGAAAACCUUAUACACAACAUCUUAGCAGUAGCGUUGGACAAAAUCAUGCGCUAUCGCUACUUAGUAGCAGCGCGUGUAAAUAAAGCACGCUACUGCUAUAAUUUUAGCAGUAGCGCGUACUAGCAAAAAGCGAUGCUGCUAUGUUUGAAUUGGACACACAUGGCUAGCCCUACUUAGCAGUAGCGCGUAUCCUCGCCCAGUGCUACUGCUAUUCUCCUUAGUUGUAGCACUUUUCUCGAACCCGCACUACUACUAACCCUACCUUAUCCUCCCCACGCGACCGACCCUCUCACUCCCUCUCCCUCUCAGUCACUCUCGCCCGCGCCGAUACCCAUCGUCCGCCGCCGCCACUGUCGUCCGUGUGCCACCGAGGUACUCCCUCCAUCCCUCCUCCUCCCAUCACGCCCUCCUCCCUCCUCAUCCCACCGCUCCCUCCUCCCUCCGCCUCCGGCCGCCCCCUCCUCCCUCCUNNNNNNNNNNNNNNNNNNNNNNNNNNNNNNNNNNNNNNNNNNNNNNNNNNNNNNNNNNNNNNNNNNNNNNNNNNNNNNNNNNNNNNNNNNNNNNNNNNNNNNNNNNNNNNNNNNNNNNNNNNNNNNNNNNNNNNNNNNNNNNNNNNNNNNNNNNNNNNNNNNNNNNNNNNNNNNNNNNNNNNNNNNNNNNNNNNNNNNNNNNNNNNNNNNNNNNNNNNNNNNNNNNNNNNNNNNNNNNNNNNNNNNNNNNNNNNNNNNNNNNNNNNNNNNNNNNNNNNNNNNNNNNNNNNNNNNNNNNNNNNNNNNNNNNNNNNNNNNNNNNNNNNNNNNNNNNNNNNNNNNNNNNNNNNNNNNNNNNNNNNNNNNNNNNNNNNNNNNNNNNNNNNNNNNNNNNNNNNNNNNNNNNNNNNNNNNNNNNNNNNNNNNNNNNUACCUUGUCUCUGUUCUUGCAAAUUGUAGGUAAUUUAAAUGUGGAUUUUAGAAUGUAGACAAUGUAGAAUGUAGGUUUUUUAAUAGAAUAAUUUUUUUGACUAUUUUAGGUGUUUUGAAUAAAAUAGAAGUAAGAAAAAUUAGGGUAGAACUAGGGUAGUAGAUUUUUUAGCAAGUGUUUAAUAGAAAUAAUUUAUUUAGUAAGUGAUUAAUAUAACUAGUUUAUUUAUAUUAAGUGCUUAAUAGAACUAGUUUAUUUAGUAAGUGCUUAAUAGAACUAGUUUAUUUAUACUAAGUGCUUAAUAGAACUAGUUUAUUUAGUAAUUAGUUAAUAAAACUAGUUUAUUUAGUAAGUAGUUAUUAAAACUAGUUUAUUUAGUGUUAGGAUUAUAUAUAAGAUAUUUUGAAAUGUUUUUGUUCAUAUUUUGAACCAUUAAAAUGCAAUGACCAUCGAUAAGUGUGGGGACCCCGACUCAUAAGUCGUGAUCACCGAAUGCACGUGUAUAGUGAUCCCAGAGAUCAAUGCUCACUGAACACACAGAAGCUGAAUAACCAGAGUCUUACAUCCAUACAUACUGUCUUACAUAAAUUAUAACCAUUAUGGUCAAGUCUUGAGUAUAACAUUGCAGCGGAAAUCUUCGUCAAUAACUUGGACCCAUGCCAUCUGCCUUAACCCUAUAGGCAUUCUGACUGGGAAAGCAUCCUAGCUCGCACGAUCGUCACCAAAGAACUCUUCAAUAUAUCUUGUCUUUCAUGCCUGGCCAAUAAAAUAACCAGUGGCAAGCCAAUGAGUACUUUGAAUGUACUCGCAAGCAACCCAAGGGUGAUAACAGAAUAAUUUAUGCAAGGCACUACUACUAAAUUGGCAUUCUUGCGAAAAGCUAGUUUUUCUCAUGCAAGUAUGAUCAACAUUUAUCAAGGACAUGAAUGUGUCUACAACAAGCAUCAGGAGGUUACAGACAUUAUCAUCAAAAAGGAGUUGUGAACAACUCGUGCUCAAGCUCAUCGUGACUUCCUCACGAAUCACAUCAUCAUAUUUACCAAACCGUGUUGUUUGUCAGAAACAUAUGGACGUAUUCUAAGCAGCACCGCCCAACUGUCCUUGACCAUGGACACGGCUAUUCGAAUAGUUUUACACUCUGCAGAGGUUGCACACUUUACCCACAAGAUUCGGGGAACUUCCGUGUCAUCCACGACCCGCGGUACCUCAAGUACCCGGGGUAAGCACCCGAUCACUAUCUUUCCCUAGACUACACUAACAUGGAGUCCACUCGAUUGGUAGUAACCCCCCGUGCCUAACAUUUCACAUCUUAAGAUUGUGGAGCCUCGCUCCCAUAUUCAUCACAUACCACAAGCACGGGGUACCAACGGUGUGUCCGGUGCCCUGUGAAAACAGUCAUGACGCCCUACCUGGCACGACCCCGUCCCGAGAGAGCGCAACAACAACUCUCCCGUCACUAGUAAUGCGGACUCCAAGUUAGUAUCGGCCUAGGUAAUCAAUAAUGCCCUUUCCCAUAUAAGGGUAGAGUGGUUGCGCAUGUAAGGUUGGGACGGUCAACAAAUCUUAAAUCUAAUCCGUCUCUGUAAACAACACUUUUAUCAAACCUCGGUACACUACUUCUCCACCAAGUAGUGACCUAAUUCAUCAUCAUCUCCCAGGGGCAUCAGUGUCACCCACUGGGGCUGUUUGCAAGUAUGUCAAACCACACUUGUUUCUUUCCAUGCAUGACCCUGACCCACUUUGCGUAGCCAUCUACUAUAGCAUAUUUCUACAACCCACCAACACAACUCUAGCAAGGGUAGAGUCAUGAACAAUGCAAGUAUCAAUGGAGUAUGCAACGGAGGCAAGCUUAGCAAGGUUGCCAUUCAAGGUAUAUCAUGCUCAGUGAAGCAACGAAAAUGCUAUUAUGAUGUAAAAUGGUUCAUCAUGGUCAAAGGGCUGCUUGCCUGGUUCAUCAGAGUCUUCAAAUCUUCUGGUCCUUCUCCAAGUAUUUUGUCUACUUCGUCAACUAACGCUGGAAACAAUUAUAGUAAGCAACACAAUAAGGCAGAAAAUAAAAGUGCUCUAAAAAUAGUAAUUUGACUUUUCUAGGACAUCUCUUGUUAUAUGAAAAAUAACCAUAGUGGUUUCAUUGGAAUUGGGUGGGUGGAUAUUUCUAAACAUUUUGACAGGAUGUAAUCAAGGGGUUUAUGGAUGAGCAAAGACACCCUUUUAACAAAUCAUGAUUUUAGAAGCAUCUAGGAGUUGGUUUCACUGGAUUUGGAGUUCAAAUGAUUUCUCUAUGAAUUUGCAAAUUGGCUAUACGUGAAGAAAUAGACCAUUAUUUGAGGUGAUAUAGAAAGUAUUAGUAAAAAUGUUCAAAAACUAAGUUCUGAACUUAGAAGCAUCUAGGAAUUUGAAUCAUGGCAUUUGGAUCAAAUUUGAGCUCUCUAUGAUUUUCUAAAGUUCAUCACAGAAAUGGAAAAUGUGAUUUUAUUUAAUUAGUGUGAAGGAAGGUUUUCUGAAAAAAAUGUGCAUGUUGCACCAACAGGUAGAGCAUGAUUCAUGGAGUCCCUAGAAAUUUGAAUCGUCAAAUUUGGAGUUAAUUUGAAUUAUUUAUGGAUUUUACAAAUUGUACAAAAAAGAAAAAGGAAAAAGGGUUUUACCCAAACGGGCUGGAUCUUGGGCGGCAACAGCGUGCACUGGGCGAGGCUUAACGGCAGGGCGCCACUGGGCCGGCCCAGCAGCUCAGCCACGCGGACGAUAGGGCGACGUUGAAGGCGCCUUCGCGGAAUACGCUUCCACUUAAACGGACGGGCCCGCUUGCUGGGUCGCUGACGUGCGGGCCCCAACGGCAGGUCGUCUUCCACCUCCCGCGCGCGCUCUGGCCGCGGGGAGGAGCGGCUCCCACCGGCGAUUGCCGGGGCUACAGAGCGUCUCCGGCGACGCGCCGCCCACCGGCGGGCUCAGGGGGACACGCCGCACCCAUCCAUGUGCUUAACGCAUGCCGUGGAGGGCUGCAGCGGCGAUGGCUUGGGUGGCCGCGGAGGAGGCCGUUGGCGAGGUUUGGCACUGCGCGGCAGGCGCGGGGAGGAGGGAAUGGAGUGCGGGGUGAGUCGGUGGUGGUAGUGAGGGGGCACUGGAGUGGCUAAGGAGAGAGGAGAGGCUCGGGAUAGCCCGGAUUUAGGCGGAGCCCGAUGGCGGCGCUCCGGCCAUUGCGGUGAAUGGAAGACACGGGGAGAGGUGUGGGUUGGUCCAGGGGUGCACGAGAGGGAGAGAGAGCCAAAGGAGUAGAGAAGGGGCUCGGGGUGGCCUUAAAUAGCCGUCUCGUGGCUCACCGUGGACGCGGCGCACGGGGACCGUGGCAACGGCUCGGGCGGCCAGGGGAGAGAGCGAGGGGUUGUUUUCGGUGCUCGUGGGGUGGUGUUCCAGGAAGGGAGACCUCGUACCAUGGAUUCCCUCGUCCCAGUUUCACUGGAACCCAUGCAAAAUAGUAUGAGGUAGUACUCUGAUCCGUGGCUCUGGCCCUGUAGAGCUGGCCGGAUCAAGCACGGGGACGGGCUCGGUUUGGAGUUUGGUACCGUCGCGCGGCUGGUGACCGCGUACAAGUCCGCCUGCCCCGGCGCACUCGAAUCGCUGGACGUGUCUGCCCGCCUAGGCGACGAGCGAGUUUACGUGGCUGUUGUGUCCAAAGCGCAAGAUUCCAAAUGUCGUUAUACUGACGGUGGACCUGAUCAAGGAGGUUCUCGUACAACACUGAUUAGUUAUUCACUUGCGUCCUUGCUUUCUGUGAAAGGAAAAUCUUUCCUUUAGGUACUUAUAAAGAAGUAGCCAAAACUAGGAGAAUAAAUGAUUUAGCAAAAAAAAAGUGUUCAUUUAGUUACUGAUAGUCACUUGCAUACUGGAGUGAAGGGCAUAAAUAUCUGAAACGUGGUGCUAGUGAUCAUGGACACUUUGACAAAAAAAAGUGCUUUCGAUACUACAUAUUCAACCAGCUGCACACAAAUAUCCUCGCAGUGAUGUGGCAGGCUAGGGGGUGACGACUUACGUGGUGGAUGCGUCCAACACACAAGAUUCCAAAUAUCGGUAUACUAUUGUUAAUGUGCUCCUUCAUGUAAGAAGUUUUUGUGCAUCAGUGGUGUACAUAAAACUAUAACGAUUAAUUAUAAGUUUGGCAUUCGUCUUCAAUAUAUCCACAACUCCGGAAUGACACGGGCGAUAUCAUUUUUUCUUCUUGCAGAGAACUCCGGACGUGUUCGGAUCCUCUGGAAGCCAAGCUGCAGGCCUGCAUGGAGGGGCUCAACUUGGCACUUCAAUGGACCGCUUUGCCUAUUGAGAUGGAGACAGACUGCGUGGUUGCGGCACAUGCGAUACUAGUGCUGACGAGGGAUAGAUCUCGUUUUGCUUUGCUUGUCAAUCGGGUUAGGCUUUUGAUGCUAGGAGGAAGGGAGGUUAAGCUAGUUCAUAUCCGUAGAGAACAGAACGGUGUGAGUCAUUAUCUUGCAAACUUUGGUAGAGUUCAUAAAUGUAUGGUUGUUGGGAUCUGGACCGGAUGAGGUACCAGACUUAUGUAAUGCCGAGGCACUUUAUGUGUGAGAAAUAAAAUUUCUUUCACCCGCAAAAAAAUAUAUAUAUAUCCACAACUACGUAGUAUCAUCUUUGCUUUCUUGCGCAGGGUUUAGCUGUUUAACUAAGUGAUACUACUGCUUUUUUUGAAAAGGGGGGAUUCCUCGGCCUCUGCAUCAAAACGAUGCAUACGACCACAUUUAUAAAUAAAUAAAGUAGUUCAAUAAUGUCUUGCAAAGUGCUGCAACAAAGGAUGCUGGCUCACAAAGAGCUAGCAAAGUAAAACAAGGCUCAAAAGCCACAACCGGCUGGCAUAAUAAAGAGAGAUAGGUAAACUAAGUGUCUAUCCUAUUACAUGAUCGCCAUCCAAACCGGUUGAAGAUAUCCCGCGCUACCAUCUCCCAUCGGACAGAUCCAGUAACCAAACGCGCCCUGGCCUCCGUCGGAGUGAGUAAUGACCACGUACGGAUUAGAGCAGUAGACCGGAAUAAAACCUGCAAAAAAUGAAUAGUUGUUGUUCUGUUAAAAGCCAAGUCAUUUCUGCAGUUUCAAAUUUCCCAUAACAACGCACAUGCUCCCACUCGAAUUUGUCUAGCUGUUUCGGCCUCUAUACCAACCAGCCACGUUCCAAAAAACGACCUGACCGAAUUCGGAGGAGUAAUGUUAAAGGCAAUUUGCACCGAGCGCCACCACACCCUCGCCAUCGGGCAAUCAAAGAAAAGAUGCUUGAUAGUUUCAUCCCGAUCACAGAAACUACACCUAGUAGAUCCUGUCCAGUUGCGCUUAAUCAAAUUAGCUUUCGUUAGAACGACUUGUUUAUGCACAAACCACAUAAACACUUUGAUUUUCAGAGGAACCUUAACUUUCCAAACGUGUUUGGAACUAGAAAUAACACUAGAGUUGAUGACAUCAAUGUACAUCGACUUGUCUGUGAAUUCACCAGAUUUAGUAAGCUUCCAACACAACUGAUCAGGCUGAUGAGUAAGCUGAACCUCCAUGAGUCUACUCACCAGAUGAAUCCAAGCCUCCCACCGAUCACCCACAAGCACCCUCCUAAAUUGGAUGUUAAGAGGAGCAGAUUGCAAACUCGUUGCAACCAGAGCAUCCCGUCGCUGCACAAUGCGAUAAAGCGCCGGAUACUGGAGUGCUAGCGGUGCAUCACCUAGCCAAGUAUCUGUUGGGGAACGUUGCAAAAAAUAAAAAAUUUCCUACGGUUUCACCAAGAUCCAUCUAUGAGUUCAUCUAAGCAACGAGCGCAAGGAGAGAUGCAUCUACAUACCACUUUGUAGAUCGCAAGCGGAAGCGUUCAAAAGAACGGGGUUGAAGUAGUCGUUCUCGUCGUGAUCCUAUCACCGGAGAUCCUAGCGCCGAACGGACGGCACCUCCGCGUUCAACACGUACGGUCAGCGUGACGUCUCCUCCGUCUUGAUCCAGCAAGGGGGAGGAGAGGUUGAUGAUGAUCCAGCAGCACGACGGCGUGGUGGUGGAUGCAGCAGAACUCUGGCAGGGCUUCGCCAAGCUGCUGCAGGAGGAGGACGAGGUGUAGCAGGGGAGGGAGGCGCCAAGACACAAGGGUGCGGCUGCCCUCCCCCCUGCCCUCCUUUAUAUAGGCCCCCAGGGGGGGCGCCGACCCUGGGAGAUGCAAUCUCCCAAGGGGGCGGCGGCCAGGGGGGUGGAGUGCCCCCCCAAGGCAAGUGGUGCGCCCCCCCCCCCUACCUAGGGUUUCCAACCCUAGGCGCGGGGGGCCCAAGGGGGGGCGCAGCAGCCCACUAGGGGCUGGUUCCCCUCCCACUUCAGCCCACGGGCCCCUUCGGGAUAGGUGGCCCCACCCGGUGGACCCCCGGGACCCUUCCAGUGGUCCCGGUACAAUACCGGGUGACCCCGAAACUUUCCCGAUGGCCGAAAUAGCACUUCCUAUAUAGUUCUCUUUACCUCCGAGCCAUUACGGAACUCCUCGUGACGUCCGGGAUCUCAUCCGGGACUCCGAACAACAUUCGGUUUGCUGCAUACUCAUAUUCAUACAACCCUAGCGUCACCGAACCUUAAGUGUGUAGACCCUACGGGUUCGGGAGACAUGUAGACAUGACCGAGACGGCUCUCCGGUCAAUAACCAACAGCGGGAUCUGGAUACCCAUGUUGGCUCCCACAUACUCCUCGAUGAUCUCAUCGGAUGAACCACGAUGUCGAGGAUUCAAGCAACCUCGUAUACUAUUCCCUUUGUCAGACGGUAUGUUACUUGCCCGAGACUCGAUGGUCGGUGUCCCAAUACCUCGUUCAGUCUCGCUACAGGCAAGUCACUUUACUCAUACCGUAAUGCAUGAUCCUGUGACCAGACACUUGGUCACUUUGAGCUCAUUAUGAUGAUGCACUACCGAGUGGGCCCAGUGAUACCUCUCCGUAAUACGGAGUGACAAAUCUCAGUCUCGAUCCAUGUCAACCCUACAGACACUUUCGGAGAUACCUGUAAUGCACCUUUAUAGUCACCCAGUUACGUUGUGACGUUUGGUACACCCAAAGCACUCUUACGGUAUCCGGGAGUUACACGAUCUCAUGGUCUAAGGAAAAUAUACUUGACAUUAGAAAAGCUCUAGCAAAACGAACUACACGAUCUUGUGCUAUGCUUAGGAUUGGGUCUUGUCCAUCACAUCAUUCUCCUAAUGAUGUGAUCCCGUUGUCAACGACAUCUAAUGUCCAUAGUCAGGAAACCAUGACUAUCUGUUGACCAACGAGCUAGUCAACUAGAGGCUUGCUAGGGACAUAUUAUGGUCUAUGUAUUCACACGUGUAUUACGAUUUCCGGAUAAUACAAUUAUAGCAUGAAUAAAGACAAUUAUCAUGAACAAGGAAAUAUAAUAAUAAUCCUUUUAUUAUUGCCUCUAGGGCAUAUUUCCAACAGUCUCCCACUUGCACUAGAGUCAAUAAUCUAGUUACAUUGUGAUGAAUCGAACACCCAUAGAGUUCUGGUGUUGAUCAUGUUUUGCUCGCGAGAGAGGUUUAGUCAACGGAUCUGCGACAUUCAGAUCCGUAUGUACUUUGCAAAUAUCUAUGUCUCCAUCUUGAACAUUUUCAUGGAUGGAGUUGAAACGACGCUUGAUGUGCCUGCUCUUCUUGUGAGACCUGGGCUCCUUGGCAAGGGCAAUAGCUCCAGUGUUGUCACAGAAGAGUUUGAUCGGCCCCGACGCAUUGGGUAUGACUCCUAGGUUGGUGAUGAACUCCGUCACCCAAAUAGCUUCAUGCGCUGGCUCUGAGGCUGCCAUGUACUCCGCUUCACAUGUAGAUCCCGCCACGACGCUCUGCUUGCAGCUGCACCAGCUUACUGCUCCACCAUUCAACAUAUACACGUAUCCGGUUUGUGACUUAGAGUCAUCCAGAUCUGUGUCGAAGCUAGCGUCAACGUAACCCUUUACCGCGAGCUCUUCGUCACCUCCAUAAACGAGAAACAUGUCCUUUGUCCUUUUUAGGUACUUUAGGAUAUUCUUGACCGUUGUCCAGUGUUCCUUGCCGGGAUUACUUUGGUAUCUUCCUACCAAACUUACGGCAAGGUUUACAUCAGAUCUGGUACACAGCAUGGCAUACAUAAUAGAUCCUCACUACAACAAAACAGACUUUAAGUAACACAAUCAUGUAACAGAUUGAAAAAUGUGUGACAAGGGAAAUUACAGUAACACAACAUUUUGUGUCGAACGACAGGCAGUAAAACAUACUAUAUAAGGCCUCAAAAUGUGUUACCGGGAUAUUGUAAUAGUAACAUGUAAAUAUGUGUUGGUCAAGUGUGUUACAUAGAUCUUGACGUGGUAACAUAUGAAUAUGUGUUACCGAAAUGUGUUAUGUAGUUCAACAAUGGUAGUAACACAUAAUCAUGGUUGAUACAUAGUGUUACAAGCUCUAUUAUAGGGGGAGGGGGGGACUAGAAAACUAAAAUCAAGUGCAUGCAUAGAUCACAAAUACCUUGACACAUAGGGCCCAUGUGUCAACGAUAAUACGUUCUUGUUUUGAUAAAUAGUAUUUUCAUUCUUUGGUAAUAUGGUACGAAAAAGAAUACAUUUUGGUUGGUAAAUACCAAACUAUUUUCGGUCUGGUUGCAUUGAAUAUCAUAUUAACUAUAUUUGUACAUGAAUUUUAGGAUAACUCAACAACCAUAAAUGUGAAAUGCAAACUUUAAAAUGAUCAUAUGAAAUUAAGUAUUUGACGUGAAUACUCACAAAGGAGUGGAAGACCAACAGCGAACGAGAGCUUAAAUUUGAAGAUAGUUUUAAGAACCGGACUGGUGGUUCGACUGGAGAAAAGGGAACCAAGGCCUCGUUCGGUUAAGGUGCGUUGGUCCUAUAGGUCUUUAGCAUGAAAAAUUCCCGACUGUCUACUACAACAAGUUGUGCCCGACUCCGGCGAGGGAGGAGCGAUGACAGCGGCACGCCUUUGGCUCGCUUCAGUGCUUGUAAUCAUCGCUAGGUGGUCUCUGAAUCUAGAUGUAAUUUUUUAUUUCUGGUGUCCUUUGUAUUGCCAUGAUUGAAGUUGAAUAGAUUUAACAGUUUCUCGCGAAAAAAAGAUCAAGGGGAGCCACACUUUCACAGAGAGAGAUAAGGGCAAGAGCAAGAAGGGAAUGUCACGCGACCAAGGCUACUUUGCUACUGUUUUUCUUGAACACCUCAACCUCUGCUUCUCUUCUUUGAGCGCCUCUGCUGUAGUGCGUCCCCAUGGCUCCUCUGCUGUAGUGCGUCCCCAUGGCUCCUCUACUACUGGCCAUUGCAUCAGCAGUUCAAAUGCAUAUCAUCAAUAGUUAGGCACCCGAUCUGAGCGGCAAGAUGGCUAGCAACCAGCUGCAAGUGUAAGCAACAGGCACAACAGCUAGCACCUAGCUGCAAGUGGAAGCAAAAGAAGUAACACGUGCAAUGGUUGGUUCACAACAACAAAGAAAAUAUUGAAUCAGGUUUUGACAGCAAACAAGCAUCCCACAUAAAUUAGAACGCCAAUUUCAAACAGACGUAAACUAAGUUUACAAGAUGGUAAAUCUGACAUAAUACUUCUUCAACAAAAGUGUAUCUAUUUCCAAUGACAAUAUGUCGUACAAUUUUCUGAAUUUUUCCAAGCUUCAUGUUUGAGGAGCAAAUACUAUGCAAACAUAUAAAAGCCCGCUAAAAGAACACAUUGCUUCAUCCACCAGUUUAGAACAAUCCUUGUAAUCUUAACUUGCAAAAAUUUCUGAAAAAGAAGAUUCACUGAAGCGCAUGAGAAAAAGUUCAUAACAAAUCAACAAGAGUCAAGUUAAAUUCAAUGCAUAUAGGGAUCCACAAUGGCAGCAUCUAUGGAAAAUAGGACGAGAAACUGAAAAGCAAUAAAGAAAAAGAAAAAUUGGGUUUAUAUGUUGAGUGAAAGACCUCAUUCCUUCGAAUUUUUUGAAGGGUGUAAGCUCAGCCAACGAUCUGCAAGAACAUACAAUGGUUAUUAAUGUCCUGCAAACUCAGCUUUGACUUUAGCUAAAACUACAAUGUAUAUAUAAUCAAGAAAAUGUUGGUUGAACAGAGAAAUACCUUUAUAUGAUGUACCAUCACCGUUCUUCAUCGAUCAAAGAAUUAUCAUUAGCAUCCACAAUUGUUCCCUCAAUAUCAGACCUUACCCAUAUCAGACCUUACCCAAUGUUGAUCUUUCCUUUUUGUUUUAAACAUAUCCGUGAGGUGAGAAACAUGGAAUGGCUCAGCUUCUACAUCUCGUGUGCAUUCAUCAUUUCCAGUGUCAUAUCAAUCUCUAGGUAGUUUAUUCUGCAUCACCACUGACCAACCUGGGUUCAGUUCGUCUUCUAGGUAAAACACUUGAUCGGCUUGGUUAGGCAAAAUAAAAGGCUCAUGCUCAAUCUUGUCUCCUUUGUGCAUCAAAUGUGAGAAGUUAAUAAGUGUGUAGCCAUACUUGUCCUUUUUAAUUCCUUUUUCAGAAAUAUCAACCCAUUCACACUUAAAUAAAUCCACCAAAAAUUGUCCAGAGUAGUUCAACUAAAUAAUAUCAAUUAUCCUGCCAUAGUAAGUCACAUCACCUAAAACAGGGGUCGCAUCACCUGGUGCAGCAUAUGUAGAUGUUUUGGCAUGUACCACCACUCCACUAUUUUGACUCACCCUGUCUAACCGUUUAGGCCUAAACCGAUAUCCUCUGGAGUUGUAAGCGCGGUACCUUUUUGCUGCAUCUACUGGGCCAUGUGCUAGCCAUCUAAUAUCAUUAUUAAUACUACCAAUACCAUUUUCCUUCUCCAAUUUAAUUAUCUGUAGAUUAAGAAGUUGUUUAGUAAAUGGCUUCAGUUGUACAUACAAAGAAUAUGAAAUACAGACUUACAUGAGCUUUGAACCAGUCAUUGAACUUAUCAUGUUGGAUGGACUCGACCAUGUUUGAGACACCACGCUCGCUAGUGAUCUCAUCGGCGUGAGCUCUACAAAGUAAUUUUAUAAUUAGUUUUGAAGUCAGAGAAAGAGUUGUGAAAACAUGUCAAAAAAACUGAUAUUAUUUAGAGGAUUGAGGUACUACCGAAGGAAUGGGUUGACAUCUGAGCAGUUGAACAACACAUAUCUAUGUGCUUGGAAUUUAGUCAUCCCUCUAAGAACAUAAUUGCCAGGCUUUCCAAGUGGUUUUCCUACCGAAGGAAACAGAGUUGAUCCUUGUUCAACAUCAACCGCCUCAUCGUCAUCGUCAUUCCUUGAAGGCCGAUUAUGCUUGGUGGCGAAACCAUCAAUAUAUCUUGAACAAAACGUCAUGCACUCGUCUGCAAGAUGUGCUUCAGCGAUAGAUCCUUCUGGAUGUGCUCUAUUACGCACAUAUGACUUCAGGACACAGAGAUACCUGCAUAAAUAAAAAAUGAAAAAAGAAGACAAAAAUUGUUAAUGAAUGUAGUACAGUAAUAAUUAGAAAAUAUAUAUGUCUCAUUUUUGACAAAAUACCUUUCCAGAAACCACAUUGAACGGUAGGCCACAGGGCCACCUAUUUUUGCCUCUGUUGCUAGAUGAAGAACCAAAUGCACCAUAACAGUAAAAAAUCCGGGCGGAAAUAUCAUCUCCAUACGGCAUAAUGUUAUCUCUAUACGGAACAUGCCAAAGGGGCAGAGAAUAGUUGUGAAAUGCAAUGAAGAUAGCCAGCCUAUAGGAGAUGAAGGUGCAAUCUUGGGGAAGUUUCUGGGCCCGAUUGCUAGAAAUGGAGGAUUUUGCCCACUAAACAUAAAUGAUUGGCGUCAUGUCAAAAAGAAUAGUGGUGAGGAAACAAUAUUGUAGUGCGUACAGGUACUUCACAAUUAACAAGAAAACAAAAUAUGUUAUUUGCUGCCCUUCUAUUUAUAUCUAAUUUAUGUACAUGAGAUGUAGUGUGGUCUGCAUGUCUAUUUACAUCUAUUCAUUAUUUUGUACUUUCAGACAAAGUUCGUGUAUCCUCGAUCAUGUGAAAAAUGGAUACUCAAAUCAAUUGGAAGAGACUGGAGGAAAUUUAAGUCUAGUUUGAAAGAUGCUUUCUUCAAACCCGCCAUUGAAAAAAAUCCAAACAUCAAGCGAAAGGCUUUGUAUAAGCUCUGUCCAGAAGAUGUGGACAACGAUCAAUGGCGUGGGCUUGUUAAAUAUUGGAAGUCCAAAAAAGGAAGGGUAAUGAAUGAGAUACUGUACUUUCAUGUUUUGACAUUUAAAUGUGAGUUCUCGGGCUUAUCUUAAAAGUUGCAUUUACAAUAUGAUUACAUCAUAACAUGCCCUUGUUGAGAAGAACAUAAUUAGUCGUUCCCUCGUGAAGGAUUCACAUAAUGCUGGCACAAAGAGUUAUGCUUGUUGGGGUGAAGACAUGGUGAGUAAUCUUGAUUCCUGAAGUGUUUUCCUGUGUCUCUUUUGUCAUAUGGGUGUUGUUUCUGUUUUGUAGAGGCAAGCUGAUCCUGAAAAGAAACGACCACACAGAUCAAAGGAUUAUUUAGCAACUCACAAGAAGAAGGACGAUGCUGAUGCUAAAAAUAAAGAUAGAAAUAAGCGCCUGGUAGGCAAUUAAUAUAGAAAUUGUAUAAUUGUUCUCGGGAUCAAGUUAUGGUUCAAUCUAACUAGUGUAUGCAUGAUUCUUUGCUUAUAGGAUCGAUUGGAGAAUCUAAUAACCGAACGACCAGAGUUGGCACAAAAUUUGAAUGGAAGAGUCGCAUGGGAAGGUGAUGCCCUGCAGGAAGUGUUAGGGAAAGAAAAGAUUGGACAAGUGCAUGGCAUGGGUUUGCUUCCAACUCCUAAGCAAGUCUACGGUCGGACGCCACGGUAUCUAAAGAACAUCAAUAUGACUAGAACUGAUGGAUCACCAUAUGAAGUUGAACAUGACGUUUGGGAGGUAAUAGCAAAGAUGCAGGAGCAUAUAAAAAAGCAAGACCAGAUUAUUAAAGAUAUGAAUAACAAAGAAGGUUAUGUCAAUAAUGGCAUAGAAGAGGUAAAGGACUUCUUUAUCCCACCCUUUGCAUGCAGUUCUAUCAAUAGUUUACUUAGAUUUGUUAGUUCUGUAGGAAAACCUCCAAUCAAAUGAUAAUGGUAUUUCUCGCUCACCAGUGCUGCUUGGUAAAACAAAGGUAAUGUUAAUAAAUGCCUAUAUCAUUGCUUGUCACUUGAAACCUUCAUAUUAAUAUUUCAGUUUGCAGAGAAUCCAGUGCAAUGGACCCGUUGAGGCAUGCUCGUCUAUGCAACAUGACAUUCCUGAGGAUAAUAAUUUAUCACGUUCGCAUGAAAAGGUUAUGCAUGUAGUUACUCUUACUCAUGUCACAAAGAUAGAAUAUAAAAUAAUUUCUUGCUCACCAUUGUUGUGUCAUGGAACUAUGUUGGCAACCAUGAUGUCAACCAAUUACAAAUUCAACAAAAUUCAUCAUCACCACAAGACCUUGUUAUUGAUUCUGUGCUAGAGGUAAUUUUCGUGCCUUUUGAGUUUUGAAGUUGUAGCUUUCUGUAGCUUCAAGGUAUGAAUAUCAUUCCAUCUAAUAUUAUUGUAUCUUGGUAGGUGAUGGAAACGAGGAAUAUUACGGGUGAAUCUGUUUCAAGACCGAACCAACAAAGGACUAGAACUGAACACCCACACCGCUCAAAAAGAAGGCGUUCUUCUUCCAUCAAGGUAAAGAUUUACCAAGUAGCAUGGUUUACUGCACCCAAAUUACCAACCCAAACCCUCAUUAUCAUGCCUGCUUGAAAAAUGGAUUUUUUUACAAUUUUUGCUCAAUCUGCUGUAUGCAAGUAACGAUAAAUUUAACCAAGCAUGAGCUAGCGAGGUGACCUUGGGCAUUAGACUUCGUUGCCUGGUCCAGUUUAUUUAGUUUCUUAGGGCACCUUACUGGGUUGAUAUUAAAAAGAUCUCAUAUUAUUCAUGCAAAUUAUAUUAUCAUGUCAUAGAAUGCUAAUAUUGAUCAUAAUAUAGGUUGCUUCCAAAGUAGUCUUAAAGACUUCAACAUAUCCCAACAAGCGGAAUGUUGCGUAUGGUACUAUUCGGAGUACUGAUCCAAGAACUAAGGCUGGUGGUAUUGAGUUAGGUGCUGAAUUUGCUCUUGUGCGCAUAGACGAACCUAUUCUUGAUAAUGAGGAGUUGGUAAGGGAAGUUUCUGAUUGCAAGACAAUUGGCGAGGCUUUCACUUCAGGAUACUUAGUUGCCUGGCCUUCAGCUUUUGUAUGUUACAAUCUUCCCUUCCACAUUCUGAAAUCAUAUUUGUGUACAUUUAAUCACACAUAUCUAAGGUGCAAUUUUCUUCUACAGAUUCGAGAGAAGGAUGGUUGAUUUGCAGCUGAAUUCUUGGAUCAAGAAGCAAAUAAAAUUUGAAGAUUUGAGCUACCAAUAGUUGUAGUUUACAUUGAUAGAUUUAAAAGUGUAAUAUCAUCCAGAAGAUCUUUUUCUUUCAUCGAAUUGAUGCAAAUGCGACAGUGUAAUAUUCCCCAUAGUUGUGUUUUCUAUCCUCAAAUUAUAUGACUGAUAUCUUUAUUGUAAUGCAUAUGUAUCAUACACUCUUCUAUAUUCGUAAUAAAUAUCUUCGUACGAAUUUUUGUAUGUGUUCUGCUUUAGUUUAAAUAAAUAUCAUUUUGAUAUGCUGCCAAGCAUAAAAUGAUUAACAAUUUAUGCAAUUGCAUUGAUUUUAUUAAAGAAAUUUAUACUCCAUAAAAUGGGUAUCCAAUUUUGUGGUUACUAAUAAAAAACAAAUACAUUAAUUAUGUUACCAUAUUGAUAUAGUAGUGUUACUGAUGAUGUUACUAUAGCUACAAAAUUUGUUACUAGAGUAGUUGACAACUAUAAUUAUAGUGUUACAAUACAUGGAUAUUAUGUUACUAGUUGUGUUCCGAUGCUAAAAAAUGUGUUACCAGUUGUGUUACGAUAGUUACAGAAACAUGUUACCACCGAUGUUCUAUGUCUAUCAAAAUAUGUUACUACGGUGUUACUAUAAUUACAAAAGUGUGUCACCGGUGUGUUCGGUAACACAUAACACACGUGUUACUAUAAUGCAAAUGUAACACAUUUUUUAACAUAUGGUAACAAUUAUUAUGUGUGACAGUUGACACCACUUAGUAACACGGUCUAAUGGAACACAUUUGAAACUGUGUUACUAUAUGGCCUAGUAACACACUUUUGGACCUGUAGUAACACAAGACGGUGUUACCAAAGGUCUGUCCUCUUGUAGUGCCUAUGGCUGAAGCAUAGGGGAUGACACUCAUCUCUUCUUUAUCUUUUGACGUGGUCGGGCAUUGAGCUGAGCUCAAUCUCACACCUUGCAAUACAGGCAAGAACCCUUUCUUGGACUGAUCCAUUUUGAACUUCUUCAAAAUCUUAUCAAGGUAUGUGCUUUGUGAAAGACCUAUGAGGCGUCUCGAUCUAUCCCUAUAGAUACUGAUGCCUAAUAUGUAAGCAGCUUCUCCAAGGUCCUUCAUUGAAAAACACUUAUUCAAGUAGGCCUUAAUGCUGUCCAAAAGUUCUAUAUCAUUUCCCAUCAAGAGUAUGUCAUCUACAUAUAAUAUGAGAAAUGCCAUAGAGCUCCCACUCACUUUCUUGUAAACGCAGGCUUCUCCAUAAGUCUGCAUAAACCCAAACCUUUGAUCAUCUCAUCAAAACGAAUGUUCCAACUCUGAGAUGCUUGCACCAGCCCAUAAAUGGAUCGCUGGAGCUUGCAUACUUUGUUAGCAUUCUUAGGAUCGACAAAACCCUCCGUCUGCAUCAUAUACAGUUCUUCCUUAAGAUGCCCGUUAAGGAAUGCCGUUUUGACGUCCAUCUGCCAUUUCUCAUAAUCAUAGUAUGCGGCAAUUGCUAACAUGAUUCGGACGGACUUCAGCUUCGCUACGGGAGAGAAAGUCUCAUCGUAGUCAACCCAUUGAACUUGUCGAUAACCCUUAGCGAUUAGUCGAGCUUUAUAAAUGGUAAUAUUACCAUCCGCGUCCGUCUUCUUCUUAAAGAUCCAUUUGUUUUCUAUCGCUCGCCGAUCAUCGGGCAAGCCUGUUAAAGUCCAUACUUUGUUUUCAUACAUGGAUUCUAUCUCGGAUUCCAUGGCUUCAAGCCAUUUGUUGGAAUCUGGGCCCGCCAUCGCUUCUUCAUAGUUCAAAGGUUCACCGUUGUCUAACAACAUGAUUUCCAUGAUAGGGUUGCCAUACCACUCUGGUGUGGAACGUGUCCUUGUGGACCUACGAGGUUCAGUAGCAACUUGAUCCGAAGUACCUUGAUCAUCAUCUUUAGCUUCCUCUCUAUCCGGUGCAGGCACCACAAGAACAUUUUCCUGAGCUGCACUACUUUCCGGUUCAAGAGGCAGUCCUUCAUCGAGUUCUACUUUCCUCCCACUUACUUCUUUCGAGAGAAACUCUUUCUCCAGAAAGAACCCGUUCUUGGCAACAAAGGUCUUGCCCUUGGAUCUUAAGUAGAAGGUAUACCCAAUGGUUUCCUUAGGGUAUCCUAUGAAGACACAUUUUUCUGACUUGGGUUCGAGCUUUUCAGGUUGUAAUUUCUUGACAUAAGCAUCGCAUCCCCAAACUUUUAGAAACGACAGCUUAGGUUUCUUCCCAAACCAUAAUUCAUACGGUGUCGUCUCAACGGAGUUAGACGGUGCCCUAUUUAAAGUGAAUGUAGUUGUCUCUAGAGCGUAUCCCCAAAAUGAUAGCGGUAAAUCGGUAAGAGACAUCAUAGACCGCACCAUAUCCAAUAGAGUGCGAUUACGACGUUCGGACACACCAUUACGCUGAGGUGUUCCAGGCGGCGUGAGUUGUGAAACGAUUCCACAUUUCCUUAAGUGUGUACCAAAUUCGUGACUUAAGUAUUCUCCUCCACGAUCUGAUCGUAGGAACUUUAUCUUUCGGUCACGUUGAUUCUCUACCUCAUUCUGAAAUUCCUUGAACUUUUCAAAGGUCUCAGACUUGUGUUUCAUCAAGUAGACAUACCCAUAUCUACUCAAGUCAUUAGUGAGAGUGAGAACAUAAUGAUAUCCUCCGCGUGCCUCAACGCUCAUUGGACCGCACACAUCGGUAUGUAUGAUUUCCAAUAAGUUGGUUGCUCGCUCCAUUGUUCCGGAGAACGGAGUCUUGGUCAUUUUGCCCAUGAGGCAUGGUUCGCAUGUGUCAAAUGAUUCAUAAUCAAGAGACUCUAAAAGUCCAUCAGCAUGGAGUUUCUUCAUGCGCUUGAUACCAAUGUGACCAAGGUGGCAGUGCCACAAGUAUGUGGGACUAUCAUUAUCAACAUUACAUAUUUUGGUAUUCACGCUAUGAAUAUGUGUAACAUUACGUUCGAGAUUCAUUAAGAAUAAACCAUUGACCAUCGGGGCAUGACCAUAAAACAUAUCUCUCAUAUAAAUAGAACAACCAUUAUUCUCGGAUUUAAAUGAGUAGCCAUCUCGUAUUAAACGAGAUUCAGAUACAAUGUUCGUGCUCAAACUUGGCACUAAAUAACAAUUAUUGAGGUUCAUAACUAAUCCCGUGGGUAAAUGUAGAGGUACCGUGCCGACGGCGAUCACAUCGACCUUGGAACCAUUCCCGACGCGCAUCGUCACCUCGUCCUUCGCCAGUCUCCGCUUAUUCCGCAGCUCCUGCUGUGAGUUACAUAUAUGAGCAACGGCACCGGUAUCAAAUACCCAGGAGUUACUACGAGUACUGGUAAGGUACACAUCAAUUACAUGUAUAUCAAAUAUACCUUUAGUGUUGCCGGCCUUCUUGUCCGCUAAGUAUUUGGGGCAGUUCGGCUUCCAGUGACCCUUCCCCUUGCAAUAAAAGCACUCAGUCUCAGGCUUGGGGCCAUUCUUUGACUUCUUCCCGGCAACUGGCUUACCGGGCGCGGCAACAUCUUUGCCGUCCUUCUUGAAGUUCUUCUUACCCUUGCCCUUCUUGAACUUAGUGGUCUUAUUGACCAUCAACACUUGAUGUUCUUUCUUGAUUUCAACCUCUGCUGACUUCGGCAUUGAAAAUACUUCAGGAAUGGUCUUCACCAUCCCCUGCAUAUUGUAGUUCAACACAAAGCUCUUGUAGCUCGGUGAGAGCGACUGAAGGAUUCUGUCAAUGACCGCCUCGUCCGGGAGGUUGAUCUCCAGCUGGGACAGGCGGUUGUGCAACCCAGACAUUUUGAGUAUGUGCUCACUGAUAGAACUGUUUUCCUCCAUCUUACAACUAUAGAACUUGUCGGAGACUUCAUAUCUCUCGACCCGGGCAUGAGCUUGAAAAACCAUUUUCAGCUCCUCGAACAUCUCAUAUGCUCCGUGUUUCUCAAAACGCUUUUGGAGCCCCGGUUCUAAGCUGUAAAGCAUGUCGCACUGAACGAGGGAGUAAUCAUCAGCACGUGACUGCCAAACGUUCAUAACGUCUUGGUUCUCUGGGAUGGGUGCUUCACCUAGCGGUUCAUCUAGGACAUAUGCUUUCUUGGCUGCUAUGAGGAUGAUCCUCAGGUUCCGGACCCAGUCCGAAUAGUUGUUGUCAUCAUCUUUCAGCUUGGUUUUCUCUAGGAACGCGUUGAAGUUCAUGUUGACAUGAGCGUUGGCCAUUUGAUCUACAAGACAUAUUUUGCAAAAGUUUUAGACUAAGUUCAUGAUAAUUAAGUUCAUCUAAUCAAAUUAUUUAAUGAACUCCCACUCAGAUUUGACAUCCCUCUAGUCAUCUAAGUGUUACACGAUCCGAGUCGACUAGGCCGUGUCCGAUCAUCACGUGAGACGGACUAGUCAUCAUCGGUGAACAUCUCCAUGUUGAUCGUAUCUUCCAUACGACUCAUGUUCGACCUUUCGGUCUCUUGUGUUCCGAGGCCAUGUCUGUACAUGCUAGGCUCGUCAAGUUAAACCUAAGUGUUCUGCAUGUGUAAAUAUGUCUUACACCCGUUGUAUGUGAACGUAAGGAUCUAUCACACCCGAUCAUCACGUGGUGCUUCGAAACGACGAACUUUAGCAACGGUGCACAGUUAGGGGGAACACUUUCUUGAAAUUAUUAUAAGGGAUCAACUUAUUUACUACCGCCGUUCUAAGUAAACAAGAUGCAUAAAACAUAAUAAACAUCACAUGAAAUUAUAUGGUAGUGACAUGAUAUGGCCAAUAUCAUAUAGCUCCUUUGAUCUCCAUAUUCGGGGCUCCAUGAUCAUCUUCGUCACCGGCAUGACACCAUGAUCUCCAUCAUCAUGAUCUCCAUCAUUGUGUCUUAAUGAAGUUGUCACGCCAAUGACUACUUCUACUUCUAUGGCUAACGCGUUUAGCAAUAAAGUAAAGUAAUUUACAUGGUGUUCUUCAAUGACAUGCAUGUCAUACAAAAAAUAAAGACAACUCCUAUGGCUCCUGCCGGUUGUCAUACUCAUCGACAUGCAAGUUGUGAUUCCUUAUUACAAGAACAUUAUCUCAUACAUCACAAUAUAUCAUUCAUCAUUUAUCACAACUUCUGGCCAUAUCACAUCACAUGACAAUUGCUGCAAAAACAAGUUAGAUGUCCUCUAAUUGUUGUUGCAUCUUUUACGUGGCUGCAAUUGGGUUCUAGCAAGAACAUUUUCUUACCUACGAAUAACCACAAUGUGAUUUUGUCAACUUCUAUUUACCCUUCAUAAGGACCCUUUUCAUCGAAUCCGCUCCAACUAAAGUAGGAGAGACAGACACCCGCUAGCCACGUUAUGCAACUAGUGCAUGUCAGUCGGUGGAACCUGUCUCACAUAAGCGUACGUGUAAGGUCGGUCCGGGCCGCUUCAUCCCACAAUACCACUGAAGCAAGAAAAGACUAGUAGCGGCAAGCAAGUUGACAAGAUCUACGCCCACAACAAAAUUGUGUUCUACUCGUGCAAUAGAGAACUACGCAUAGACCUAGCUCAUGAUGCCACUGUUGGGGAACGUUGCAGAAAAUAAUUUUUUUCCUACGGUUUCACCAAGAUCCAUCUAUGAGUUCAUUUAAGCAAUGAGUGAAAGGAGAGAUGCAUCUACAUACCACUUUGUAGAUCGCGAGCGGAAGCAUUCAAAAAACGGGGUUGAAGUAGUCGUUCUCGUCGUAAUCCUAUCAACGGAGAUCCUAGCGCCGAACGGACGGCACCUCAGCGUUCAACACACGUACGGUCAGCGUGACGUCUCCUCCGUCUUGAUCCAGCAAGGGGGAAGGAGAGGUUGAUGAUGAUUCAACAGCACGACGGCGUGGUGGUGGAUGCAGCAGAACUCCGGCAGGGCUUCGCCAAGCUGCUGCGGGAGGAGGACGAGGUGUAGCAGGGGAGGAAGGCGCCAAGACACAAGGGUGCGGCUGCCCUCCCCCCUGCCCUCCUUUAUAUAGGCCCCCAGGGGGGGCGCCGGCCCUGGGAGAUGCAAUCUCCCAAGGGGGCGGCGGCUAGGGGGGUGGAGUGCCCCCCCAAGGCAAGCGGUGCGCCCCCCCUACCUAGGGUUUCCAACCCUAGGCGCAGGGGGCCCAAGGGGGGGCGCACCAGCCCACUAGGGGCUGGUUCCCCUCCCACUUCAGCCCACGGGCCCCUUCGGGAUAGGUGGCCCCACCUGGUGGACCCCCGGGACCCUUCCGGUGGUCCCGGUACAAUACCGGGUGACCCCGAAACUUUCCCGAUGGCCGAAACAGCACUUCCUAUAUAGUUUUCUUUACCUACGGGCCAUUCUGGAACUCCUCGUGACGUCCGGGAUCUCAUCCGAGACUCCGAACAACAUUCGAUUUGCUGCAUACUCAUAUUCAUACAACCCUAGCGUCACCGAACCUUAAGUGUGUAGACCCUACGGGUUCGGGAGACAUGUAGACAUGACCGAGACGGCUCUUCGGUCAAUAACCAACAGCGGGAUCCGGAUACCCAUGUUGGCUCCCACAUACUCCUCGAUGAUCUCAUCGGAUGAACCACCAUGUCGAGGAUUCAAGCAACCCCGUAUACUAUUCCCUUUGUCAGACGGUAUGUUACUUGCCUGAGACUCGAUCGUCGGUAUCCCAAUACCUCGUUCAGUCUCGUUACCGACAAGUCACUUUACUCGUACUGUAAUGCAUGAUCCCGUGACCAGACACUUGGUCACUUUGAGCUCAUUAUGAUGAUGCACUACCAAGUGGGCCCAGUGAUACCUCUCCGUAAUACAGAGUGACAAAUCCCAGUCUCAAUCCGUGUCAACCCUAGAGACACUUUCGGAGAUACCUGUAAUGCACCUUUAUAGUCACCCAGUUACGUUGUGACGUUUGGUACACCCAAAGCACUCUUACGGUAUCCGGGAGUUACACGAUCUCAUGGUCUAAGGAAAAGAUACUUGACAUUAGAAAAGCUCUAGCAAAACGAACUACACGAUCUUGUGCUAUGCUUAGGAUUGGGUCUUGUCCAUCACAUCAUUCUCCUAAUGAUGUGAUCCCGUUGUCAACGACAUCUAAUGUCCAUAGUCAGGAAACCAUGACUAUCUGUUGACCAACGAGCUAGUCAACUAGAGGCUUACUAGGGACAUAUUAUGGUCUAUGCAUUCACACGUGUAUUACGAUUUCCGGAUAAUACAAUUAUAGCAUGAAUAAAGACAAUUAUCAUGAACAAGGAAAUAUAAUAAUAAUCUUUUUAUUAUUGCCUCUAGGGCAUAUUUCCAACAGUAUCUUCCCAGAAACAAGUGUUAUUGCCAUCACCAACAACAAACUUUGUUCUGUUAAAGAAAGUAGCUUUGACCCUCAUUAGCCCCUUCCAGAAAGGCGAAUCAGUGGGUCGAGCUGUCACCUACGAGAAGGUCUUAGAGUACAGAUACUUGUUACGAAGAAUCUGCGCCCAGGUUGCCUCAGUCUCGGCAGAUAACUUAUAAAGCCACUUACUGAGAAGGCAUCUGUUCUUCACUUCAAGGUUCUCAACCCCAAGACCCCCUUGGUCUUUUGGUCGGCAGAUGACAUCCCAUUUGGCUAGACGGUACUUUCUCUUAGUUUCAUCGCUCUGCCAGAAGAAACGUGACCGAUAGAAGUCCAGCCUUUUCCUAACUCCAACUCGUACUUCAAAAAAGGAAAAAGAAACAUAGGCAAACUCGUGAGCACCGAAUUAAUGAGAAUCAAUCGGCCUCCAUACGACAUAAGUUUGCCCUUCCAGCAGCUCAGUUUCUUCUCAAACCAAUCCUCGAUACACUUCCAUUCGCUGUUAGUCAACUUAUGAUGGUGAAUGGGGAUACCCAGGUAAGUGAACGAAAGAGCCCCCAAAUUGCAACCAAACAGUUGCUUGUAUGCAUCUUGUUCCUCUUUGGCUCUACCAAAGCAAAACAACUCGCUUUUAUGGAAGUUGAUCUUCAGACCGGACAAUUGCUCAAAAAGGCACAGUACCAGCUUCAUAUUUCUCGCCUUAACCAAGUCGUGCUCCAUAAAGAUGAUUGUAUCAUCGGCGUAAUGCAGAAUGGACACACCAACAUCGACAAGAUGAGGCACCAAGCCACCUACUUGCCCUGCCUCCUUUGCCCUUCCUAUCAAGAUUGCCAACAUAUCAACAACAAUAUUGAAGAGGAUAGGAGACAUUGGAUCACCUUGCCUCAGGCCCUUGCGUGUCUGAAAAUAAUGACCUAUAUCGUCAUUCACUUUAAUUCCAACACUUCCUUUUUGCGUGAAAGAUUCAACUUGGCGCCUCCAAGCUUCAUCAAAACCCUUCAUACGUAAGGCUUGUUGUAGAAAGGGCCAUUUGACUUUAUCAUACGUCUUCUCGAAAUCCACCUUAAAAACCAGUCCAUCCAGUUUUUUCGUGUGAAUUUCAUGGAGCGUUUCAUGCAGGACCACCACCCCUUCAAGGAUGUUCCUAUCCGGCAUGAAAGCAGAUUGAGUAGGCUGCACCAUAGUAUGUGUAAUCUGUGUGAGCCUAUUCGUCCCGACCUUGGUAAAAAUUUUCAAACUCACAUUAAGAAGACAGAUUGGCCGAAAUUGCUCAAUCCGCAUUGCCUCUGUCUUCUUGGGAAGAAGUGUUAUCGUUCCAAAAUUCAGCUUAAAAAGGUGAAGCUGGCCAGCAAAAAGAUCAUUGAACAAAGGCAAUAGAUCUCCUUUAAUAAUGUGCCAACAUUUCUUGUAAAACUCGGCCGGGAAACCAUCCGGGCCAGGAGCCUUAUUAUUCUUCAUCUGGGAAAUGGCCUCAAAUACCUCUUUCUCAGAGAAAGGAGCAACUAAAAUAUCAUUCUCAACAGCUGUCAGUUGAGGCACAUCCUCAAUCCUAGACUCAUCCAGCGACACACAGUUCUCCUCUGGAGGUCCAAACAGUUGCUUGUAAUACUCAGUGAUAUAAAGCUUUAAGUUUUCCUGACCCAGAAUCGUUCCCUCAUCUUGUUCAAGAUGAAAGAUCCUCUUCUUUCUAUGCUUACCAUUAUCAAUCAUGUGAAAAAAUUGUGUGUUCGCGUCCCCCUGGACGACCCGUCGGACCUUGGCCCGAAGCGCCCACUUUAAUUCUUCCUCACGAAGUAGCUCUUUCAGCCUCAUUUCCGCAUCGAGCUUCGCCUGAAGCUCCGAGGCUGGCAGGAUCAUGUUCUCAGCUUUUACAUCAAGGGACUGAAUAAGUGAAAGGAGUUGUUCCUUCUCAAUCUUAUAAACCCCACUAAGAUGUUUAUCCCACCCUCGUAGGAAACUUCUCAAGUCCCUAAUUUUAUUCUGCCAGAGCUCAAGUGCAGCUCUACCUCCUGCAUCCUUAGCCCAUUCUCUGGCUACGAGAUCUAAGAACCCUUGUCUCUCAAACCACACAAGCUCGAAUGAGAAAACAUACUUAUUUCCCACAUGGGUGGCCUCCCCAGAGUCAAUGAAUAAAGACGUAUGGUCGGAAAUACCCCGGGUAAGUGCCUGCACCGUUACACAUGGGAAUUUCUGUUCCCAUUCGACGCUAGCCAGAACCUGAUCCAGCUUCUCAAACGUCGGAUUUGGCAGGGCAUUAGCCCAAGUGAACUUCCUGCCUGAAAACUCUAUCUCACGCAGAUCCAAACUUUCAAUGAUGGUGUUAAACAUGAACGACCAUCUACCGUCGAAAUUAUCAUUAUUCUUCUCAUCACGCCUUCUGAUGAUAUUAAAAUCACCCCCCAAUAGGAUAGGCAGUUGCUCAGAACCACAAAUCCUAACCAAAUCAGCCAAAAAAUCUGGUUUAAGCUCGGGUUGUGCGGCUCCAUAAACCGCCACCAAAGCCCAGUUAAACCCAUCGGUCUUUGACCUCACCCUAAACUUAACCGCGAAAUCCCCCAUGACCACGCUUCGGACAUCUAACGAGUCACAUCUAACUCCGAGUAAAAUCCCACCCGAUCUUCCUCGCGGCAGUAGACAAUGCCAAUCAAACUCAAUACCUCCCGACAGCGUAUUGAGAAAUUGAGGCGAAAAUUCUGCUCUACCAGUUUCCGAUAAAGCAAUGAAGUCCAACUUAUGCUCAAUAGAAGCCUCAGCAAGAAACCUUCUUUUAGCCAAGUCUUUCAGACCUCUGCUAUUCUAAAAGAUUCCUUUCAUAACUCGUCAUGGAAUUUUUUAGCCGUUCUAAUCCGCGCUCCUACGCACUGCGGAAACCGGGUAAAUCUUCCGCUUCCAUUUGCGUUUAGGAAUAUUGAAACUCUCCAGCUGGUCCUCACAACCAGUCUCAGAGGCGCGCACUUCUACAAAGUCCACUCGCUCAUCUUCCUCCUCAGGCUCAGGAGACGAAUGAGCGAGAUUUGCACACAGAUUAUCGAGCACCCUAACCCCCAAAGCAUCAAUCUCAGAGUUAUUCAUGGGUUUAACCGCAGCUAAGUUACGAAUCAUCUCAAGCGCUCGCUCAGCCUCUAAAUCCAAUAAAUCAUUAACCGAAUUUGAAAUUUCACUAUCAUUGCUACCUAGUGAAAUUCCUAGCUUAUUUGCAUUAUGAAUAAUCUCAUCAUUGGAAAAAUGCACAAUAGAAUUAGAAGUAUUGACAGACAUACCAGUAGUGACCUCCACGCCACGAAGCUUGGCCGCCCUCAUAGCGUACCGCUGCUGAAUGUCGUCCACUUCCGGAUGGUCCUGGAGACGGCUGCUCAACCGUCGCCCCUCAGAGACCGUAUCUGGGAUACCACCGAAAGCAAUCACCUCCUCGCGAGAAGCUCUACUGGGGUGCACCAUGCCGGGGGACGGAGAAGCCAUGGCCUCCUGCCCAAGCUCCCCCUCUACCCCGGCCACAGCGCAAACUGUCAGCAUCGGCGCCGCCGGCAAACAAGGCCCUCGUGGCGCCACAGGUGAAGAGAACCCCGAGGCCACCUGCCCCGAGUCCUCUCCGGAACGCGACUCCAGCGCCAGCGUCACCGGACCGGAAGAAGGAGAUAAAGGUGUCUGGUCAAGCAACCUCGGCCUCCCAACCAAAGGCUCAAGCUGCACCAUCGGAAGCUCCCCCACCGCAGGCCCUGAUGAGGGGAGCGAGGCCACCUGCCCCACAUCCCCAUCAGUAGCAGGCACCAUCGGCUGCACCUGCGCUGUCGCGGCCGCAGAGGAGUAGUCCAAAGUCACCAUCUUCAGACUCUCUCCUACGCGAACGACCUCCUCCUCCUCAGCCCCGACCAAGAUCGGCGACUCCCCCAAAAGAGGAAACACUAGCUCCUCAAACUCCAGUGCCGGAAGCGAGUGCUCAAACACCUCAUCCGACUCCACCCGAUCACUCCACAGUCUCGGAGGUGCAGAUGCCGGCUCGAAAGAACCGAACCUGAGAGUAGUCGUAGGCACCGUAGAAGGAGUAAUCGUCCCAUCCGCAGACGUGUGAGCAUCAACACCUUGCGUAGUGGCCAACUCACGUCCACUAUCAUCAGCUGGUGCCUCCUUAAGUGCCGAACUAUCAUCAUCCUUGUGCAUAUCAGAAUCAGACCUGUUGGCCACCCCGGCAAAGAUACUCUCACUACUAGGAAAAGGGCUAUAGAUAGGAUUGAUACUAAUGGUACACCAGGUAAGUAGUGCGCCACUACUAUAUACUAAUGGCGCAUCGGUCGGUGAUGCGCCAUUAGUGUGGAAGACACUAAUGGCGCACCGGACACACGGUGCGCCACUAGUAUUAAUUUUUUUUCCAUUUUUCAUACAUACUAAUGGCGCAUGAGGUCGAAGUGCACCAUUACUAGUUCUAACUAGUAAUGGCGCACCGUGCAGACAGUGCGCCAUUAGUAUAUUUUUUUUACUUUUUUGCAAAACUACUAAUGGCGCACCGUGUCAAAGUGCACCAUUACUAGUUUAAACUACUAAUGGCGCACUUUUCCACAGUGCGCCAUUAGUAUAUAUUUUUUUACUUUUCUGCAAAACUACUAAUGGCGCACCGCUUGUAGGUGCGCCAUUAGUAACCAGGGUUACUAAUGGUGCAUUUGCUGGUGGUGCGCCAUUAGUAACCUGGGACCAACAAGAUAUUUUGGACAGCCCACCUACUCACUCACUUUCCCCACUUCAUUCUCUCCACCUCCUCCUCCAAGCUUGUCUCGGCUGCCUCCUCCUUCUCACCUCAUUUGCACCAUAGAUUCAUCAAAAUUAAGUGGUGAAAUUACCUUUUUUUUUGAUAGGUAAGUAAGGAGAAAGCUAUCUUCAUGAUGUAGAUCUACUUUUUUUCUCCCUAGCUCGCUCCAACAACGUGCACAUGCACUUUUUGUGGCCUAGCUAGAUCUAUGUAUGUUUGUGGUGUUGCAUGUGUUUGUGGUGUUGCAUAUAUGUUUGUGUUUGUAGGUACCGGUAUUUGAAAUGCGAUAGUUGCCAAUAUUUUGCCGGAAUGUUGAUUCAUUUCCGUUUCGGCGAGAAUUUUGGCACUAUGCAUUCUUUUUGGUCCUAUUUUUAGGGAAGGUCAUGCCAAAUAUUUUCUUGGUUCUAAAAUAUCGUUUUGCUCUACCCCGCAGGCCAUCAUGGUCCGCACGAUGACCGAAGGCAUCGUGAAUAGGUUUUUGAGCUCCGCAAAGGCUGAGAUGCUUCAAAAGAACGAGAUGGAGAUAAGAUGUCUGUGUCGAAGAUGCAAGCUGAAGAGCCUUAUUGUGGACCCGGAUUCCGGGCAGGUGCAGGACCACCUGCUCUUGGGUGGUUUCAUGGAUGGCUAUCGGUGGCAAGGUGAUGAAGAUGACUAUGAAGUCGUCCAUGGGGGCCGGGCAAGAAAUGAGGAAGGGCAACAAGACAAGUACCACUGCGGCGAGGGCGGGCGAGAAGACGAAGAAUCUCCAGGACAUGAUCACGGCGGUGAUGCUGUACACAGUCAUCAUGUAGAAGAUGUCGUACAUGAUGAUGAGGAAGAUCAAGAUGAAGGGCAUGAUCAUGAGGAUGAAGAUGCCGGAUCAGACGAUGAUGGAGGCUGGGUGCAGGACCCUCAUAUUCAAGAGCUGCUUCUCAAGCAGACGGAUAACGCAAGAGCUGCCGCCCGAGAGAAAGCCAAGCUGGAUCAACUGGAGAUAGACGCGGUUACUCCAUUGCAUGAAGAAUGCAAGCCCGAGGAUACCCGCCUGAAAGUAACGCUCAUGGCUCUGGAGAUGAAGGUACAACACAAAAUGACCGAGGCAUGCUUCGACGAGAACAUGUCAUUCUGGCACGAACGUCUUCCCAAGGGGAACAAGUGCCCGACCAGUUUCGAGGAGGCGAAGAAAAUCGUGUGUCCUAUGGAUUUACCGCACGUGAAAUACCAUGUGUGCAUGAACAAUUGCAUCAUUUAUCGGGACGAGCACGCGGAGUCUACCAUAUGUCCGGUGUGCGGCGUCACUCGAUACAAGAAGAGGAAGAAAGCUCCUCGAAAAUCGGUGUGGUACUUUCCGAUCACUCCUCGUCUGCAGCGGUAUUUUGUGGGCCCUAAGGUAGCAAAGCUCCUGCGUUGGCACGCGGAUAGGGAGGAGAAGAAGCGGGAAGAUGACGGAAAUGAUCCGGAGAUAAAUAAAAAAGACAAGAUGAUGAGUCACCCUAAGGAUGCGAGCCAGUGGAAAGCGUUGAACUUCGAAUACCCAGAAUUUGGGAAGGAUCCAAGCAACAUCAUGCUGGGCACGAGCACCGAUGAAGUCAAUCCGUUUGGCAGCCAGAGAAGCACACAUAGCACCUGGCCUGUGUUUGUGUGGAUGUACAACCUUCCCCCUGGUUGUGCAAGAAGAGGAAGUACAUUCACAUGAGUAUGCUAAUUGAAGGGCUGAAACAACCAGGGAACGACAUCAAUCUGUAUCUGGGGCUGCUGAAGGAGGAGCUAGACACGUUGUGGAAAACGCCAGCCAAUACGUGGGACGCCGCAAAGAAAGAAUAUUUCCCUAUGAGAGCCGCACUGCUCACGACGGUGCAUGACUAUCUCGGUUACGGAUAUCUCGCGGGGCAGGUAGUCCACGGAUUUUCUGGAUGCAUAAGGUGCAUGGAUGACACAACGUAUCACCAGCUAGAUAGAGAUCCCGGGUCUUCGAAAACCAUGUUCAUGGGACAUCGAAGGUGGCUUCGCGAUGAUGACCCGUGGAGGAAACGCAAGGAUCUGUUCGAUGGUGAAACCGAACCCCGAAAAUGCCCGUAUACAAGGAGCGACGAGGAAAUAGAUGAGCUGUUAAAAAAUUGGAAAGACUUCCCACUACCAGGAAAGAAGCAAAAGGCGCCAGAGCCGGGAAAGAAGCGAAAGGCGCCAGAGCCGCUGCUGAAGAUAUGGAAAACGAGGUCUGUUUUCUGGGACUUGCCGUACUGGAAGAUCCACCGUGUGCCUCACAGCCUUGAUGUCAUGCAUAUCACGAAGAACGUGUGCGAGAGUCUGCUUGGUAGCCUGCUCAACAUGCCAGAGAGGACCAAAGAUGGGCCGAAAGCAAGGGCAGACUUGAAAUCAAUGGGCAUCAGGCAGGAGCUUCACGCUAAUGAUGAUGAUGAUGAUGAUGAUGAUGAUGAGGCGAAGCAGGACACAGAAAGUCGUCGCAAAGGCAAAAAGGCCAAGAAGACCGGAAAUGACUACCCUCCCGCGUGCUUCACUCUAAGUCAGGAGGAGAUCGAGCAGUUUUUCACCUGCCUCCUAGGAGUAAAACUUCCUUACGGUUACGCGGGGAAGAUAAGCAGAUACCUAGACCCAGCGAAGCAGAAGUUCAGCGGGAUGAAGUCUCACGACUGUCACGUGCUGAUGAUGCAGAUACUUCCAGUUGCAAUACGUGGGAUCAUGGAUGCGCACGUCCGUGAAAUGCUAUUUGGCCUAUGCAACUUUUUCGAUGUCAUCUCUCGGAAGUCGAUUGGCGUGAGGCAACUCAGAAGGCUACAGGAAGAGAUCGUGGUGAUACUAUGCGAGCUUGAGAUGUACUUCUCGCCCGCAUUCUUCGACGUUAUGGUGCAUCUGCUGGUCCAUAUCAUGGAGGAUAUCAUCCAACUUGGGCCGACGUUCCUGCACAGCAUGAUGCCGUUCGAAAGGAUGAAUGGUGUCAUCAAAGGAUACGUUCGAAACAUGUCACAUCCAGAGGGAAGUAUAGCCAGGGGCUUUCUGACCGAAGAGUGCAUCUCCUACUGCAUGAAUUAUCUAGGCAUCGAGAACCCCGUUGGUCUGCCCGUCAACAGGCACCUCGGCAGGCUCGCUGGAUGGGGUCACUGUGAGGGUCGCCGCGAAAUGCAUGUCGAGUUCGAGGGUCGACUCGCCGACUUUGAAAGAGCAAACCUAGUCGCGCUACAACACAUAGACGUGGUCGAUCCUUGGGUGGUAGAGCACAAAACCUUUAUUGAGAAGACGUACAAUGACUGAGGCCAACAGCGGAUGGAGGGAGAUAUAAUCAAAGAGCACAACUCAUGUUUCACGCGUUGGUUCAAGCAGAAGCUUCUGUCGUACCAUUUACAUGAGGAUUCUUCCGCAGAAGAACAACUCAUAUUCGCCUUGUCACAGGGCGCCGAGCACAACCUGAUGACCCAUGAGGCGUACGAUAUCAACGGCUACACAUUCUACACCGAGAACAAGGACAUGAAGAGCGAUGGUUAUCAGAACUCCGGGGUAACGAUGGAAUCCUACACCGGCAACGACAAGGACAGAUACUGCGGAAGGAUCGAGGAGAUCUGGGAGCUGAGCUACGCUGGAGAGAAGGUCCCGAUGUUCCGUGUCAGAUGGGCCAAGAGCGUCCUAAAAGAAGACCGGUAUUUCACCACCAUGGUUAUACCCGAAGCCAAAUCCAAGACCGCGGGCGCAAACGUCACCGCGAAAAAUGAGCCAUGGGUACUGGCUUCCCAAGUGGACCAAUGCUUCUUCAUUACCGACCCGCCAAAGCCCAGUCGUGUUGUCGUGAGGAGAGGCAAAAGGAAGAUCAUCGGAAUGGAUGGAGUAGCCAAUGAGCAAGACUUCGACAAGUACGGCGACCCGAAGAUCGAACAUGACGACGAAAAUGAAGUAGCAGCACACACCACAAGAAGAAGCAGGACCACCCUACCUAAAGGACGUCCGUUCCACAGAAGAACUCCAUUUGCGAAAAAGAAGGGCAAGAAGAUUGUGAACAGAUAGCUAGCUAAGAUCGAUUGUAUUUAAAUCGUAGUCUUCAUUUCUCGAUUGUAUUUCGACAUUUUGAAAUGAUAUUUCUUCUGUUCUAGUCCUCAUGACUAUUGAAUUAUGUUUAUUAUGGUAUUGAAUUUCUAACUCACAAAAAGUAUUGAAUUUGUUAAUAUUUUGUGAACUCAUUAAUAUAUUUAAAUUUUUAUGAUAUUUUUUCAAAUAUUUUCAAAUAACAAAUUUGAUGAUAUUUUUUAAUAUUCAUAAAUAAUUUCAAAUAAGAAAUUUGAUGAUAUUUUUCACAUUCAUAAAUGUUCUCAGAUUUGAUUUGCCAUUUUCUAAAAAAAUAUUAGAUGAAACUUAAUAUUUUUUCAUGACCCCCCCGCACCCGUCAACGUAUGUAAAUGCUCCCUCCCUCCCUCCCUCCUCUACUCAUCUCCUGUAUAUAGUGUAGUAAUUUUUAUCAAUAAAAAAUAAAAAAAAAUAAAAGUUACUAAUGGCGCACCAGGAGAGGGUGCGCCAUUGUUAUCAAUAAAAAAAUUACUUAUGGCGCACCCCUCGGUGGUGCGCCAUUGCUAUGGAUGUACUUAUGGCGCACCACUGGGUGGUGCGCCAUUGCUAAGCCUCCCCCCACACUAAAAUCCCCAAUCUCUCUAAUCUCUCCCCUGCCCCAUCGAUCUCACCCGCUGCCCCCCGUGUUCGCCGUCCCCCUCGCCGCCCCCCUCGCCUCCUUCGCCGUCCCCGAGCCGAGCGNNNNNNNNNNNNNNNNNNNNNNNNNNNNNNNNNNNNNNNNNNNNNNNNNNNNNNNNNNNNNNNNNNNNNNNNNNNNNNNNNNNNNNNNNNNNNNNNNNNNNNNNNNNNNNNNNNNNNNNNNNNNNNNNNNNNNNNNNNNNNNNNNNNNNNNNNNNNNNNNNNNNNNNNNNNNNNNNNNNNNNNNNNNNNNNNNNNNNNNNNNNNNNNNNNNNNNNNNNNNNNNNNNNNNNNNNNNNNNNNNNNNNNNNNNNNNNNNNNNNNNNNNNNNNNNNNNNNNNNNNNNNNNNNNNNNNNNNNNNNNNNNNNNNNNNNNNNNNNNNNNNNNNNNNNNNNNNNNNNNNNNGAGCGCCGCCUCCCUCGCCGUCCCCGAGCCGAGUGCCCUCGACGUCCUCCCACCCAAGCGCCCCCUCCCCCCGCGGCCCCGCCUGCGCCCUCGACGUGCUCGCCAUCCAACACCGCGCGGCCUACCCAGGAGGACCGCCGCCGUCUUCCUCUUCGACUACGAGGACCCGGACGAGCUCGGACGCCCAGGAGGACCGCCACCGCUCGACGCCCUCGACCGCGCGGCCUGCCCAGGAGGACCGCCACUGCUCGACACCGAAUUCACGCUGCCUCGACUAGCUCCGGCUGCCCCGAGUCGCCCUCGACCUCCCAAGUGAGCACCCAAGCCGCUUCCCCCUCUUCCCCCUCUUUAUUUCCUUCUGAUGUGUUCUAGGGUUGGGGGUUGGAGAAAUUUGGACAAGGAAAGGGGGUUGGAGAAUUAAGUAGCUAGGGUUUUCCAAAUGUUCAAAUCUCUGAGCUUGCUGCAGUGCAACCAAGAUGAUAUUUAGAUGCAUUUUAGAGGAUACUAGUCUCAACUAAGCAUCCGCCUAGAGAUUCUUUCUUUAAGUAGCUAGGCUCAAUUAGUGAAUUUUCCAGUGAGUUUGGAUUCAUGCAACAAUAUGAAACAUUAAUUACUAUUCUUUCUGACCACUAAUGAAGUAGAAAGAAGGGAUCGUCUCUUUCUUUGGUUACCAGGUUGCGAAAUCUACCCAAAACUCUGAGAUUACCCAUGAUAGAUGUAACAUGUAAGAAGUCCAUAAUUGAUUAAUGGAUCUGUUAGUUUGAUAGUUUUUUUAGUGUUGCACCUUUUCCUUCUACAACUUGCAGAUGUGCAUACAGUUUUUUGUGUUCAGUUUAGGAGUUGGUCCUUGGGAAGCAUAAAUAAAACAUUAUUGGCAAGUGCAGUCUUGUUACUCCUAGGUAUCUACAAAUGAGUAGAUGAAUAUUUGUUACCAGGAGGGGUUACAAUAUCUUUCAAACUGAUGUUGUUCUCAUGAUCAUGCUUUCUAAUGGUUUGAUAUCACCCAAAGUUUGGCAUGGAAACUACAGAGGUACUAUGUAGUGUUGUAUUACUUCUUCCGGAUUCAGGGUGUUUAAAUGUGCAUUAGUUCUUCUGAUAAUUAAUGGUUAAAGUCCUUUGACAAGAAUGUGAACAAUAAGAGAUGUAACCAAUCCCAGAAGUAGAACCAUGCAUCCUUUCUCUCUACAAUUCUCAUGCAACAAUAUGGAACUAAUUCUUUAAGUAGUUAAUGAGAACACUUGGUCCAUAUUCAUUUGCAGUGAACAUACAUUUUCACUGUUCUUAUAAUAUUUGCUUGAUGUCAGAUUAUGCUAUGAGGAUAUUAGUCUAAGCCCAGUCUUGGAUGCAUUGUUUUAUCCUGCGGUGGUUAAACCGAUUCUGAAAAUUAUCUAGUUUGACCUGUACUUGUCCAACUAUCACAAUCUAUUCUUUGACCAUGGCAGUAGCUGGCAUUUUGUUAUGAUAAUUUCAGUAUAUAUCUUACUGUCCUUUGCUGAUCUCGUUGUAUUUUCAAUUCACAGGCAACUCUCCGACAAAGUCUCCUCCAGGUAAUAUACGUCUCAUGCUUUCUAAAGAGUACUAGUAUACUGACUAAACUAUCCACUUGCUAUGCUUAGCUGCUCUGUUGUCUGAAUCGUGACACUUUGCCAGCUGAAACUUUCCUAUCACACUGUCACUGUAUUGCUCAACUAAAAACAUAAAUAUUUGUAGUUUUUGCCUGUCAUAAUGCAACUAAGCAUACUAGUCUCAACUAAGCAUACUAGUUUUUUGUAGUGAGACAGUAAGAUAGUGAGACAGUAAGAAGGAAACUUCCCAGAUUAUGUAGAAAGAAAAUACUUGGUUUGACAACAAGUACCAUGACAUGAAUCAAAAAACAUAUAAGGUGGGAAAAAUAAAAUGGCAGAAACCUGGGAGGUUCAAAAAUGCCAUUACGAAGCGAGGUUGCUUGUUACUUUCCUAAGAUGUGCAUCUCAUUUAUUUGUGUUUUUAUUUGUAGCUGUAUUGCUCAACAAAGCAUACUAGUGUCGCAAUACACUGUUUUGCAGGUAAUAGUGUCGCAAUAUUUGCCUGCCAUGCCAGCUGAAACUUGACAGUGUUUCCCAAAAACACUGUCACUCACUGCCACUAAAAGCAUGACAAUAUAAUUUCUUGUUUGUGUUUUUAUUUGUUCACACUGUCGCUGUAUUGCUCAACUAGACAAUUAGUGUUUAUGAAGAAGAAGAAUAAACCUGCUGCUACUGCUGUUAUGCCUGUAUUCACUGCUGCUGCUGUACUUGUGAUAAUGUUGUACUUGUGAUGAUGCUACUUGUGAUCUUCUGAAAUGACCCAUUGGCGACUUCACUGCUGCUGCUGCUGUACUUGUGAUGAUGUUGUACUUGGGAUAAUGAUUUUGCAGGUACCCCGAGAGGCCCUUGAGUUUGCCGGAAUGUUGAUUAACUUCCGUUCCGGCAAAUUCGGGUACUCCAUAUGUCCUAUUUUCAGCAAAGGUCAUGCUGAAAUUUUCCGUGAAUUUUAGCAUGACUUUGCUAAAAAUAGGACAUAUGGGGUACUUGCGACUAAUGCAUGGGCCGGGGUAUCUUAGUACUUAAUUAAGUAGGAUCAACUGCCCCUUUAUUCUUGCUGCAUUAAACCAUAGGUGGUAAUAGAGCCAAGUGAUUAGGCCCAACUUAGAAUUCUCCUUAGCAUCGAUAAACCCUAGAUGAUAAACCCAACAUAGGUGGCAAUAGAGCCAAGUGAUUAGUGCCAAGUGAUUAGGCCCAACCUAGGGUGCCUCGGCAUCGAUAAACCCUAAAUGAUGAAAACUUAACUUGGCUGCUCCGGAUGCCUCGGUGUCGAUGAGAACCUAAAUGAUGUAUGCUUAGGCUUUUAGGGUGCCUCGGCGUCGACAAACCCUAAAUGAUGAAAGCUUAGGCUUUUAGGGUGCCUCGGCGUUGACAAACCCUAAAUGAUGAGACCAUGAUCUUGUUCCUUGACAAUAACCAACUUUUUGACCAAACUUUUUUCCUAUUUAGAGCGAAACAUGGCCCACAACAAUGAGGCCGGUGGUUCGGGCGGCAAGCAAUUCUGGGAGCUGUCCCAGGAGAUGGAGGAACAACCUCACCGCUAUGAGGACGCCGCAGAAGACACCGAUUCUGACUACACAACCCCUAGUGGCGUCGGGGAUGACACCACUCAUGGUGCCGCCGAGGAUGCCACCACUGAUGAUGGCGGCGCACACACAGAUGGCAGCCAAUCGAAGAAGCAAAGGAAGGACCGGCGCCCGGAUGCACUCUGCACCCUCAAGGAGGAAUUCACUCAAGUGGACUCCGACAGGCAUCCAACGGAGCCCAAACAUAUAGUCAAGGGGUACUCGCCUCAGCUCGGGUGCAUUUUCCGGAGCACCGUCUCGAUCAACACCGAGAACCUUAGGCAUAAGGACCACGGGAAUUUGCUCAACCUCCUCUUCACAAAGCUGCACGAAUGAUACAAGUUCCCCGCCGAAUUUGAAAACACACGCCUCUCAGGGAAUAAAGUGAACAGUGCCUCCCUCACGAGGAUGAACACGGCCCUGUCUACUUGGAGAAGCGCAGUGAAGAGAAUGAUUGAUAAAGGUGAUAGAUAUGAGAAGAUCAAGGCGAAAUAUCCUUUGAUGAGCGAAGAUGAGUACAAGGAGUUCAAGAUCAAGUGCGAGAGCAGCACAACCUCCAAAUCAAGUCAGUGGGGGAAAGAAAUGCGGGAGUUGAACUUAGGGGAACACAAACUCGGUCCCGGCGGUUACAGAGUGGCGGAGCCUAUAUGGGACAAGGAGGACGCAGAGCAUGCCGAGCAAGGCCUACCGCCCCGCUUCAAGAAAUACAGCGGUGACAAGCAGACCAGGAACUUUGUCAGGGCCCGGUACAAGGAGGACCCGAUAUCAAAGGAGCUUACCACGGAUCCGAAGACCAGGGCGCUUGAGCUUGUUCUGGUAAGGAAUACACCCCUGCGUAAUUAGCUCCAUAUGGUUGCACUCUAAUUAAUCCCCAAUAUUUCUAAAUGGUUCACGUUCCUUUCGCAGGACACUGAAAGCAGUAGCGCGGGGUCGUCUCAGAGCUCCCCUUUCGACACCUCUUUAAAUAGGGCGUUGAACGUAAUAAAAAAGAAGGAUAAGCUCACUAAGCUGACGUCAGCUGGUCGUGUGGCCGGCAAAGGCUUGUCCACAAAAUGGGGGUCAUACUAUACCGCUGGUGUGCGGAAGGAGAAAAAGACCAGCUCGGAAAAGCCAGACGUGCGAGGUUGAAGCACUCAAGGCACAAGUGGCGCGGAUUUCGGAGCUUGUCCAAGAGCAAGUGGAACAACAACUGGGAACGAAGCUCAACGCCAUGGUGCCUACGUUGAUUCAUGGGCUGACGACGUGGAUUGUGGGCGGCCAACAGGGGCCUCCCCCGGUUCCCAGCUUCACGGCCAGCAACUCGCACAGCGCGCAGGCGGCGCCAUUGGUGUCUCUGGCGGCGCCAUUGGUGUCUCCGGCGGCGGCGCCAUUGGUGUCUCCGGCGGAGGCGGUAUUCGUGUCUCCGGCGCCGGCACGGGCAUUGGAUCUUAAUGCACCCGGGUGUAUGCCGGCCGGCACCUCGCCAGCAAGCGCCCCCUCCGUCAGUUGCACGCCCGCCGUUGGCGGUGCCUCGACAUUAGCCGAGCUCGACGACAUCACGGUAACUAAGCCUCUCGGCCGAUGACUUCAUCUCCUUGCCUUUGACUGGGCAUCCCUGACGCCCUGUACAUGUUUUCGCAAGGCGCCGCCGACGUUCCUUGCACUCUUCUGCACUUCGUGGGCGCCGAGUUGGUCGAUGUCGCCAAGGGCAGAAUCGUUCAACCGGGCAACCCCAUGUUCCACGGUAAUCCGAUGCCACCCAAAUUGUAUAGGGUUGAAGUGGUUCGGGUGCUGCCCGGCUGCGAUGAGCUAUUACCUCCGAUUCGACCCGCUGGGGCCGACGAAGAAGAUGAGAUGACCCUCAGCGCCUGCGUAAACUGGCCCCUGCUUUGGCCGAAGAGCCAGAUUCGUUUGGGGGCGGGGGACACCACCCCACAAACAAGACCGCCAGUCGUGCCGGCGCCAAGCCAUGGCAAGAACGCCGCAACGCUACCGGACCUGACGGACAUCACUAUGUCGGACAUCCCUAUGGCACAGGAUCCGAACAGCCCUAUGGCACAGGAUCCGGACGACGAUGACAACGACGAUGGUACAUUUACCAAGGUCGAUAAGUACUUUGCCGAACAUGGGUACACUGACGAGUUCUACGGGCCUCUUUCUCAAGAACCCAACCAAGACGACCGCAAUCUAGCUGGUACGGCGGAGAAAUCCAAUUGCAACAGGCGUCGUCUGGCGUUCGGUUCUCGAGAGACGCCUCCAGCUCCCGCCUUCACCGAGCCUCAGAUAGCUGAGGUGCGAAAUAUUAUCAGCCCCAACACGCUCAAGAAGGCGGUUUGUGAGCAGAACUCAGUCCCAUUACAGGAGAUCAAGAAGAAGGGACGAAAACGAAAGACUAACAAGGGCGCCGGUGCGAGCCAGCCGGCACCGAGUUCGAUCCGUGCUCAGGACGGGCCACCUUCACCUAAGGAUAUCUUGAGGAGGGUGCACGUGGCGGGUAGGGCAAUGCUACCGCCAAAUAUGCUCAAUGCUGCAACCGGUGCUAUGCUGAGUCUGCACGACAGUGUUCUUUCUUUGGAGAAGCGGCGUCUCAGAGAGAAUGAUGUGGCAUACCCGGUUUUCGUGGCCAAGUUGCCAGAGGGCAAGGGCUUUGUGGAUGGCGACAUCGGGGGUACGAUCGUCCUGCGGUUUGAUGACAUCUUUGCUAUGUUUAACCUUCAUCCGCUCCACUACACCUUCGUUUGGCUGCUUUUGCUGAGUAUGGAGAUGCGGAUCAUUAGAGACAAGACCCCGGACAUCGUGAUAGUCGACCCCUUCUACAUGCGUGCCAAGCACUUGAGCAGCGCUGGGGACCGCCAAGUUGCGAGUUCACACCUCGAAGGCAUCAUUCUGGCAAAUCCAGAUAAGGAUAACUUCCUUGUGGCUUACUUUCCCGAGUAUCCCUUAACCGCCCCGUAACAUAUGAUUUCUUAGAUUUCAAUCGUUCUUUUUUUUCUAACAUUCCGUGUUCUGUGCAGUGACACACAUUGCACACUCAUCCUCUUAAGCCCGAAAUAUUCCAUGGCCACGUAUUUUGACCCAAACCGUAACUCCAAGAUAGACUACACAAAUGUCAAGAAAGUUCUUGAUGAUGUUCUCCCCGGCUACGCCAAAUCUGGAGGCACCUUCACCAGGGCAGUUCGUAAGUACGGCAAGCACACCUUCUCACACAAUACGAAUUUCUGCUGCGUCAAGCAGUCGCCUGGCGGUCAAAAGGAUGCCUACUACGCCCUCCAUCACAUGCGGGCGAUCGUAAGGGACCAUCAUCACCUUCUGCUACUAGAUAGUCUCAAAGAUUGGGCCGCGAGGUCGUCGGCAACCCAGGACGCGGACCUCAGACAAGAAUUCUUUCGCAUUCAGUCGGAGUUUGUGGACAUCAUCCAUCAAGAUGUCCUUCAUACCUCGGGACAGUUCUACCUUAGAUAUCAACUGUCCAACAAUGAGAUAGAUGGAAUGCUACAAAUGCAGGGUGACAACGACCGCGAUUUCAUGACCAUCACGACAGACGGCGGCUUCAUCCACGCUCCUGUCCGAUGAGUCGAGUCGAAAGUAGUGAUGUGUAGUUCUGAAAUAUUGAUUGGCUCAUGUUGUAAUUAAACUUUAAUGAAUUCGUAUGUCUCUUUGGUUUGGACAGUCGUUCAACUUAGAUGUAAUCGACGCUAUUUAUUAGUAGGACCAUGAAUCGUGCUAUUAAUGUCUUGCUUUUCUCUUCCGAUCCUUUUGUUGCAUACUUACAUAUUGCUUAUGUAUUGUCUGUUGUUUGGCUUGUGCAUAAAGAUGCCGUCGUAUGUCGUGUACAAGGGUAAGGUUCCCAGAGUCUACGACGACUGGGAGGAGUGUCGGAGACAGGUUCACUGUUUCAGCGGUAACAGUUACAAAGGGUACACCACUAGGGCGGAGGCCGAAUCUAGAUACGCCCGCUAUCUAGCGGGAGAGAGGAGGGAGCGUUGGAGGAACCGGAUGAAGACCAGUUUGAUCGCGAUGAUGCUCAUCGUGAUGACCGCAGCUCUCUUUUAUGUGAUGGUAGUUUAGAUGAUCGAUAUCGAUGACAAACUCGAUACUCGCGGUCUUGAGACUUGUAAUGUUUUAUCUUUGUUCGGUCUUUUGAAUUCGGAAACUAAUAUGAUGAAUUGUAUUCAGAGACUAAUCUUCCAUUGUAUUCGAUGAAUCUGCUGUUGUUGUGUGCUGCUGUCUAUAUUCUGUCCAAUAAUAUAUUUUGUAACCUGUGCAAAAAUCAGAAAAGCAAAAAAAACCCCAAAUAUUCAUACUAAUGGCGCAUCACCACAACGUGCGCCAUUAGUAUGCCAAAGGAUACUAAUGGCGCAUCAAGGCAGGGUGCGCCAUUAGUAUGACAAAGCACAUGGUUACAUAUGGGCCCCCGGGAGGCAUACUAAUGGCGCAUGGUGUUACAUAUUAAUGGCGCACUGCCUGGUGCGCCAUUAGUACACCAAAUACUAAUGGCGCACCAGAGGUACGCCAUUAGUAAAAAAUCUAGUGGCGUGCUACUAAUGGCGCACCGGUAGUGCGCUAUUAGUAGGCAAAACCGGUGUGCCAUUUGUAGGCCUUUUCCUAGUAGUGUCUCAUCCUCGAACUCAAUAACAAGGUCAUAUAUGUGUGUCCUCGAUAAGCCCACUUAACCACCUCCGGCACAAACUCGAUGUUCAGCACACUGACCAGUACGCGGGCAAUCCCGUGGGCUCUCGUAAAGUCCAUAUCCAUACGCUCCGGUCUGCCAAUCAUGAUACCCAAACUGGCCACGACCCGGGCAUCCUGCAUCGGCUUGGAUGGAGCCCCAGAGAAUCGCAACCAAACCUGAGUCAGAGGCUUGCCCGUAGGCUCAACCCCCUUCCACUCAUGAAACUCAAGAACACCAUCAGUACCUGGCACCUUGCACAUCCCGAAACUUAGAAGCCUCUGAAGGUCCUCAACUGACGGAAACUCAACCCGAAACAGCUUGUCCUCCACAGUCGCAAGCUCCCACCGGAACUCCCCAGGGGCUAACUCCUUAAACCUCUGAAUAAUCUGCGACUCCGAAACCUCUCCUCUAGCAAUCUUAACUAACCUAGUUGUCAAACUCAACGUCUUGUCAGGAACCUCCAUCUCCGUUCGAGAUUCAAAGAACGUAAGCUCGGCACAGUACACCCCAUACAUCAUCACUGAUGGUGCCUGCUCUCUCAGAAGCGGACAGUCCCCCGCAUCGUGUGCUGGUUUGCCACAAGUGGCACACAACUCGGCCACACACUCAGCAAUAAAAUGUCCCUUACCACCACAACGAUAACAUAGCAUAUUCUCCUUCUUGUAUGCAUAUUUUGAAGCUCUGUCAGACUCAGCCCUAGAAGAAUCCUCCAGAGACACAGUCACCCCGGAACCAUUCCCCGGUAACUCAGAAUUGGCAAGCGCCGAAACCACCUCCAAAGUCUGGCCUGUCAAAACCUGCUGCUCAGCAUCCCCAUCAACCACCAUCGGAUCAAUCACAGGCGGAGUAGGCAGUCAUGGGCAAUACCGGCCCCCUCGACCCCCAUGCCCACCACGGUGACCGCGGAAGCCACCCAGUGGUCGGAGACCCGGGCCAGCCGCCCCCUCAACAAAUCCUCGUGGGGGCCCCAUGAACGGGCGCUCCGCCGAGCCAUCGCUCUGCCAAGCAUGGCCUCGACCACCGCCAGUCGACGAGGAUCCAUGGUGCUUACCAACUCCAUACGCGUUGACCCCAUCAUCACCCCACUGACCCUGAGGUGCAGCCGUGACUUGAGUCGGUGGACGUGCCAGAUGCUGCACAGUUCUGUCUUGAUUUUGCAGAGGCAUAGCGACAAGGUGAGGUGGUGGAGCUGGCCUCGGCUGGCCAGCCAACAGCCCCUGAGCGAGAGGCCGCGGCGCAGCGCCUCCCCGGACCGCAUUGUUCCCUGCUGCAGAUGGCGCCGGAGGCCGUUGACCCACCGGAACCGGCGCCGGCGGCCGCAAUCCCGCCGGAGUAGGCGCCGUCGGUCUAGGCCCGGGCAACACGCCGCCCCGGCCCGCCGCCGCCCCCACCGAAGCCACGCCCCUGCCAGCGUGCAGCGGGACCGCAACCCCGCUGCCAGCCCCCGGCGGCAGCAACGAUGCUCCAUGGCCGCUGCCAGAGGCCACGGGAUUCAGCCCAGCGCCGACAACAGGUACCCCAACGCCACGGCCCCCGCCGCUGCCCUCCUGCGGCGUGGUCCCAAGGCGGCCGGCGUCCUGAUUCGCCAUCGUUCUCUUCCCCGGUGGCAAAGGUCCUCCGUGACCCACCAUCGAGCAAAGUGGAGAAUACGUCUCGCUCGUGCCGUCCAGCCGAUCGAAAGCUUCGACUUAGACGACGAGGAACCCUAGCAUGCGGUACGUGAGACGACGACGAUCGAGAAAGCGGAUCCUCCUCGCCCUCGAUAGCGUUCGGUUCUGGCCUGCUCUGGGCCUCAUACCCAAGCACCUCCGGCCCACAGACCGCAAGCCUCUCCAAGCAACUCUCUGGACCUACAUCUAUUUUUUUUUCUCCAAUGCAAGCUACCACUAGUGGGCCUCAUUAAGAAAAUAGAAAAAUAAAAACUCUAGUACACAUGCAUCUCUACUUUUCACUCCAACCUUUUCAGCUUUUGUCAUUGUACCACACUUUUUCUUUUCAAGCACCCGCCUUCUGGAGAGGAUCCCGUUUCCCUAUCCGAACCUACUUUACGUCAUAUCCGAUCCUAAAUGGCAUGCGAGGCAUUACCUUGAGGCUAUGCAUUGUAUAUGCCCUAAGCUACUAUCUUUUGGACAGAUUUGUCCACGAUGGCUCGUCUCUAACGUGAAACCCAUGAAGCAGCUAUCCAGGCUGGCGCAUUGGCCAUGCCCUAACUAUCCACGCCAGUUAAUACGUGUAUUACGUAGCUAGCUUUAAGUAAGUCUACCAUUGCUCCGAGUAGGAGUAUGUACAUGGAGUUGACCACUUGCCUAGCUGACGGACGGAGCGGGAUAGAUCAUCAAGCGACGAGAUGGCCGUUCCGGCGGGCGUUGGACUGGAUCCGUCGACCGGCCGAUCGACGAGGCCGCCGUCCCGCGCGAACUGGUCCGUCCGGUGAUGCGGUGGACCCGUCAUUAUUUUAUAGAGCUCAAGGCUGGUCGGGUUUGAAUACUACGGGCAAGUUUAACGGAAAGUACUUACAGACAUGAGGUGGAAAUAUACCUGGCCAUGGGAAGCCCGGCCCGGCCAGCCCAAAAAAGCCCGACCCGGCCCGGCCCGACGCUGCCCCCGGGCCGGGCUCGGUCCUAGAUUUUGAGCCCAAAGGCCGGGCCGGGCCGGGCCUGGGCCCGUCGUUUUGCAUUUCUCUGAAGGUCGGGCCGGGCCGGCCCGGAGCCCGACGGGCUUUUACGUGUUUGGGCCGGGCUCGGGCCCAGAAAACAGGCCCGAUGGCCGGGCCGGGCCGGGCUCGGGCCUGGUUUUUUUUUCGUCGGGCUUGGCUAGGUCAGGCCCGAGGUAUGGCCAGGUAUAGGUGGAAACCAAGGAUUCAACACGAUUUGGGCCCCACAACUAAAUUCACGGGGAAAGAAUCACUCAGAUUAAGGCGUUAAGUAUCAAACCUGUUAAUACGUAAGGCGAGUAAUGAGGGGGCGGCUGAAGUAUCAAACCUGUUGACUACUUACUGCAACGCUUCGGGUCAGAGGGUGAACAAUGAGAAAUCGUCCAUCGUUUACAGUAAGGGAUGUCCUCAGUCUGUUCGUGAAGGUAUAAAGAAUUCCGUUAAUGUGCACAAUGAACAACUCAAUGAGAGGUACUUGGGCAUGCCGACAGAUGUAGGUCAUUCAAGGAAUGGUACUUUUAAAUACUUGAGAGACAGAGUUUGGGAAAAGAUCAAAGGAUGGAUGGAAAAGUUAUUGUCAUAUGCAGGGAUGGAAGAUUUGAUAAAAGCGGUUGCUCAAGCAAUCCCAGUUUAUUCUAUGGCAUGCUUCAAAUUACCACGUGGCAUUUGUGAGAGCGUGACAUCUAUGAUUCGACAAUUCUGAUGGGGUAGUAAAAGGGGUAAGAGAAAGCCUUGUUGGGUCUCUUGGGACAUAUGUACUAGACCCAAAUCUUCGGGAGGGCUCGGCUUUCGGGAUAUAGAGAUUUUCAACUUGUCCCUCCUUGCCAGACAAGCAUGGAGGUUGAUUGAAGGUCCAGCCAUCUUGAGUGCAAGGAUAUUAAAGGCAAUAUACUACCCAUCAGUUUCACUUCUUGAGGCUGAACUGGGAGCCCAUCCAUCGCAGAUUUGGAGCGCGAUAUUGGAUGGCCGUGAUGUGGUUUCCAAGGGCAUUAUCAGAAGAAUUGGAACAGGAGAGAGUACUAGUAUCUAGAAACAUAAUUGGCUUCCGCGUUCGGGACUAAUGAGGCCAAUCACGUCACUAGUAUCCCAGCCGCCUGUUAGAAUAAAUCCGAGGCAUACCGUCGAUCAUCCGAGUCCCAAGCAAUCACACGAGCACGACACCGAGAUUUGUUAACGAUGUUCACCGAUAUGGCUACAUCCCCGGGGCUUGACUAUAUAUGGGCGCUCCUCCCCAUGACACCGCUACAAUACCGCACCGGGUCGCCCUGGACACCGGCACAUGCCGCCGGCUUCCCCUGCGUUCCGAUGCUAUUAUGUUGGCAUAGGUUACAUCGUGUGUCUACCCUCGCUAUAUAUGAGAGGCCUAGGAUACAAGUGUCCUACUAGAACACGACUCCAUAUCCUAUGUAAACACAAUACUACUCAGAGUCCAACUGUAACUUACCGUGUACACAAUAUUCGACACAACUCCAACAAACUCCACCUUGGCGAAUAUUGUCCACCACCUUGAAUUUGUCCAUGUGUCAAACUUCCAUGUACAUUGGACUUGAGCUUAUCCCAUGAGUACCGUUGCUACUCCAAAGACUCCAUAUGACUCCACCUGCAACUUGUAGUCCCUCCUUUUCUUGACCACGGUUAACACUCGAGCAAAAUUAACUUCCACAUUACUCUAGUUUGCGCUCCCAACUUCCAGAGUAUCAGUCCAACGCCAUCACACACCAAUCAUUGACCUGCGUGAAAGUGAACAACUCACAUAUUGGGUGUCACACAUAAGAGUUAACUGAACUCAACAUCGCCGCUCCUUUCUUCAUCGCCUGUCUGAAACUUGAAGGAAUUUCACCGUUGCUUGUUGUCAUCCCGAGUCAAAUUCGCAGUUGUCUCAUCACAUGUAUGACCACCAGAGCCCUGGCCUGUCUCCUUGCCCGUGCGUACCGCACCGCACGCCUCGCCGCUAUUACUACGUCGAGCCUCCGCUGUCCUGGUCGAGUCUCAAGGGUCGCGAACCCACACCACUCAACCUCCACUGCAGAGUACCAUCGAUCAUCACCGACCGAUGAUGAGUUUGACGCUUUCAUCAGACCACUGGGCUCCAGUCUGAAUUACGCGUCCCUCGCUUUUUCCCACUGAAUAGGCUUCGACUCUCUGUGCACUUACGCCGUAACCCCUCAAUCAGCACUGAGUGAAGUCCUCCAGACUCCAGCUCCACCUUCAACAUGAAUCCAUGGUAGAUGAUCAAUCCACCAUCGUGCCCCGUCGACUUCAACCUCCGUGUGUACAUCACCUUGAAUCAACCCCGCGCCAUAGUCUUGUCGAAGCCACACAAGCCUCGGGCUUGUGACACAUGUUUUCACGCCCAGAAGUCAGUCACCAUCAGCAUCACGCUCAUACGUCGUCGUCGUCGAUCCCACCACCGUCUUCUGUACCAACCGACUCACGUCGAUCCCGUCAGACUGCCUAGUCCGACCCAGCCAAACUUUCCUGACUACAACCAUCUGCAACUCCUCACAAACAUCAUCAUCCAUCUUAACUGGCUUGACAUCCCGCAACGCCUUCAAGCAUCCUUGUUGUGCCAAUAAAUCUUUCACCUUAUCUGUCAUAAUCCAAGGUUUUCUGUUCUGUCGAACUUCACACCUCAAACCUGAUACCCCUUUAUGCCAGAUUCUUUGUAUGAUUGACCUGUGAAAAAAUAACACAAAGCAAACAUACGUGCUCGCAUCCCAGUACUAGUAGCAAUUUCACGUGGUGUAGCUCCUGGCUCAAUCUGGAUGCUAGCUUGCUUUUUCCAAUGCCCUUUGCUCCGAUGUAUACUACUAGUAUCGCCCAUGGGCUUGCUUCUGUCCGGUAGGAAAAUAACUGAUGUUGCACGUCUGCGGCUCAUACACGAAGAGAACACAUCUCCUCCCGGGACUCGGUCCCUUUUUUCCAAAACAAAUCCUUCGAUACGAUCGCUUCCAGCAGCCUGCCUGUUGCCGCUCACCUGACCUACUCGGCCGCACGACCCAUCCUGGACCUGGCUACGGUUGCCGACGACUAUGAUCUCGAGCGCCACGCGCCCGACUUGGCCACCUGCCUCCGCUAGCCCGUCUAGGCCGCCGCACCACGUACCCGCCUUGCGCUUUCCGCGGCACAGCCCCGCUUUAGACCGAUCUGAUGCCUGACUCAUUUGAUCGCUCCCAUGAAGAUUACAACGACCAACUUCUGCUUUCAGGUUGCAACUCGCCGACGACUUCAUCCCGUAUUACGACCUCUUCCCGCAGAUUUUUAUCGUUUGUUUUCUUCCUCCUCUAGAUCAACUCUCGCCGCCUUCGAACAACCUAGCUCAUGAUACCACUUAUUAGAAUAAAUCCGAGGCAACCGUCGAUCAUUCGAGUCUCAAGCAAUCACACGAGCACGACACCGAGAUUUGUUAACGAGGUUCACCGAUAUGGCUACAUCUCCCGGGCUUGACUAUGGGCGCUCCUUCCCAUGACACCGCUACAAUACCGCACCCGGUUGUUGAGUAUAUUGUGUACGUGUAUAUUUGUGUGUAGGGUCCACCUCCUGUUUCCUUUGUAUAGUUGAGGUUGUGGCCCACCUUUGUACUUAUAUAUACGUGUCUGGUGCACUGAUCAAUACAUCAAGAUUGCACAGCCUAUAUCUUGUCCUUCUACAUGAUAUCUAUCGCAGCACGAUCCUAACCCUAAACGCCGCCGCCGCCGCGCCUCCGCGCCGCCGCCGCCGCUCCUCCACGCCGCCGUCACCCGCCGCCGCUCCUCCACGCCGCNNNNNNNNNNNNNNNNNNNNNNNNNNNNNNNNNNNNNNNNNNNNNNNNNNNNNNNNNNNNNNNNNNNNNNNNNNNNNNNNNNNNNNNNNNNNNNNNNNNNNNNNNNNNNNNNNNNNNNNNNNNNNNNNNNNNNNNNNNNNNNNNNNNNNNNNNNNNNNNNNNNNNNNNNNNNNNNNNNNNNNNNNNNNNNNNNNNNNNNNNNNNNNNNNNNNNNNNNNNNNNNNNNNNNNNNNNNNNNNNNNNNNNNNNNNNNNNNNNNNNNNNNNNNNNNNNNNNNNNNNNNNNNNNNNNNNNNNNNNNNNNNNNNNNNNNNNNNNNNNNNNNNNNNNNNNNNNNNNNNNNNNNNNNNNNNNNNNNNNNNNNNNNNNNNNNNNNNNNNNNNNNNNNNNNNNNNNNNNNNNNNNNNNNNNNNNNNNNNNNNNNNNNNNNNNNNNNNNNNNNNNNNNNNNNNNNNNNNNNNNNNNNNNNNNNNNNNNNNNNNNNNNNNNNNNNNNNNNNNNNNNNNNNNNNNNNNNNNNNNNNNNNNNNNNNNNNNNNNNNNNNNNNNNNNNNNNNNNNNNNNNNNNNNNNNNNNCCCUCCCCUCCCCUUCCAACCGCGCCGCCAGCCUCCCCUUCGUCCUCCCACCCGCACCGCACCCGCCCCCGUCUUCCACCACCCGCGCCGAACCAGCCAUGAGCUCCUCCUCGUCCAUCGUUUCUAACCCGUUUGCCGGUCCCGAUGUCACCCUCGUCCGCGACCUCAACAUCCAUGAGCGUGUUCCGGUAAAGCUUGAUCACACCACCGCCUCCUACUCCGCUUGGAAGCGGUAUUUUUCGCUUGUGUUCCGUGAGUACCUCCUGCACGGCCACGUGGACGGCACCGUGGACUCGGCGCUCAUGAUCAACGACGAAGAGUGGAUGAUCCUCGACGCCACCAUCAUCCGCUGGUUCUACCUCACCAUCUCCAGCGACCUCUUCCACACCGUGGUGAACGACGAGACGACGCCUAUGCGGUCUGGACCAAGCUCAACGGCCUCUUCACCGACAAUCGGCUGCAGCGCAAGGUCCUCCUCUAUGGUGAGUUUUACGGGUGCCAGCAACUUGACUCAUCCAUCGAUGAUUUUUGCAUGCGCCUCAAGAAGCUCGCCGAUGAGCUCCGUGAUCUCGGGGAAAAGAUCGACGACGAGCUCCUCAUCAGCACCCUCUCCGGCGGCCUCAACGAGGACUUCGGGAACGCCGCCUCCAACCUCACCCUCAUCCCGGAGCCCACCUUCGCCAAGAUGGUCGCGUACCUCAAGCUGGAGGAGCGUCGGAUGCGGGUGGCGCGGACUCGCGCGACCCACACCGCCCUCGUCGCAGGCACCCGCGGGGGUUCGGCCCCGCCACCGCCUCGCCCGACGCCGCCCCAGCCGGCGGCGCCCGCCUUCCCGCCCGGAUUCCCGCNNNNNNNNNNNNNNNNNNNNNNNNNNNNNNNNNNNNNNNNNNNNNNNNNNNNNNNNNNNNNNNNNNNNNNNNNNNNNNNNNNNNNNNNNNNNNNNNNNNNNNNNNNNNNNNNNNNNNNNNNNNNNNNNNNNNNNNNNNNNNNNNNNNNNNNNNNNNNNNNNNNNNNNNNNNNNNNNNNNNNNNNNNNNNNNNNNNNNNNNNNNNNNNNNNNNNNNNNNNNNNNNNNNNNNNNNNNNNNNNNNNNNNNNNNNNNNNNNNNNNNNNNNNNNNNNNNNNNNNNNNNNNNNNNNNNNNNNNNNNNNNNNNNNNNNNNNNNNNNNNNNNNNNNNNNNNNNNNNNNNNNNNNNNNNNNNNNNNNNNNNNNNNNNNNNNNNNNNNNNNNNNNNNNNNNNNNNNNNNNNNNNNNNNNNNNNNNNNNNNNNNNNNNNNNNNNNNNNNNNNNNNNNNNNNNNNNNNNNNNNNNNNNNNNNNNNNNNNNNNNNNNNNNNNNNNNNNNNNNNNNNNNNNNNNNNNNNNNNNNNNNNNNNNNNNNNNNNNNNNNNNNNNNNNNNNNUGCUCAGGGAGGAGCACCCUGUCCGCAGCAGCAGGCACCUCAGCCGGCCCCAUGGUACGCCGACCAGAACCCAUGGACCAACGUUGUCCACGCCUACUCCAUGUUGGUUCCUCGGGCCCCUGCUCCGGGCCUUCUCGACACUCGGCCUCCGUCACACCAGGCGUACUAUGCCGCGCCGCAGCCCUAUGCGGCGCCCUAAGGUCAGCAGCCGCCGCCAGGUGGGCCGCCGCUGCUGUCCCUGACGGCUGCGCCGCCUCUCCCGCCAGCACUGUGGGACCCGGCCCUUCUGGCGGCUCUCCACAAUGCUCCUUCCCCGUCCAGCUACAUCGGCGACGUCGAUUGGUAUAUGGACAGUGGCGCCACCGCUCACAUGGCGGCGUACCCCGGUAACCUCCACACCGCCCAUCCUGUCCACACCUCCAACCGCAUCACCGUCGGUGACGGUUCUUCUCUUCCCAUCACCCAUAUUGGACAUACAUUUUUUCCGUCUAACUCCACUCCUAUAUCCAUGUCUAAUAUUCUCGUUUCUCCUGAACUUAUUAAAAAUCUUGUUUCUGUUCGUUCUCUUACACGUGAAAAUCCUGUUACUGUUGAAUUUGACGAAUGUGGUUUUUCUGUUAAGGACGCUUGCACGCGGAUGAUGCUCCACUGAUGUGACAACCCCGACGAGCUCUACCCGGUUCACUCCGCCACCUCCACUACUUCCGCCGCCCCUGUCGCUCUCGCCACCGGAGUGGAUCUUUGGCACACUCGCUUGGGUCAUCCUAAUCCUGCCACACUUCGCCACAUACUUUGGAGUUUUUCUUUCACGUGUAAUAAGAACGAGGAUCACUCGUGUCAUGCAUGUCGCCUCGGCAAACAUGCUCGUCUUCCGUUUAGGCCUUCUUCCUUUGUUGCAUUGUACCCGUUUGAGUUAAUUCAUAGUGAUGUUUGGACAUCUUCUGUUGCAAGUAAUACGGACUUUCUUUAUUAUCUUGUCAUUCUUGAUGAUUUUUCGCAUUAUGUGUGGACCUUCCUGUUAUGCUGCAAGUCGGAUGUUAUAUCCACUCUCGCCGCUUUCUAUUCUUAUGUUCUCACGCAGUUUGGAUGACUCAUUCUUGCGUUGCAGACAGACAACGGGAAGGAGUUUGACAACAUCGAUGUUCGUAAUGUUCUCGCCACACAUGGCACGAUUUUUCGUCUCACUUGCCCGUACACCUCGCAGCAGAACGGUCGUGCUGAGCGCAUCCUUCGCAUUCUAAAUGACUGCGUUAGGACUCUUCUCUUUCAUGCCAAUGUGCCUCCGCGCUUUUGGCCUGACGCUCUAGCCACCACUUCUCUCCUAAUCAACAUCCGUCCAUGUCGCACUCGCGGGAACUUUACACCUCACCAUCUUCUCUUCGGUGCACCUCCUUCUUAUGAAGGGCUUCGCAUCUUCGGCUGCCUUUGCUAUCCUAGCAUCGCCGCCACUGCGCCUCAUAAGCUUGCACCCCGCUGUGUUGCCUGCAUCUUUCUCGGCUACCCACCUAACACUAAGGGCUACCGCUUCUAUGAUCCCGUCUCCCAUCGUGUUUUCACCUCCCGACACGUUUACUUUGAUGAGAUGGAGUUUCCGUUUCAGCAGCAGGUACCCCUUGUCAUCUCGUCGCUGCCGGCCACCGGCGGCCCUUCGACGACCUCGUCAGGUGGAUGAUCCCGCCUGGCCCGUGGACCGCCUCCGGGCAUUGGCGGUCCCCGCGCCCUCUUGCCGGCGCCCGCCCACUCGGCCUCCUCGGCCGGCUCCGACGGCGCAGCCGGCGCCCCGCCUUCACCCGCCGCCCCCGACUUGGGCGCCGCGGGAUCGGGCCCUGCAGGCUCGGCCGCCUCCUCCGCGGACUCGACGCCUACCUCCUCGCCNNNNNNNNNNNNNNNNNNNNNNNNNNNNNNNNNNNNNNNNNNNNNNNNNNNNNNNNNNNNNNNNNNNNNNNNNNNNNNNNNNNNNNNNNNNNNNNNNNNNNNNNNNNNNNNNNNNNNNNNNNNNNNNNNNNNNNNNNNNNNNNNNNNNNNNNNNNNNNNNNNNNNNNNNNNNNNNNNNNNNNNNNNNNNNNNNNNNNNNNNNNNNNNNNNNNNNNNNNNNNNNNNNNNNNNNNNNNNNNNNNNNNNNNNNNNNNNNNNNNNNNNNNNNNNNNNNNNNNNNNNNNNNNNNNNNNNNNNNNNNNNNNNNNNNNNNNNNNNNNNNNNNNNNNNNNNNNNNNNNNNNNNNNNNNNNNNNNNNNNNNNNNNNNNNNNNNNNNNNNNNNNNNNNNNNNNNNNNNNNNNNNNNNNNNNNNNNNNNNNNNNNNNNNNNNNNNNNNNNNNNNNNNNNNNNNNNNNNNNNNNNNNNNNNNNNNNNNNNNNNNNNNNNNNNNNNNNNNNNNNNNNNNNNNNNNNNNNNNNNNNNNNNNNNNNNNNNNNNNNNNNNNNNNNNNNNNNNNNNNNNNNNNNNNNNNNNNNNNNNNNNNGCCCUGACGCCGCCCCCCUCGCCAGCUCCGACGCCGGCCCCGACGCCGGCCGUCUCGCCGGUGGCUCCGGCGGCGCCGCCCGGCCCAGUCACCCGCGCUCGCACCGCCGUUCAUCGUCCGAGCCUCCGGUACUCGCGCGACGAGUACGUCCUCGCCGCCUCCGCCGCGGAGCCGUCGCCCAUUCCUGCGUCCGCUCGUGCCGCCCUACGUGAUCCUCACUGGCUUGCGGCGAUGCAGGAAGAGUUCGAUGCUCUUUAACGGAACCGCACCUGGACCCUGGUUCCCCGGCCUCCUCGCGCCAACGUCAUCACCGGGAAGUGGGUCUUUCGCCAUAAGACCCGCUCAGACGGUACACUCAAGCGCUACAAGGCUCGCUGGGUGGUCCACGGUUUCCGCCAGCGCGCUGGAGUGGACUUCACUGAGACGUUUGCCCCGGUUGUCAAACCGGGCACGAUCCGCACCAUCCUCCAGCUCGCCGUCUCCCGCGGCUGGCCCGUUCACCAGAUGGAUGUCUCCAACGCCUUUCUCCACGGCCAUCUUGAGGAGCAGGUGUAUUGUGAGCAACCCACCGGCUUCGUCGACGCCUCACUUCCCGGCCAUGUGUGUCUGCUGUCCCGCUCUCUUUACGGGCUCAAGCAGGCACCCCGAGCCUGGUACCAGCGGAUCGCCGGGUUUCUUCAGACACUGGGCUUCAGCGUUACUCGCUCGGACGCCUCACUGUUCGUCUAUCGCCACGGUGACACGACUGCAUACUUGCUGCUUUACGUCGACGACAU
RNAcentral lists this long non-coding RNA (94911 nucleotides) under Triticum aestivum (bread wheat). RNAcentral describes it as "long non-coding RNA (TAES_LNC002760)". Lineage: Eukaryota; Viridiplantae; Streptophyta; Magnoliopsida; Poales; Poaceae. The record is from RNAcentral.